Molecule: long non-coding RNA, 90817 nt
Filed under: Prunus persica (peach)
Lineage: Eukaryota; Viridiplantae; Streptophyta; Magnoliopsida; Rosales; Rosaceae
Description: long non-coding RNA (PPER_LNC001496)
Source: RNAcentral
CAUAUUCACAAAUCGGCUGAUCACUUAUUUUCCAUUAUGACGUUGAUAUAUAAUUUGCAGACUCCACAAAUGAAGAAAAGAGCACAAAUGACGUUGGCAAACCUGAAACUUUCCCAUUGGGCAAUAAACAUUACUCCAGUCAAAAACAUUAUGGAAGAGGCAAACCUGAAACUUUCCCAUUGGGCAAUAAACAUUACUCCAGUCAAAGACAUUAUGGAAGAGGCAAACCUGAAACUUUCCCAUUGGGCAAUAAACAUUACUCCAGUCAAAGACAUUAUGGAAGAGGCAAACCUGAAACUUUCCCAUUGGGCAAUAAACAUUACUCCAGUCAAAAACAUUAUGGAAGAGGCAAACCUGAAACUUUCCCAUUGGGCAAUCAGCAUUACUCCAGUCAAAAAAAGUAUGGAAGAGGUGCUUCUCCAUCCGACAAUCAACCACCAAUUCCAUAGAAAUUCAAACACGGCUACUUUCUUGCCACGAGAAAGCGCUCAAUCGAUCCCCUUCUCCUCUAACAAACUACCAGAAAUUUUCAACCAUUUUUCAGUGAAGCCAACAUCUGAGGAAGCCAAAACAAUUAAGCAAACAAUCGAAGAGUGUGAAGCUCCAGACCUUAAGGGAGAGGAAAUAUAUUGCGCCACAUCUUUAGAAUCAAUGGUUGAUUUUAGCACUUCGAAGCUUGGAACAAGAAACGUUGAAGCAAUCUCGACGGAGGUAUUGGAAAAAGGAGCCACCAUGUCCAUCCAAAACUAUACAACAAUGCCGGGACUGAAGAAGUUGGCAGGUGACAAAGUCGUUGUGUGUCAUAAGCAGAACUAUCCCUAUGCUGUGUUUUUCUGCCAUGCAAUAAAACAUACAGCAGCUUAUGCUCUCUCCCUGAAAGGCGAUGAUGGGGAGAAGGUUAAAGCAGUAACCAUCUGCCAUCUAGACACAUCAGAAUGGGACCCAGAGCAUAUGUCCUUCAAAAUCGUCAACGUUAAGCCCGGAACCAUUCCCAUCUGCCAUUUCAUUUCCACUGAUGCUAUUGCCUGGGUUCCGAACCACAAAUCUGCAUGAUCAUCACUUAGCACUAGUACUGUGCGUAUAAUAUGCCUGUAUAAUUAUCUCCCUACUUAUUUCUGCCUGUUCAUCAUGUGGUGUAAGAUAUAUGUUGAGAUGAAGUUUUUGGGAUUAGUGGUCGAAAUUAACCCGAUCAUGUUUUCUCUUGUAACUAUAUAGACUUCAACUUGUACUCAUAAUAAAGCAUGCUAUAUUUAUGAAGAGAUAUUAAUCUUCAGGCAAAUAGAUAUUAUGAAAACAUAUAUAGCAAUUUAUCCAGAAGAAAUAUUAUGAAAUGAAAAGAAUAAAAAGUAAAAAAACAGAAGGAAAGGAAUUCGCACCUGCUAUGUAUGAAAGGACCAAGAUUGUUUUCCCUUUGGUUAAUGACUAGAAAAGCUCACUUGCAGAUUGCUUUCUCUGACCGUAGAUGCAACAGAAAUUUUCUCUUAAUAAUAGCACAAUGAUCGGGUAAUUGUAAGAACAAGUUGAUUUAAAAUUCCUUGACCCAAAAAAAAAAAAAAAAUCAUUUCAAAUUCAGGUCAACCCAUAGAUUUCUUGCCUUUUUCUUCUUCAUCACGUUGGGCUUGUCUUCUUCUUGAGGAUUGUAUAGGCCCAGGAAAUGCUUUGAGGUAGUUUUUGGCCUUGGAAGUUGGGACCCAACCCAACUUCACAAAAAGAAAACAGAUUUGCCAAAAAUCAAAUUUCAAGUCUCUCCUCAGAUCACUAAUACAGAUCAAAUUUUGGAUUUGAUGAACUAAAGUGGUUUUACUUUCUCUGUCAGUGUUUGAUGACUUAAUUUGUUAUUUACUUCUUUUUUUUUUUUUACUUGAUCUUUGUAGGGGUUUUUUUCUUCCGGUAACUUAAACGGGCUGGGCUGCCGUAAAGGGUAGAUUGAUGAAAUUGUCUCCUUUGUCUGAGUUCGAAAAUCAAGCCCCAAAAGCGCUUCGAAAGGGCAGUAGAGCCUUAGGAAGCGUUCUAGUCAUCUUCACCAACUAAAACAACAGCAACUUACAGAUGAUUUCUUAAGGCUUACAGAUAAAUUUUCUAGCUUGGCAUGAGAGGCUUGUGACAUGGAAGCAAAAUCAGCAUGAGUUUAGCACCAAAGAGGAAAAUAUGGCUUCCUAGGGAGAAAUGGGAGUGUUUAAGGUGAGGAAGAAGAGGUUUGCAGGCUGAUUUGGCUGAGGAGAGAGAAAGAAAGAACAAUGUUCUUCCAGUAGCUUGACAAAGCUUCUGACAGAUGUGAAAGUCGUCUGCCAUAAGAGGAAAAUGAAGAAGAAUGGUGAAUAGUGCAUGAAAUUGCUGGGUUUUUGCAGGUAAGAGAGAAAGCUUGCUCUCUGAAUUUGAGUUGGUUUUUGGUUGGGUAGAAGAGGCCCCCUUUUAUAGCUGCGGGAAACCAUCUUUUUUCAAGAAACCCUAAUGGUUUCUAUCCAUUUUGGCCAAGCUUUUCCCUUCAUUUCUCUUCUCCUCCCUUGACUUUUCCUAUCUUGGUGAAAUUUCCUCUGCCUAUUUGCACAAAAUUAGAGAUUUUGAGGAGCUCAAGACCCCUUUCCCGCAGCUGCCUCAGUGGAGAAUCCCCAUUUUCAGUCAUCUUUCUUCCUUCUUUUCUCCCAUCUUCCAAGGUUAGGUCUGAUGAGGGAAAGAAAUGGGUAUGCACACUGGUUUGAAGGGUAUUUUUGCUUGAAACUUGUUCUCUCCCAUGUGCUGGAGCUUCCCAGCAACUUACACACAUGGAUAUUUUGGCUUUCAUCGUGGCUUUUGUUUUCAGCUAGGUGCUGGAGAUUUCGCAGAUAUUUUCAUGAGUUGCUUGGGCCUUCUAGGACAAUAGGUUGGUUUAUCAAGUGAAUGGGCUAACUUCAUCAAUUGUUGGGCUAUUUUGGUUGAGUUAAUGGACUAUUUUGGUUGAAGUAAUGGGCUAUUUUGGUUGAAUUAAUGGGCUAUUUUUCUCUCUUUGUGCUCACCCACAUAUUUGGGCCUAAGAAAUGGGCUUGAGUUCCGGGGCUCCCAAGCAACCCCGGGACUUCCAUUUCUCGGCCCAUCAAUGGGCCUCAUAUCAACUUAUUACCAUCCAUAUCACAACCCACUCAAGCAAGCCCUGGGCAUCUUGCGUGGCUUGGGCCCACUUAAGCUUGUAGCGUGACGUGUUGCUUAUUUGCUUGGCAUGGCAUGUGUGCAAGCGCAUAUGACGAACUUUAGCGUGCCCAAAUUGGGUUUAUUCUCGGUAAGGUAUCGCAUUGGGCCGAGAAUUUAAUUGGGCAGAACUGUGGAUUUUUGGGCCUCAACAAUCUUAUAUAUAUUGGUUUUCUUUUUUUCCUUAAUAUUCACCACCUUUCUGUUGCAUAAGUAUUUCAGUCUUAACGGGUUUCCAUCUACCACUCAUCUUUGCUCUUUUAAGUGUAAGCUUUUUUUUUUUUUUUUUAAGCACAAGAUUAGAGGGGAGGGGGAUUUCUCAAUGUAAGCUUUGCAGUUUCAUAAUUAAUAUUUCCAAUAUCUCACUGUUAGUAAAAUAUGGAACAGGAAAAGUAUGAAUAAAAUACACACAUGUUUUAUUUAGCAAAAUUUUGACAAGAUACAACUGAAAAGUUUGGCCACUAUAUAAUAUUUUGAUAUAAUUUCUACACUUCUUCUCAAAAGAUUAGAUCACUUCACAUCUUGUGUAUGUGAAAACUAAUGUAAAAAGUUGAAACUUUAUCGUAAAACCUCGACAAAAAUGAGCUCUACUAGAAAAUGUUCAAUUUGGAUUCGUUGAUUUAAAUGGCAAUUUGACACUUGAUAGAAAUUUUUACAUACAUGUGUUAGUGUUUGAUCACUUCACAUGUUACUUACUAUAUUUAUUCCACUCAAGUUAGGUAAAUAUUAUUAUCAAACAUUUCAAUUAAUUUGUGAUUUUUUUAUUAUUUAAUCAAUUAUGAAUUAAUGGAUUCUUCUUGUUGUUUUGAAGACCAAUAAAAAAAAAAGGGUAAGGAUGGCUUAUAACUCUGAUAAAACAACAGUGACGUGGACAGCAGAUGUUACACCGUACUGAAGAUUUUUGAAGAUUCUUUAUUUGGGUUUCUUUCAAGAUGAAAACCAUAUUAUCCACAACCACAAUGAAGAAGACAGAAAAUGGAGUAAUUCAGAUGUUACCAGCCAUCCACGACAAACUGAAGUCUGCAAAGCAUUCGUAAUCUAAAGGGAGACUUUGGAAAAGCCCAAAGGAGAGAGAAAAUUUUUAAAAGAAGCAAAAAUGGACAAAAUUGCCCUUAUUUAUUUUUUGAUUUCCUAAGAAAUCCUUUACAUUUGCAUGUCUUUGGUUUGAAAGUUGAGAGGUUAUUCUGUCUUUUUUCAAAAAGCUUUGGCUUUUUCCAAAAGUGAAAGUUUUUUUAUGGGUAAAACCUAAAUUUACUUAAUCCCUAAAAAGGAUGGGGAGGCUGCGCAAUACUUAGCCACGUGUAGGCCAGGAGGCUUUCCAAUUUUAAUAUAUAUAUAAAUUGAAAAAAUAAAAUAAAAAUCAAUCUAUUAUCCUAUAUAAAAUAAAGAUUAUUGCUUCCAUGGGCAGUGCUAUGCACAGGACAGUGCCUGCCCAGCACAAAUUUUUUUUAAAUAAAAAAAAAAAAUCUACAUAUGUUAUAAGCUCAUCCAAAAAAAUAAAAUAAAAUAAAAGUAAAUUCUACAUAUAUGUUGCCCAUCUAGGUGGUUCCAUAUCUUCUCUCUCCUUCUCUUUUGGCUAUUAGACUUCUUGUUUCUCUCUCUCUCUUUGCUACCUCACAUCAGCAAGUUUCUCCCUCUCUUUUUUUGGGGUCAAAUUCUUCCUCUAUUGACAAAAUCUUCUAUUAUCUUGGGUGGGCAACUUGGCAACAACAUCUUCUCUUCUCCUUUUGUCAACAACAAGUAUUAUUCUCAUUCUCUCAUUUGCUAUAUAUCUUUAAUUAUAGUUUUAAUUUAAAAUUGAGUAUUCUAGGGUUUAAUUAGGGAUGAAUUAUAAUUUUAGAAUUUUGUUGAAAUUAAUUAAGGCUUCGAUUAGGGGUGAAUUAUUCUACUGCUUUGGUUUGGAAUUUUGUUAAAAUUGAGUAUUAUAGGGUUUAAUUAUGGAUGAAUUAUAAUUUUUGAUUUUGGUAUUAUUGAGAUGUUAUUAUGAGAAUUUGUUUCAUUUUUUUAUUGGUAUAUUUGAUUAAAAUUCUUUCUACAUAUUAUUCAUAGGCUAUCUUUUAUUAUGUCGGAUCACAAUCGGAAUCCCAAGAGAACAAAGAAUUUGAAUAGUGUUGUUUUGUAUUGCAUUGCAUUUACUUUUGGUUUUAGUUUUGCUUUUAGUGUAAAUUACUCAAAUGGUCCUCAAAUUUGUACCCGAUUUACAUUUUGGUCCAUAAACUAAAUUAUUCAUUCAAAUGGUGCACCAACUCUUUAUUAAUCAGUGCUUUGGUCCUACCGUUAUGUUUUCUAUUAAAUUUAGUCAUGUGAGCAGCACAUGCUACAUUUGUAGGGGUAAAUAAGACUUUUGACCACUUUAUCACCUAUGUAUCACCACUUUAUAACCUAUUUGGAGAACAUAGGUCAGUUAUGGACGGUUUUACAAUUAUAUUUGACGGCAACAUUAACAUAAUGUAACAGUGGGAUCAAUGGAGCGAUUAAUAUAGAGUUGAUGGACCGUUUGAACGAAUAAUUUAAUUGAGGGACCAAAACGUAAAUUGAGUAUAAGUUUGAGGACCAUUUGAGUAAUGUACCCUUCGCUUUUAUAUUUGUUGAACUUUUAUUUAUGGAUAGAUAUGCAUUUGAGGGUAAGACCCAUUAUGUUCCCCCUGACUUGGUGUAUCUUUUUAUGUUUAUUAAUGAAAUUCACUCGAACUGUUGAGUUUAGUAUGUAAGUUUUGCCUAACCGGCUUUUGAAUCCUAGAACCGCCACUGUUGCUCCAUCCUCCAUGCACUUGCAUGUGCUCUUACAAAGUGUGAAGUAGAUUUUGUGUGCUCCAAGUCAUUGACUAGAGCUGAAACAUGGUUAGCUAGAUUUAUAAGGACCCAUCUCUCUAUUUCCUAGACAUAUACCCAUCUCUCUAUAAAUCUAUAUGUAAAACUCAAUUUCAAACUUAAAUGACCAGUAAGAUAUAAGAGGUCAUAGUAUUCCUAUGUUUUUACAUCGUUGCCACCAGACUUCUUAUUUUAUUUAUAAUUUAUUUCAAGCAUUUCAUUAACUGCCAUAAUUGUAAUUAAUACUCCAUAUUAAUAGCAUAUCAAUCACCCCAUUUCUUUUGAUUGCCAUUCCCUCUAACAUAUCGCCCCUUAAAAUUGAAAACCAAAAAAAAAAAAAAUGUAAAUUACAUAUCCAAUAAUGUACCUAUGAAAAAUAUAAAUAUAAAUAUAUACGUAUAAAAAUAUAGGUUUAUUAUUUACCAAAUAAAAAAUAUAAAAAAACUAGGUCAGUUGCUUUGUAAUUGAAAUUUCUAUACAUUUUCCACAAAUUAAAAAUAGGUACACAAUAAUUUAUAGAAAAUAUAGGUGCAUUAUUUAUCCAUAGGUAAAAAUACCUAUAAAUGCACAUAGGUAAAUUAUUUACCCAUAUAUUAUUUUUUUGCUAAGGAUUUACCUUAGUUUUUAGUAGAUUAAUUUACCUACCUAGAGGCAUAGGUAGCUUAAAAAAAUUGUAGCACCUUAGUUGGUUGCAUACUAAUUUACCUACCUAGAGGCAUAGGUUGCUAAGAAAAAAUGUAGGUAAAUUCAUGUACCUAAACACAUAGGGGUCAAAUAGAGAAUAACAUGUUAUUUCCCUUCGAACAAAUUAAUUUCAAACCAUAACAAUAAUUGAAUUCGGAAAUUGGUAUAAAUAAAAGGAAAUAAAUAAGCUAUCAAUUUGAAAAUUAAAAUAAGAAAUGAUCAAGUAGUCAUAUUUGAAAAAAAAGAAAAGAAUAUAUUCUUGGUUUUUAUAGGAACAACGUGUAUAUUCAAACCAAAUGGCAGUAACUACACCAAGCUUUAAUUACUUUUUUUUAAGGCCAAAAGUCACUUUUGGUCUCUGUAGUUUGACACUUCUAUUACUUUUGACGCUGUAGUUUCAAUUCCGUCAAUUUUGCCAUUGUAGUUUCAUAUUUGUAGCAAUUCAAGGACAUGUUAAUAUUAAUGUCAAUUUGUUUAAUGAUGCAAGGGGUAAUUUCGUCAUCCCAAAAUCCUUGAGCAUAAAAGCUUGUCUGAAAUUCUCCCCAUUUCAUAUUAGGGCUCGAAAUUCAACCACUAAUCCCAAUUUUUGAAGAACCCUAUACCCAAAUGACCAAUUUCAAGCCCUAAUAACAAAUUAGGGAAGUUUUAGAUGAGCUUUUAUGCUCAAGGAUUUUGAGUUGAAGAAAUUGCCCCUUGCACUGUCAAAGAAAUUGAUAGGAAUACUGACUUGUCCUUGAAUUGCUACAAAUACAAAAAUACAGGGUCAAAAUUAACAGAAUUUAAACUAUAUGGUCAAAAGUGGUUAAAGUGCCAAACUACAAGGACCAAAAGUGACUUUUAGCCUUUUUGUUUAAAUAAGGAAAAAACUUACCUAUUAAAUCCUUGGAAUCUAUACAAAAUUGAAACACAGUUAAUCAGCAUUGAAUUGCAGCUAAUUUCUUAAACAAGGGUAUUAUAGGAAUUUAAAAAGUAUAACAUUUAAUCCAUUGAGCUUGAUUAGGAAUCUUGAUGAGUUGGAUCCUAGUUAUAUAGUUUCUCUUAUAAAAAUCGGGUUUUAUUUAUAGACAAAUAAAACAAUGGGUUGUAGGUAAGAAAAUAUUAAUUUGAAGGGAAAGUGUCACAUCCUGGGAUCGGCUCCGCCGUAGCACGAUAUUGUCCGCUUUGGGCCCCCCUCUCUGCCCGCACGGUUUUGUUUCUGGGAGCUCACGAGCAACUUCCCAGUGGGUCACCCAUCCUGGGAUUGCUCUGGCCCCCAACUCGCUUAACUUCGGAAUUCCUAUGACUCCGAAGCCAGUGAGCUCCCAAAAGGCCUCGUGCUAGAUGGAUGCGGGUGUGUACAUAUAAGACACAUCACCCCCUCUCCGUUGGUUGAUGUGGGAUCUUACAGAAAGAGUCAAAUUUACUAAAUUAAUAAAGCAUAAAUUGGAAAGGGAAAAGAUCUAGAGGAUGCAUUGUAGGAUUGCUCAUGCCAAUAAUUGCACCCUCUCGAUAUUGAAAAACCUAUUGUGUAUUAUUAUCUUCAAUCAUGAAUGAUGCACCUAAAACCCAAGUGUCCCAAGCCAACCAUUGCGCUCAUACCACUUGUUGCAGUACACAUUCACCCGUUUUUAAAGAAAGAAAUUCUACCAAUCGAUAUUGUCUCAAAUUUAAUCACAUAGGUCUAUUAUGGUUAACCAUAUGUACUUUUAUCGGCCAUAUAGAGGUACCUUUUUCCAACGUGCAACAAUUGUAUUUGAUUCACAAUUAUGUCUGAUAUACAUCACAUCAUGCCACUUGCCUCAAAUGAAUUUAAUUGAGUGAGGCAAUGGGAAGUAAUUAAGCUCUAUAUUGGUGGGUGGAGUGUUACUUCUGGAACCCUCAUCAUUCGUCCAUACAAGGGAACAAUUCCCUUCCUUCUAUAAAAUGGUGAAGCCAGUUGCUAUUGUUUGUUAGAGUUUUAGGAUCUGAGUGUUAGAUUUUGUGAGAAGAGAGAAGAGAAUUUAGUGAAAACUUCCAAUACUGCUCUGCUAUACGUGUAGCAGAGAGAACAUUCUGUUUUGUUAUAUAUUUUCAGUACAACAACACACACUUGGUGUGAGAAGAAAAAUGACUGUUAUGCACAGUACCAGCUGGAUGCUUUCCAUCAAAGUAAUCUCAGCCAUUCACUAUCUAACCAAUCAAGCUAUGACACCUGGACUAAGUAUAAAGAAAUACAACUAAGCAGAAAACAAGACUCUUAAUCCUGAAAUCAACUUAAGCACUUAUAAUUCAACACUCCCCUUUAAGUCUUGAGGUGAUUUCACUCCAAGCAUGCCUCUGAGAUAAUUGAAUCUGUCUUUGGCCAGAGGUUUGGUAAAAAUGUCAGCCAAUUGUUCAUUUGUAGGACAAUAUUCCAGAUUGAUUACCCCUUCUUGCAAUGCAUCCUUGAUGAAGUGAUACCUCCUGUCAAUAUGCUUUGUCUUCUGGUGGAAUACAGGGUUUUUAGUGAUUGCAAUUGCUGAGAUAUUAUCACAAUGCAAUGGAGUAGCUUCAGUUUGAAGCUCUCUAAAGUCUUCUAGCACAAAACGGAGCCAAAUAGCUUGAGUAGUAGCCUCAGCUGCACUGAUGUACUCAGCUUCUGCAGUAGACAGUGCAACACAGUUCUGUUUCACUGAGGCCCAAGAAAAUACUCCACUUCCAAAACUAAACGCAUACCCUGAUGUGCUCUUGCAAUCACCAACUGAUCCUCCCCAAUCACUGUCACAGUAACCAACUAGAAUUGAUCUUUUGCCUUUCACAUAUUCAAGACCAUAGUCCAGAGUUCCUUUGAUGUAUCUCAAAACCCUUUUAGCUGUUCCAUAGUGUCUAUUUGUAGGACAGUGCAUGAAUCUAGCUAGCAAGCUUGAGGCAUACAUGAUGUCUGGUCUUGUAGCAGUUAAGUACAGCAAGCUACCAACAAUGCUUCUGUAUUGUUCUUCAUUUGCAGCUCAACUCCCAUCAUCCUUAGCUAGUUUCUCAGUGGCAACAAGGGGUGUUGUCACAGGUUUGCACUCAGUCAAACCAAACUUGCUCAACAAGGUGCUAGCAUAUUUCUUUUGAUGUAGAAAUAUACUAGACUCAGUCUGAAUAACUCCCAUGCCAAGAAAGUGAUGAAGUAAGCCCAAAUCAGUCAUCUCAUACUUAGCCAUCAUGUCUUCUUUGAAUUCAGCCAACAAUGCUUGACUGCUCCCUGUAUACACAAUAUCGUCUACAUAGAUAGACACAAUUAGAAUCUCCUUAUCUCCCCUUACUUUGGUAUAUAAGGUUGUUUCACUUAAGCUUUUCACAAAACCACAUUGAGUGAAGUAGCUGUCUAUCUCUCCAUACCAAGCCCUUGGGGCUUGCUUCAGACCAUAAAGGGCUUUAUGCAAACGAUAAACCUUGUCUUCUUUACCUUUAAUUACAAAACCUUCAGGCUGACUGACAUAAACUUCCUCUUGCAGCACACCAUUAAGGAAAGCAGACUUCACAUCAAGCUGGAACAAUUUCCAAUCCUUUUGAGCAGCUAGAGCAAUAAGUGUUCUAAUGGUGUCCAAUCUGGCUAUAGGUGCAUAAGUCUCAUUAUAAUCCAGUCCAGGCUUCUGAGCAUACCCCUUAGCCACUAAUCUUGCUUUAUUCUUUUGCACUGAGCCAUCCAAAUUCAGCUUUGUCUUGUACACCCACUUAACUCCAAUCACUGGUUUUUCAGUUAGUCUAUCUACCAAUUCCCAUGUUUCAUUCUUUUCAAUCAUCUGCAGUUCAUCUUCCAUAGCCUUAAGCCAAGAUUCAUCCUGAGCAACAUCAGCAUAUUUUUCUGGUUCCAUGAUACACAAGUUACACUGAGCUAGAACAUCAUCUAGCCUUCUCCAUUUUAGAGGGGUGUGAUCAUAAGCUUGAGUUCUCCUUUCUUCACUGCUUAUAUCACCUGGAGUUGAUGAAAUGCUCUCUUGCAUAUCCAAAGUUUGAGGUGUACCAGUAGAAUUCUCAUUAGAACUGUCAGAUUUCAAGUCCAAAUCAACUUGGUUUUCAAUUGAGUAUGUUGUCAUAACUGAACCAUUUUUGUUUGUCCAAUGCCAAGCAUUUUCUUCAUCAAAUGUCACAUCCCUUGAUAGUAAAAGCUUGUUAGAAACAGGAUCAAAAACUCUAUAUCCUUUUUCACAAGUUGCAUAUCCCACAAACACUCCCUUUGUACUCUUAGGAUCCCGCUUGUGUCUCAAUUCAGUUGGCACAUGAACAUAACACAGAGAACCAAACACUUUCAGAUGUGCAAUUCCAGGCUUCCUUCCACUAUAUGCUUCGAAUGGAGUAAUGUUGUUGAGAGCUUUGGUAGGACAUCUGUUCAGCAAAUAGAUAGCUGUAUGCACAGCUUCUGCCCAUAGGAAAUAAGGCAUUCCCUUCUCAUGUAACAUUGAUUUUGCCAUCUCAAUGACAGUUCUAUUCUUCCUCUCAACUACUCCAUUCUGCUGAGGAGUAUAGGCCAUUGUAAGCUGCCUUUGAAUGCCAUUAGCUUCACAAAACUCCAAAAAAUCAGUAGACAUAAACUCUCCACCCCUGUCACUUCUUAUGCACUGAACCUUGUGUCCAGUUUGUAAUUCAGUCAUGGACUUGAACUUCUUGAAACAAAAGAAGGCUUUUGACUUGUUUCUCAAGAAGUAUACCCAAAUCAUUCUUGUGAAAUCAUCUAUAAUCAGCAUGAAAUAUCUGUUCCUUGCAACAGACUCAUUUCUCAUGGGACCACAGAGAUCCACAUGUAUUAGCACUAGUACUUUGCUUGCUCUUUGAGCUUGAUCUUUUGGAAAAACAUUUCUGUGCUGUUUUCCAAAUUGGCACCCGUCACACACACCACUUUGUUCUUCCAAUUUUGGUAAACCAUGUACCAUUUCUUUAUCACUUAGCUGCUUCAAUCCUCCAAAAUGCAGAUGACCAAAUCUCUUGUGCCAAAUCCAUGUGGAUUGAAGAAAACUAGUCUUCAUUAGUAACUGUUUUUCAGCUAGAAAAGAGACAGGAUAGCAUCUGUUACUCUUCAUUUGCACCUUUAUGAUGAGAUAAUCCAUGGAUGGGCUAUCAAAUACCCUGCACAUCCCUUCUCCAAACACUAGACAGUACCCAUGUUCAUCCAUCUGCCCAACACUUAGCAGAUUUUCUUUCAAUCCUGGCAGAUACAUUACUUCUCUGAUGUAUUUCCUGCCCUUUGCUGUAUCAAUACUCAGUGAGCCAAUACCAGCUACACUCACUAAUGCACCAGUUGGCAUUUGUACUCUCCCAGCUACAUUAGUUCUCACAUCAACCAGCAAAUCUAAAUUUCCUGUCAUAUGAUUGCUGCAGCCACUGUCAAUGUACCAUUCAUUGGUUUUGAUCUCAGUGGUUGAGCAAUUGGCAUAAAACAGGUUUCCUGUAACCUCCAUUUGAUUUACACAAUUAGCCUUCUGCACAUUUUUGCUCACUGUACAGUCUCUAGCAAGAUGUCCAACUCUGUCACAGUUAUAGCAUUUUGGUUUUCCCUUAUACCUGCACUCACCAAAAUGAUGCUUUGAACACACCUUGCAUUGAGGCUUUGUGUUUUCCUGAUUUGAGAACUGUGUUGAAGUGUGGUUCUGUGCAGAAUAAUUAUUCUGCUGUGUCUUGUCUUUUGCCUCCCAUGACUUCCCUUUAGAGUUCCAGCUUCUCUGUGACUUAGAUGAACCAGACUGAGAAGCAUUUUUGUUCUGACCCUUUGAAUUCACAGUGAAUGAGGCAAAUGCCUUCUCAGCUGUAUCAACACUAUGCAUUUCAAGCCUUUGCUCCCGACUCUUCAAAAUGGCAGUUACUUCCUGCAAAUCCACAGUUUCUAGUGUCUUUGUGUUUUCAAUCACAAUGCAUAUAGGGUCAUACUUCUUACUUAGACUAAUUAACACCUUCUGAACCUACCUCUCAUUUGACAGAACUUCACCAAAUGUUUUCAUUUGGUUAAUCAAUUCAGUUAGUCUAGUAAGAUAUUCAGAUAAGGUUUCACUAUCACGCAUCCUACUGUAUUCAAACUCACGUCUAAGGUUUUGAAGCUUUACCGAUCUAACAUGCUCUCCACCAUGAUAUUCUGAGUACAGCAGAUUCCAAGCCAUCUUUGCAGAGUCAGCAUUGGCAAUUCUGGGAAAAAUCUGAUCAGAAACAGCAUUUUGAAUGAUACCCAAGGCCUUCGCAUCCUUCAUGAGAAUCGCAGCUGUUUUCUCAUCAACUUCUUCUUCUGAACCAUCCUCAGAUUCCUGCUUCGUCUUUGAAUCUGGGAUUAAAAACCCCUUCUCUACCAAACCCCAUAAACCAUAUGAUCUGAAUAUGGUUACCAUCUUAAUCCUCCAAAAUUCAUAGUUCUCACCUGAGAAAAUGGGGAUUCUAGCCUCUGAACUUCCAGAUCCAGCCAUUACGAAUUUCAGAUUCGCCUGGAAACAAGAUGUUUUCAGAUUUGACCCUUGAUCGAGCUCAAUCAGCUUCGUGAGCUUAGAAUGAGCUCACCUCGAUCGAUUUUCUUCACAGAACAACGCCCAGCUUCAGAUAAUCAAACUUGGCUCUGAGGCCAUGUUAGAGUUUUAGGAUCUGAGUGUUAGAUAUUGUGAGAAGAGAGAAGAGAAUUUAGUGAAAAUUUCCAAUACUGCUCUGCUAUACGUGUAGCAGAGAGAACAUUCUCUUUUGCUAUAUAUUUUCAGUACAACAACACACACUUGGUGUGAGAAGAAAAAUGACUGUUAUGCACAGUACCAGCUGGAUGCUUUCCAUCAAAGUAAUCUCAGCCAUUCACUAUCUAACCAAUCAAGCUAUGACACCUGGACUAAGUAUAAAGAAAUACAACUAAGCAGAAAACAAGACUCUUAAUCCUGAAAUCAACUUAAGCACUUAUAAUUCAACAUUGUUACCAUAAGAGCCAGCUCCGACUUUCUUUAAUUUCAGUCCUAACGGGGUUUCAUCUUCCACUCAUCUUUGCUCUUCUCAGUGUAAGCUCUGCAAUUUGAUUAACUUUCCCAUUAUCUCUCACUGUACUCUAUAUAAAGGAAUAAGUGUCGUCCACUAAUUAAUUACACUUUGUGAGAUUUGAUUUUAAUUAGAGUUCGAAUUGAUGUUGCAGCUAGCAGCGGUGGCACUGGCAAACCAUGCUGCUCAACCAGCACCUCAACUUUACUGGAACUCCGUCCUGCCAAACACACAAAUGCCAAGAGCUAUCAGUGAACUUCUGCAUCCUGGUUUGUGUUGAAUAAAUAUAGUAUGUUACUGGAGUACGUAUGGCAACAUAUUCACAAAUGUGUCACGUAUUUUCCAAUAUGACGUUGAUAUAUAAUUGCAGACUCCACAAACGAAGAAAAGAGCACAAAUGUCAUGAAUGCUGUUGGGAAUGGAAAGCCAAUUGACCACAAGGGCAACCUGAAAAUACUGUACUACCACAGCUUGCACGACGCCCAUUUUCUUACAAGAGUGAUGAUCGUCCCACUGACAAUCAACUCCAUUAUAAAAACGUAGCUAUUUUCUUCUUGGAGAAGGACAUGCGCCCUGGCACAACAAUGAGCUUCCAAUUCCCUAGAAAUUCAAACACGGCUACUUUCCUGCCACCAGAAAGAGCUCAAUCGAUCCCCUUCUCCUCUAACAAACUACCAGAAAUUUUCAACCAUUUUUCAGUGAAGCCAACAUCUGUGGAAGCCAAAACAAUUAAGCAAACAAUCGAAGAGUGUGAGGCUCCAGGCAUUAAGGGAGAGGAAAUAUAUUGCGCCACAUCUUUAGAAUCAAUGGUUGAUUUUAGCACUUCGAAUUUUCGAACAAGAAACGUUCAAGCAAUCUCGACAGAGGUAUUGGAAAAAGGUGCCACCAUGUCCAUGCACAAGCAUACAACAAUGCCGGGACUGAAGAAGUUGGCAGGUGACAAAGUCGUUGUGUGUCAUAAGCAGAACUAUCCCUAUGCUGUGUUUUACUGCCAUGUAAUAAAACCAACAGCAGCUUAUGUUCUCUCCCUGAAAGGCGAUGAUGGGGUGAAGAUUAAAGCAGUAGCCAUCUGCCAUCUAGACACAUCAGAAUGGAACCCAAAGCAUUUGGCCUUCCAAAUCCUCAAAGUUAAGCCCGGAACAAUUCCCAUCUGCCAUUUCCUUCCCACUGAUCAUAGUGUCUGGGUUCCGAACCACAAAUCUGCAUGAUCAUCACUUAGCACUGUACGUAUAAUAAGCUUGCACCCCUGUAUAAUUAUCUCCCUACUCUACUUAUUUCUGCCUCUUCAUGUGGUGUAAGAUAUAUGAUGAGAUGAAGUUUUUGGGAUUAGUGGUCGGGUUGCCUUAAAAACACAGAUUACAGAAACUGCUUGAACUUAACCCGAUCAUGUUUUCUCUUGUACUCGUAAAGCAUGCUGUUGUGGUUCUACUUAAUUUCGUUCUCCCCAAUGUUUGAGUGUUUAAUUGUUACGUUGGAUAAUGCUUGUAGUUAGAGAAGCCUUCAUUUAUAUCAAAGUCCUCAACUUGUAAAGAUAUCAAUGGUCCUAGUGCUGCCACGUGUAAGAAGAUUGAAGAAUAAAGCUGUUGAGAUAUUGUUAGACCUGUUAUGCAGUUUAGGAAAACUGUUAGUAUUGAUAAGAGAAGGUUAGAGAUGUUAGAGAGGUUAGAAAACACGUGAACAAGGCUUUAACUCAGCUGAUAUAAAGUCUGUAGUUGUGCUCAGUUGAACUUAAUGAGAAAUACAACAAGUCUCUUCUCUAUCUCUGAAAUUCUCUCUGCUCUCUCUGCUUUACUUCUUUUGUCUCUGCUCUACAUUUUUUUUCAAUCUUCCUAUCUUAACAAAACUAUCAAGAAUUAAUGCAUCCAGAAACAUAUAUACCAAGACGCAAAACAACAUAUUUUUCAUGCUCUGUCUGUAACACCAAAGCAAACUUCCUUUAUCACAAAAGGAUCAAAUUCCAGUACUAAUCUAAUCCAUCAUGUAAAGCAUACAAUCUACAAGUGCCUCCCUUAAUUUGUCCAUUGGAUAUAUAUGUCACUUUUUGGUAAUUUGGUAUAGCAGCACCACGUAGUCUUGAAAUAGUAGUGCGGCUAUACCAAAUAUACCAUUUGCCCCUGCAUUUAACAGAAAAGUAAACAAAAUUGACGGUAGAACUAUUUGUCCUAACGAAACUGCAGUUGAAAGACCAUGAGAACGAUUUUGAAAAUUGAGGGACUCAAAUGAAAAUUGGGUCUAAGUUCAAGAACCAAUAAAACGAUUAACCCAUAGAUUUUGGAUCCAGUACCACAUCCCAAAGAGAAAACCACAAGUUUGCAAGCAAGUUUGUCCAUAAUAACACUACGUACAGUAUGGGCAGUGCGCUAGACUCAUCUCACUUUCUCAACCUAUCCUAUAGUUGUCUAAAAGAGUUUCUAAUUUAAUGUACUGAGAUUUACGAAAGAAAUAUCAGAGAAACAAUUUUCAGGCAAUAAAAAAAUGUCUUGGCAAGAAAAUGUACAAUUUGUUACAUAACUUAUUAAAUAUGAACAGUUGAAAGAAAAAAGAAUCUGGAUGAGGGAUUUGCAAAUUCCUAUGGCCCAAUUACCUUUUUUUCUUUGUUGUUUUUUUUUUUUUUUUUUUGGUUCUUUUGAUCCAGUAGCAUAUUCCAAAGAAUGAAAACCACAGGCAUGCAAUGCAAGCUCUUUUCCCACGUUUUCCUCUGUUUUUCUCCUAUCAUGGAAGUGAUUAAAACACACCUCUAAGCUUGUUUUGCGUUUGGUAGCCGAGUGUAAAAGCUCAAUGCAAGAUAGUUUGAGGUAGAAUUUUCUCCUAUUUUAUUAGGACAAUGAUAAUUAAAAAAAAGUGUGAUUCAUUGAAUAUUUGCGGGGUUUUGUUCAGACCUGACAAAGUUCUAAGUCAACACAUCAAAUUCCUUUUUCCAACAUGCAACAAUUGUAUUUGAUUCCCAAUUUUUUCUGAUAUACAUCACAUCAUGCCACUUGCAUCAAAUGAAUUUAAUUGAGUGAGGCAAUGGGAAGUAAUUAAGCUCUGUAUUCGUGGGUGGAGUGUUACUUCUGGAACCCUAAUAAUUCGUCCCUACAGGACUCUAGAACUCUCAAACUUCUUACAAGGACUACUUAACUCUAUAGCUUAAUGCAUAUAGCAUAUAUAUGCAAACACAAUUAGAAAUUCUACAACAGAAGCAAGAUCAAUCUCACUAUGCCUUCUAAACAAACAAACAAAUAAAACAAGCAUAUUAAUUGCUUUAAUCACUCUACUAACAUCAACACAGCACACUUAGUUUACUAACAGAUGAUAUAGAAAGGAAAAAAAAGGACCAAUAGGGAGAAAAUGGUGAACUAAGGAGAGACUAAUACUUCUGGUCCUUAGAAGGCAUAACAGAAAUAAUAGAGCACACUGCUUGAAUGCAAGUCAGUAUUAGGAGCAAAACAGCUGCAAUGAAAGAAAUAGUUGCCCAAGGUGUAUUGAAAUAAUGUUGCCUCAAAUUUGCCUUCCAUUUGUUCCAAGGCUUUCUGCAGUAGCUAUUAAGGCGCUCAGAAAGAAUAGCAAAGUAGAAGCUUUCACGAUACACUGCAAUUCCUUUUCCGAGGUUGUUAAUCAGAGUGCACACCUCAUUGUAGUCACCAAGCAUAUUUUUGACAAUCCCAUCCUUCAGAAGGAACUCCACAUCCUUUUCGGUGUUCACAAACUCAUCCAUGAGUGAAACAUAAUCACUUAUGUAAUUCUUACGGCAAUGGCACUAUUCAAAGGCAAUGAGGUUACGGAGUGUGAGCUCUGUGUAAUCGUGUAUUUUUAGUUUUGGAAUUUCUAGAAUCCCAUCGUUGAAUUGUGUUAACGCAGCUUUCCUUUCCUAGCCUACACGGAAGUCAACUUCACAAUCUCCUCCUAGCAAUUAGUCUUUCCUGCUGUAAAUCAGAUUUCCUACUGUAAAUCGGAUUGUAUUCAUGUCUAUAUUAUUUCCUACUUUAAGUAGAUAUCUUGUACUAGUAUAAAUAGGGACUUUGUGUAAUCUGUUAAAUACAAGGAAAUAUAUACUCUGCAUGGUAUCAGCCUAACCUAGGGUUCUCUCUCUCUCCCUUAUUCGAUCCUCUUCUCCUUUAGGUCCACCUCAUGGCUUUGUCUGAAUCCACCAUCUCCCUCCCAAGCCCCAACUCUUCUAUUUUAUCAAGCUUAUUGACUCCAACUAUCUUCUUUGGCUCCGCCAACUCAAACCCUUUUUAGUCGGCCAUGACCUCUGGAAAUUUAUCGAUGGCAUUCAUAAACAACCUUCUGCCCACACCUCCACCUCUACCACCGCAACACCCACAACCACCACCACUCUUACCCAAAUCAAUCAUGCCCAUGCUCAGUGGUACCAACAAGACCAACUCAUUGUUAGCUACAUCACCAAUACACUCUCUGAGUCCAUUCUCUUUCUCACUGUUGGUUGCACCUCUGCCCGGGAUCUCUGGGAGUGUCUCCAACGCCACUUCUCUCAAUCCAGUAUGGCCAGUGAAUCUACUCUUCGUUUUAAACUCAUGGAUUUGCAAAAAGGCUCUGAACCCACUUAUGCUUACAUUCGUCAUGCUAAGUCCUUUGCCGAUUCACUGGCUGCCAUCAAUGAACCUGUCUCCCCAAAAGAACUUGUCACUACUGUGCUUUGGGGUUUAAGACCCUAUUGCAACAUCCUCGUCACAGCAAUUCUCAAUUUCCCUCUGCUUCCUAACUUUGCUAAUCUUCGUGCUCGUUUGUUAGCAUUUGACGCACAGACUCCUUGAAUCUCUCCUGAUCAAAACACAGCGCAAAUGGCCACCCAAUCCUCUCCUCACACCACCGGUCAUACUUCCUUCCCUUCUCACCGUGGUGGUGGCUCUUCCAACAACAGGCGUGGUGGCCUCGGUGGCUGGCGCAAUAGCGGCCGGGGUGGCUGGCGCAGCUUCUCAUCUUCCUGGAGCAACCCGUGGAAUGGCUUCCAGCAGCUCCAAUGACCUAAUCAACCAUGGCCUCCUUUUGCUCCAAGUUCUGGAUCUCAAAGCAACUGGCCUUCCUUUCAGCCUCCUUGGGCCUAAUCUGCCGCUUCUAUCAAACACUUUGCCCGGCCCAACUCAGCUCCUGGUGUCUUGGGACCCGCUUGGUGCACUACCUGCAAUACCAAUCACAUACUACUACAAUAUGUCCUCAUCGCUACAAUGGCCCAGAAUCCUUUCUUUGCUAGGGCUCAAUUCAUGUAGCCACCUGACUCUACUUGGUACCCUGACACAAGUACCACUCAUCAUAUGAUUGGUAGUCCUUCUAAUCUCCAAAAUCAAUCCUUCUAAUCUCCAAAAUCAACAGCCAUAUCAGGUUCAUAAUUCUGUAUUUCUUGGUAAUGGAGAUUCUCUCCCUAUCUCUCAUACUAGCUCUCUCUUUUGUCUUCCAUCUCUUCGUACUAAUCUUCUUUUUGUUGCCCAUUUUACUUGUGAUAAUUUAGUUUUCUUUGUCUUUACUCUUGACUUUUAUCAAAUCUAUGACUUAUGUACUGGUUCGUUACUCUUUCAGGGCCCUUCUAAAGAUGGUCUUUACCCACUUUCCAUCUCCUCUCACUCAUCCAUAGUCCCCCAUGCCCUUACCACCGUGCACUCUCCUGCUUGGCAUCAUUGCCUUGGCCAUCCAUUCCAUCGUGUGCUCUCUCAUUUAGCGCCAUCUCUAGGCUUUAAAGUUUCUCAUGCUUUCUGUAAGGAUUGUGCACUUAGCAAAUCCACCAAACUGUCAUUUCUUAGUAAUAAAACCUUUGCCCCAUCUCCCUUUUAUUUAAUUCACUCUGAUGUAUGGAUGUCCUCGGUCAUUUCUGUCACUGGUUAUCGCUAUUAUGUCUUGUUUACAGAUGACUUUUCUCGUUACUCCUGGAUCUAUCAUAUGCACCGUAAAAAUGAGGUCUUUUCUCACUUUCAAACCUUUCUUGCUAUGGUUAAAAAUCAAUUUCACACCACUGUACAAAUUCUUUAAAGUGACAAUGGCACUGAAUAUGUUAAUAAUGCUUUCUCUGAUCUUUGCAGUCAACUAGGCAUCCACCAACGUUUCACAUGUCCCCACACUCCCCAACAAAAUGGCCUAGCUGAACAUAAACACAGACACAUUGCCACCAUGAUCUGUCCCCGGUCAUUUAUUCAACCAUCUUGACCUUUUGCUUGAUCAUUUUCCACAAGCAACCGUCCACGUACCCCAAUAAUUUAAAAGGGCUGAUGAUCUUUAAUUUGGUGAAAGCUUCUAUCUACCUACCGUGCUAUAUAUGAGCUAUGCAAUCGUGACCGUGUUACAUGACGUCCCAAUGUCGUAGGGAUAAAAAAAUAAUAGUCAUGGUUUUCUUAUUAAUGUCAAUACAUUCAUAGCAAAGAGCUUGUAGCUCUAGUGGUUAAGAGCAAUUACCCAUGCACUUGAGAUAUUUUGUGUUUAAAUCCCCUCUUCCCCAAUAUUUCUUGUAUAAAAAUAAAAAUAACAAUAAUAAUGACAUUAAUGUUGUAUUCUAUAAAGUGUUGGACAUGUUUUAUACCCCUUUCUUGCAAAUUACAGUUUGCCACGUGUACAAAAAUAAUAGAUAAGUGUUGGACAUCAAGAGCACUUACAUAUAGGUUUAAUAGGUAAGUUUUGAAUAUUUCUGUAUUUAGCUUUAAAUAUUGAAAAUCAACCUAUUAGCAUAUUAAAGAUUUGUCCAUAUUCGACGUACAUUCUCUUAUUUUUCUCUCAUUGAAGUAAAUACAAAACUAAGCACAUAGUGGGAAAGUGCGUCACGAUUAGGGGUGGGUUUAGUCUAGGUUGGUUCAUUUUUGGGCUCAAUUUGAACACCGAACUGUAAGCUUCGGUUUGGCUAUUUUGGAAACCGAAACCAAACCAUAAUUGAUGAAAACCGACCACUUCGAUUACCUUCUGGUCUUCCAACCAGAAGAAAACUCAAAACUUUAACCAUACCAAGUGCAACAGAAUUACACCAGGCUGGAUUCAAGUUUAUGAUGGUUAAAGAUAAAAACUUAUUUGACAUACAAUUUGAGAAUGGAAUCCUCAAAAUUCCACACCUGCGAAUACGGGGUUUAACAGAAAUUUUCUUCCGCAAUCUUAUUGCCUAUGAGCAGUGUGAGCUUCAUGAUCAUUACAUCAACGACUAUGUCUUCAUCAUGGACCGCCUGGUCGACAGUGCCAGGGAUGUGGAAUUGCUUGUGAAGAGUGGAAUUCUUGAAUCUAUGCUACCGGACAGCGAGGCAGCAGGGGAAUUUAUUAAUUCUCUUGACUUGGGGCCUAUUUUAGGCAAGCUUGAAACAAGACUAUUUCAGUUCACCAUGGGCUGGCCUGUCUAUUAUUGUAGCCGCUAUACUAGUUGUGCUCACAUUUAUUCAAACAGUGUGCUCCGUAAUGGCGCUGUAGGUUCUUCAUUUCCUCAAUUUCAUGUUUAGUGGUUGCAGAUUUGUUGCUCAUGUACGUGUUUAUCUAAAGUUAAAUAAGAGUGAUUGACUGGAUUGACUGUUAGUCUGUUAGUUUGUUUUUCUGGGGUUUUUCCCCCCUGUUCGUCAAAAAAAAAAAUAAAAGAGUGAUGGCUUGUGCCUAUGAAAAUUACUUAGGAGUAUGCUCCACAGAGCCAAAAUAAAUAAACUAGGGAAGUGGAGGUUCUUCUGUUUGUAUAUAAAUGAGCAAUUCAAACUCUCAGUGCCAAGGGAGUUACCCUUGAUACAUUUGUUAAAAAUUAUAUAUUUGGUCUUACAUCAAACAAAUAAUUUGAAGGGCUUUUUUGACAACUGCUGACAGCGUUUGGCAGAAAAGUUUAGAAGCGCUUCUACGCUUCUAGAUCAUAAAAGUGCUUUACCAAAAAGCACUUAGAUUUCUUAUGAAAAUUUCAACAUUUUUAUAAUAAAAGCGCUUGCUAGAAGCACUUAUAAGCAGAAGUGCUUCAUAGAGAAGCAGUCCCAAACGAGCUUGAUUUUCAAAUGUGCUGCUUAAGAAGAAAUUUAAUACGUUUUGAAAACAAAAAAAAAUACGAAAUUUAAUACGUUUGUUUUACAAAUUGUAUUAAUUGUUAUCAAUAAUACUUGUGCACACCCACAACAUACUUCUUUCUUUCUUUAUUUUCCUUCAGUACAGUUCUGCCUUUCUUUAAUUAUUUUUAACGAAUGCAAAGAGUUUGUCACAAAAUCAAGGAUUGAAAAAAAAAGAGAGUAAAUUAUGUGCUAGAGAAACUUUCCUGCAGAAAUUGAAGAACAACUCUAGUUUCUCUCUUUCGCCUUGUACUCCCGCACUGAGGUUAGUAUUGUUAUAAUGUGCAGAUUAUACGGUCACUCUUGUAUAAUGGCGAGAAGGCUCUAAUUAUAUUUUUGAACCUCUUUGACAGGACCCGCCCCGAAUUUCCCGAAACCCAAGACGAAUUCUGUGGAAAUUCCCUACAUCACCCCGAUGUUGGGCCCACUUCUAAAACUAUAUCAUUUUUCCUAAAAAGGAAUAAGGGCACGAGACUUUCUACCGAAAUUUCGGCAGAGUCUCUCCUGUAAAUUGAACAUUUCCCAAAAUUUCAACCUGCAUAAAACACAUUUUAUAUUACCCAACUGGCAGCAUGCACAAAAUAAUAACAUGCAAUUCACAUAAACGGCCUCUGGCCCUCCGGUAAUUCAGAGCAAUGCAAACUAGCAACUCUAAACCUAAUAAAACAACAUAAGUAACAUUUAGCCAGCGGCUGCACCCAGGCACUACCCUAGGCUACCUACGUACCCUUACUAAGGGAUCAAGCCACACGUAGUUCUUUCAUACAAAAUUUCCAAAUCCAUCAACAUGCAAUCAAUUACAGAAUCCCAAACAAAAUCUUUCUCAAACAUCAUUAGUUCCCAACUCAGUAUAAUAAUCCUUAAUUCAUCUCUGUAAUAAUCACAAUAUCUCCCCAUACGCCGGAACUACCAACACCACGUAUGGAGCCUGCCUGUACGCCAGAUAACCAACGACACGUGGGACCUCAUCAUCAUAUCACAUAAUCUCCCCAUACGCCGAAACUACCAACACCACGUAUGGGGUCUGUCAACACGCCGGAUAACCUACGACGUGUGACCUCAACAUCAAAUCACAAUAUCUCCCCAUACACCGGAACUACCUACGCCACGUAUGGGGUCUGUCCACAUGCCGGAUAACCUACGACACGUGGGACCUCAUCAUCAUAUCACAUAAUAUAUUAACGAUCAAGAAAUAUCACUACGGUCAUUUAAUCCUCCUGGGAAGGUAAAACUAUCUCAGGAGACUCACGGUCAACCAAGGGUCAAACUACCUCAUACUUGGACAAACGAGCCCACGGAGCCCACAACCUCCGUUUUACUAUCCAAGAGUUCCUAUAGGUUCUACAAGGUUUAGGAUACACGGCUUGCAAGUUUGGUCAAGAUCAGACGGUCGGAUCGCUCACGAUAGGACGGUUACUGCAAACCUAGCCCUAGGGUUGGCAUUUUCGGAGUAUCCGAAACUCCGUUUUACGAUCUGUCGAAUCAUAGACGAUCCUAAGGAUUUGCAGACUAACUAUAAUAAAUUCAAGACCAUCCAACGGUCUAAACCUAUCGAACCCGGAUAACGCGCAAUAGGCAAUAUCCAAAUUGAAAUCCGAGCACACCUACGCACUCGUGAGGACUAGGAGAUUACAUCGGGACAUAGUGCCCUUUUUCUACAGUGCCCAUGAGCCGCCGCACGCACCAGCAACGCGUGGGUGCCCAAAGCGAUUAUGCAUCGCCAAAAAAUCUCAAAACCACGGCUCAAGACUCCUACCCUAGGUAUAACACCCUAUUUGGAACCACUUUUGUUCUUGGACCUACCCCAAAAACUGAUCAGAAGUGGCCGGAAUGGCUGAAAUGUAAUUCAAAAAUCAAGCUACCAACGCUCAAAAUCGAUGCAAUCCUACCCAACCAUCAACUAGAUUAUGAAGAAUGGAUAAAUUUCCAUACCUUGAUCGCCAACAAUGGCGGCCGGAGGAGAGAGAUCUGAUCCGGCGAAGUUCGAGUGAAAACGGCCAAAAAUCAUCUUUUUCAGGCGGCUGGAGGGCGACCGAUGUCAGGGAAGGGCAGGGUCGUGACGCUAAGGCUGAGCCUGUCCUUUUGGCACCGGUCCCUUCCGCAGCCGUGUCCGGUGGCUGGAGUUUCGAAGAGAGAGAGAGAGAGAGAGAGAGAGAGAGAGAGAGAAAUCUGAUUUUUAUCAAACCUUUUUGCCAAAAUUACGGUUAUGCCACUGAGGGUAUUUUGAUAGUAUCUCUCUCGUUACAACUUCGAUUCGAGCCCACCACGUGUGUACGGACUCAUCUAACUGUGUUGUACGCAACGGUAUAGUCGAAAUUCCCAAAUUAUUUCCUUGUCAAAAAGUCAACUUUAAACAUUAUAAAAUAUUUUAGGGAAAAAAUGGUAUUUUCUCUCAAUAAAUUAGUAACUAAUUUAUUUAGGACUGGGUCAUUAUACUCUUUUUCGCUUCAAUGGAUGGGAAAAAAUUUUAUGUAAUAUCCCACAUCGACCAACGAAGAGGGGGCGAUGUGUCUUAUAUGUACAUGCCCGCCUCCAUCUAGCAUAAGGCCUUUUGGAAGCUCACUGGCUUCAGAGUCAUGGGAACUCCGAAGUUAAGCGAGUUGGGGGCUAGAGCAAUCCCAGGAUGAGUAACCCACUGGGAAGUUGCUCGUGAGCUUCGAGAAACAAAACCGUGAGGGCAGAGAGAGGGGCCCAAAGCGGACAAUAAGGCCUCGUGCUAGAUGGAGGCGGGCAUGUACAUAUAAGGCACAUCACUCUCUCUCCGUUGGUCGAUGUGGAAUGUUAGAAUGGAAUUGUUACCUUUGGUGUGGAGGUGUUCUAUCAUUUGAGCAAGAAAUUCCCACAUAUUCUUCAACUAUUUUUCAAGCAUGCAUAUUCCUCCCUAUCAAUCUUUGGUUUCUUCCUUUACUGUGCAUAGUAAGGAUCCAGUCAGGGACGGACCGUCGCUAUGACUAUCCUGGGCUAUAGCCCAGGCAAAUUAUUUUUUUUUCUAGUCUAAAAUAGCAAUCCCACCGCUUGCUGUAGUACUUGUUCAGUUCGUCACAAACAUGAGCAUAAUAGAAGUUAUCAACAUCUAUAUAGGAACCCCAAUGAAAAGGCUGUUAACUAAUAAUGAAGUUAACCCGUCAAUUUUUCCGCAUAUCAGAUAUCUCUCAGAAUAUGCGAUUCCAUAUUCAAUAAGCCACUCCACAUGCCCUGAGGUUUUCAUCAAACCACCCAUUAAGGAAACAUACUGACUCAUGUAAUUAUCAUUACUCAUCGGGUAAUGCAAUUGUUCAAAGGCAAGGACAUUUCUCAUUAUUUAUGUAGCGAACCCCAAUGGAAAUGGUGGGAUCUUCAGAACCCCAUCGGUGCUACUGAAUUGUAUGUCAAAUAUGUUUUCACCUUGUCACGCCUCAAACUUGACUCCAGCGUGCUGUAAUUCUGUCAAGCUGGGUAUGGAUGAUGGGAGUUUGAUGCAGGAGCAUAGGGGUGGAUCAAGAUAGAUAUUUACUAUUUAAUUAGUUAUUUCAUGAUAUAUUGUUAUUUUCUUAUUUAGGUAGUUUUAUGAUAUCUUUUAUUAUUUAUGUGUGAUUUUAUAAUUAAUUAGUAUACUUUUGGACCAAGUAGCCUUGGUGCUCAAGUCUUGUAAAGCCUAUAAAUAAGGCUAAUGUAAUAGUUGUAGAAUAGAUGUCGAUGAUUAAUAAAAUCGUUUAUUUGUGGCAUGGAUUUGCUACGAUAUAUGUGAGUUUGCACUAGCCCUAGAUUUCAGUGCUCGUGUAUGUGGUUGGUGACCUGUGUCCGGAUCCCGAUCCCCAUCAAUUGGUAUCAGAGCUAUGGCUCAAGAUCUGCUAUAUCGGGGAGGUUUUUGGAUGGAGGGUCGUUUUAACAACUACAACGACAUGGAGGAAAUUAGGAGGAUGCUACGGCAACUUAUGGAACACAUUGCUCGCAUUGAAGCUCGAACCCAGAUAGGUAAGAGUUCUGACGGGGAGGGAUGUGUGAACCCUUAUCUGAACCGAGUAGCUCGCAUCGACACUCUAAGCCGUGAGAGUCUCGACGGGGAGUACGAGGGAGAUAGCCCUUUUCAUUAUUGUGCUCCGCUGUGUGAGUCAAGUGAAGAGGGGCACGGUUAUUCUCAUUGUGUCUUUGAAGGUAUAAAUGAAUUUAGUAAUUUUGGUGCAUCUUGUUAUUCAUCAAAGUUAUUAAAUUUGGAUUUACCUCCAUUAUUUGAUCCUUGCAAUUGUGAAAAUUGCAAUAAAAAUUGUUUGGGUGUUCAAAGCAAUUUUGAUAAGCAAUUUAUUGACCAGAACAGUGAAGAGAUGAGAAUUGAGAAAACUUUCGAAGAUAUUAUUGAUUUUAUGGGCAUUAAUAUUUUCACUUGGAAGGUUGCCAAAAAUCUGGUUGAUUUUGUCAAUCGGUUGAAGAUUCUAGAGAGAAACAUUUGCAUUGCUAGAGGGAGUAAGAAGUCAAGAAUAACGAAAUAUUCCAAAUAUCUUUUUAUUUGGAAAGGAAGGUUUCAAUUGGAUGCUAAAAGAUCCAAAAUUAAUAUGCAGCAAUUGAAGAUUCUACUCGGAUUUUCCUUAAUCAAAGGCUUGAAUUCGAGGACGAAUUCUUUCCAACUAUGGGAGUCUGAUGCAGGAGCAUAGGGGUGGAUCAAGAUAGAUAUUUACUAUUUAAUUUGUUAUUUCAUGAUAUAUUGUUAUUUUCUUAUUUAGGUAGUUUUAUGAUAUCUUUUAUUAUUUAUGUGUGAUUUUAUAAUUAAUUAGUUUACUUUUGGACCAAGUAGCCUUGGUGCUCAAGUCUUGUAAAGCCUAUAAAUAAGGCUAAUGUAAUAGUUGUAGAAUAGAUGUCGAUGAUUAAUAAAAUCGUUUAUUUGUGGCAUGGAUUUGCUACAAUAUAUGUGAGUUUGCACUAACCCUUGAUUUCGGUGCUCGUGUAUGUGGUUGGUGACCUGUGUCCGGAUCCCGAUCCCCAUCAGAGUUCCCCUCCAGCUUUUGAUUCCAACGGUUGAUAGAGUUUAAAUAUUUUCCUGAAAAGAUCAAUAAUAUGUGCCACUGAUCUAAAAGUCUCCAAAUUGUCUUCCAAUUUGUCAACAGGCAAUAGAUGUUCGAAGAAACUGAAAGAAAUACAAAUUAUUGAAAGCCCCUCAGUAAUGCUGUUAUUGUCAGCAUUAGCAGGGAGUGUAAUUUUCUGUGGGUCGAAAAGAUCCUCGAGAAUGAAGAAUGGCAACUGAUUUUCAAGCAACCACGUAUCUGUCCAUGCAUCUUGCAACAUACCUGGUUUGUCAAAUAUGCGGUCAUUUUCGUCCCAAAAUUUGAAGUAGUCCUUCAAUAAGGGCUCAAUAACGAAGGCGGCGCCCACUAGAAUGAUUGUUACAAAUUCAUCACUGCUAAACUUGAUGGGUUCUCCAUAACAACGUCUCAAUCUUGCUUCGUGGUCCUUUAUUUUCUUAAUAUAAUCCUCCAAACUCACAUUGGUCCGACCUAUAAAAUCUUGCAGGUAUCUCUGUUUGUUCUCUUCCAAUACGACAUUCAAGCCUUCCUUUCCAUGGUGAAGUGGACCUAUAGAGACCGACUGCCUGAGGUGUGCAGAGCUUUUCAUUCACACAUACGUAGAUAAAAUGUCUGGGGGCUCAGAGAGUGAUGAAUGUGCAACAGCUAAUGGGAGGGUUUAUAUUCCUGAAGUAAGAAAUGAGGAAACACCAGCAGUUGGGAUGAAGUUUGACUCGCUUGACCUCGUUUACAAUUUCUAUAAUAGAUAUGCAUUCUUGGCUGGCUUUGGUAUUCGACUUCAUUCUAGCUUUUGGGGGAAAAAUAAGAAAGAGAUUUUGAGGAAAGAAUUUGUAUGUUGCAAACAAGGUGCAUACAAGAAGGAUGAAACUCGGGAGAGAAAAAGACAACGGGGAAUAAGUAGAUGCAAUUGCAAAGCAAAGAUUGUGGUUGUGAAGACAAAUGGGAGCAAGAAGUAUACCAUUUCUCUUUUUGCAGAGGGACACAAUCAUAAGAUGACACCCUCAGAAAGAAUGCAUUUAUUGAGAUCACACCGUCAUAUUUCAGAUUCUACAAAAGUACUCACAAAACAGUUGGGUUCAGUUAAUAUUCCCAUUCAUCAGAAGGUAAGUAUAUUCGAGGUGCAAUCCGGAGGAAUGGAUAAAAUCGGUUUUAUCAAAAAAGAUAUCUACAAUCUUGAAUGUAGUGUGAAUGGGAAGCUGAGGAACCACGAUGUUGAACUAGUGACCGAGUAUUUUAUGGCUGAACAGAAAAAAAAUGAGGCUUUUUAUUUCAAGAUUGAGGGAGAUGGGCAUGACAGGUUUAGUCGAUGUUUUUGGGCAGAUGCAACUUCUAGACGGGCGUAUGGGUUUUAUGGAGAUGUUGUUGUAUUCGAUACCACAUUCAACACGAAUCGAUACGACUUGACAUUUGCACCAAUGUUGGGAGUUAAUAACCAUGGUCAGACAAUUGUCUUAGCAUGCGCAUUUUUGAGCAAGGAAACGACUGAGUCGUUUGUUUGGAUGUUUGAGGAGUUUAAGAAAGCCAUGCCAGGUGGGGAACCUAAAACGAUCAUUACAGAUCAAGAUGCGGCAAUGGCCAUAGCGAUUUCAAUAGCCUUCCCGAGUACAUUUCAUCGACUUUGCAUAUGGCACAUCACAUCAAAGUUCUCUGUUAAGUUACCACGUGACGCUUAUAAGGAGUAUUGGCCUGAAUUUCAGAAAGCCAUAUGGGAUACUGACAAUAAGGAUGAGUUUGAUGCAAAAUGGAAUAUUGUGGUUAUAAAGGCUGGUUUGACUGACCAUCCAUGGCUAAGUUCAAUGUUUGAUUUAAGGGAAUCUUGGGUUCCAGCCUACGCACGACAAUUUUUUGCCGCUGGAAUGUCAAGCAGCCAAAGAGCGGAAGGUUCUCAUGGUUUUUUCAAGCAAUACAUAUCAAGGAGAAAUUCGUUGAUGGAUUUCAUAAUACGAUUUGAGAGGGCAUUUUCUCAUCAACGUGAAAAAGAGUUAGUUGCUGAUCACGUAGAUGCAUUUGAAGUGGCUCAAUGUCUUCUACCGAUGCCAAUGAACAAACAAAUGGCUACCUUGUACACAAGGACAAUGUUUCAAAAGUUUGAGCAAGAACUAAUACAAAGUACAGCAUGUUUCCUAGAGCUCAAAACAGAGGAUGCAUGUAAAGUUGUGUUCAACGUGAGCGAAAGGAAAAAUUGGGAAACAAGAGUGGCAGAAGUCGUAUAUGUCAAAGAUUCUGACCACGCAUCGUGUAGCUGCAAAAGAUUUGAAUUUGUUGGAAUUAUUUGCAAGCACAUCCUAGCAUUGUUCAGAAGGGACCAGAUUGAAUAUAUGCCCGAUAAAUAUAUUUUGAAGAGGUGGAAGAAAACUGCGAAAUGUGGAUUGGUGUCAGAUGCAAAUGGCAACGAAAUUAAAGACUGUGCAGAUCCUGGCCUUCUAAUAAAGCGGAGUACAAUGUCUCGACUUGCUUCAAAUGUGGUUGAGGAUGCAUUAAUGAGUGAAGAAGGAUGUGAGCUACUGUCAGAGACUCUAAAAAGUUUGCAGGUGAAGUUGAAGUUGCUGAAGGAUGGACCAAGUAAUAACGAAGUUGGAGGGUCCAGCUCUCAAACACAAUAUAUGAAAGACCCUAAGAGAGUGAGGUGCAAAGGAAGGUCGAAAGGAAUAACGGGAGCAAAGGAAAAGGCAAUGAAGCGAGGGAUUAGACACUGUCGGGAGUGUGGACACAUUGGUCAUGAUAGAAGACAAUGCCCAGCCUUGAACACACCGUAAGAUGCUACCACUAUUUGUAAUAAUAUCUAAAAUAUGAAAAGGUAAAAUUUUUAUGUGCUUGUGUUUGAUGUUUAUGCAGGACAUCACCGUCGAACAAUGACAAAUCAACUCCAAUACAUCGUAGUGACCCAUUAUUCGACGAUUUUGACAAGAUGCACAGACCAACUGAAUGAUUGAUAUUUGUAUUAGACGAAAUGUGGUUGUUAUGAAGAUUAAUGAUCAAGUGAAGUUUUAUAGAUUCAGUUUUUGAAUGUUAUUGUGUUUUUGUUCAUGUCCACCGAUGAGCUCUUACUAUGUCCACUGGUAAUUGAAAUGAAAAUUUUCUUGGUUUCAUUCUUCCAAGACAUUUGGAGACAUGUUAAUUUUACGUCUUCUCCCUAUUUAUAAAUUUUCAUAGACAUUUGAUCAAGUUUGAAAUUUGUAGUUAUGUGAAGAAGCAAUGACUCUUACCAUGUAAAAUGGGCAGUUUAGGGUGAAAUUUGUUUUAACAGAGAUUCAUUUUUCAAUUCCUCAGGGUAAUGCAGCAAUUACAGCAGCCAGCUGUUGUUUCCAUUACCAGUAAUCAUUUCCAGCAGCAGCCACUUUUUCCGACUGGUUAUUAGGGGCACGAUUUUGUACACUUUUGUAAGUGAAGGAUACUCGAAGCACUUUGUUGGAACAGAGCAAAUAGAAACCAGCGGGUAAAAAAAAAACAUAACAUUGCAGCUAAUUACAUUUCGAUACAUAGGUGAAAAAUAUUAAAGGGUACACUAACUUACAUAAAUACUCAUAAUUCCACACACAAAAGAACAUUUGAUUGCAAAACAUAUUAUGUGCUUCCUCAUAGCAAUACCACGAUCUCCCCAACCAACUGAACAACGGUAGCCACAAUCACUGGGUCGUACUCGUCAGCUUCUUCUUAGCAGGUCUCACAUGCUUAUGGCCACUCAUAUCCCUAGUGAUAUACACGAAAUAAAUCUUCAGCAAUAUUUGGAAUUUUAUUAUAUAUAAAUAAACCAUAAACCAUUCAGUAAACAAUGUAUAGCACAUGUUAUGUAACUUAUGACUCACGUGUCAGUUUUUUUUUUAACACAUUAGUACUCCAGCUCUUUAAUGUAAAUGGACAUGAUAAGGAGCAUUUACUGAUUCCCGGCUUUCUAUGAUAUUGACUGCUUCUUGAAUAAUAUUUCCAUAUUUGCAAAAUAUAAUGUUAGACAUUAUAACACAUGAUGACUUGCAAUACAUAGUCCCAAUAAUUAUAUAUCAAGCAAAUGAAACUGAUAUUUGUGUUAUUUUAAGUUAGAUAAUGACAUUAAGGGAGUAUAUGUGCAAUACCACGGUCACCCUCAACCAACUGAACAGCGGUAGCCGCAAUCACUUAGUCGUAUCGGUCGGCUUCUUCCGAGCAGCUUUGACGUGCUUAUGCUCAUUCAUGUCACCCCCAUCGUCUAGUAUCUCUCUCACAGCAUCAGGGGACACAUAGUUCCAAUCAUAACUUGUAUGAGUAGUUGCCGCAAAUGCUCGGAAUUUGUCGAAUCCUUCGUUGAAUGCCAACUCCAGUUCAGUAUGGUGCUCUUCGCAUCGCAUAUGGUUCAUCAAACAACCUUUGAUUUCAUCAUUCAUUACUGUAUCCAACUCCUCAGCUUUCAGCUUCCUGCUAUGACUCAGCUUCAAGUACUUGUUCUUUUGGGAUAACGCUUUGUUCACCCUAAUGUUAAGAUCAGCCAAAAUUGCCUCGUCUUCAACACAUUUCUCGUGCCAUGAAUUGAUCAGUCUGGAAUUAUAAUCCAGCUUGCCACUGACUGCAUGUAUUGCCUGUAAUGGAUCAUCGGAGUCCCCCUCACUCCCAAAUGAUGUUGAAAAAGGAAGGGGUCGGCGAGUACAAUGUGGAAAUAGAACCUGCCACUCCAAUUUGUCAUCUUCGAUUGUGUUGUUGGCGCCUGAAGAGGUUGACAUGCUUGAAUAAUCCUCUUUGUUUUGGGAGGAUGAGGAUUGCAUAUGCAAUUUCGUUUGAGAAAGGGAACAUAGGUUUAUAGACCAACAUACCAAAGCUUGUGUGUAGUCAACAUAUGUACUUUUUGGCGGGAAUUUUUUAAAAAUAGGUGUUAGGUUUUGCUUUUCAAGCAUGUCAACCUCACACUCUCCUGACACCACUGCUAGUGGUUGAAACAAAGUCAAUGGAAGUGACAUCUACUUAGUUAACUCAACCAAACUAGUUAGGAUUAAACUUAGAUUGUAUCAGACCAAAAAAUAAUUUCUACUUUGUCAACCAAAUAUUUUUUGGCGGGAACCCUUUUCUUGGUAUUACUAUCACCCCUUUCAUAUAAAAUCUCCUUCCACACAAAACUCACUCCUCCACCGAAUCUGUCUCCAUCUACCGAUACUCUCUCAAGCAAACAAACUCAUUCCCCCCAAAGAAUGAGCAUAAGCACAACCAAGUUUGAUGUGAGCAUAAUAAACACCCCUCCAAACAAAGACCGGCUUCGACACGCAAGUGAGUCACCGGACAAGCAAUGUCACAUUGCUAGACAGAAUGACCAUUUUGUUGGAAGUUUUGAGUCUGAAAGAGUUGUUGCUUUUUGGAAGGAGAGGCAUCUUCAACUUGGUGAUGAAAUCCAAAGGGCAAGGGCACGUUUGGAAUUUGUGGAAGGCCAAAUUGAAGAUGACAAAAGGCAGGCCAAUCUGGAUAGGGCGAAGUUGUAGCGCAUGAAGCGUAGACACAAACGACUUCGGAGUGUAGCUGUUCAAAAAUACAAGAACUCAUCUAAUGUAGUGGAGUCAAAGAAGCGUGUGAUGCAAGCUGGAUUCGACUACUUCCGAUCCUAUGCAAAACUCGUCGUACCCGGGUUUGAUUGGUCAUCUAUUACCGUUUCCGACGUCACCAAAUAUACUCAGCAAGGGAAGUAACCAUUUUGGUUCUCGUGUUUUAGCAGAGGCAAAUAAGUGGAAUUGGAAUUUUGGUUACACUCUGCUUCAAAGCUAUUUUGAUGCUAACUACUAUGGAAGAUUUAAACCUUAAUAUUUUGAUGUCUUUAAUUACGAAAACAGAAGAUGCAAAGAGCUCAUCUACUUCAGCCAUAUGUUGCUGCCAUGUCCAUUUGUUUUUGAUCACUUAUCAGAUUUGGACAUGGUUGCAUCAUAUGCAAUGUUGCCUUUAUUUAUUAUAUGUUAGGACAAGGUUUAUGGAAAAGCUUUUGUGAGUGCGUUUGUGACAAGGUUAUGGAAUUAUUAUGUACACUUUAUAUAUUGUUUUUUGUACUGGUUCAUUUCCUACUAUUUCUUGCUUUCUUUAUAUUUUAUGUUUGUGGAAUCCCUCUCAAAGUUAACAUAUACUGUGAAAAAAAUAUUAUGCAACUGAUUAUAUAAUCACUCAUAUAGACUAGGACAAAUAUUCACUAAGGGUUUUAAACUUGCUUCACUUGUGUGAUGUUAUUGACAAAAAGUAUGGCAUUAUUUAUGUGAUUUGACAUGAUUGAAAAUAUAUUACUGAUUCCCAAUGCGGCGUCAUAUGGACAACGUAUUGAAUACCUGUGACGUGUUAAUAACUCAAGGUGCAGUUGCAUGUGGACAACUUCUUGAAUACCUCUGACGUGUUGAAAACUCUAGGUGCAGUUGCAUGUGGACAACUUAUUGAAUACGAACUGACGUCUUCAAAGCUCUAGGCGUAGUUGCAAUGAUGGCUUCAAAGCAUGUGCAAUUAUUUUUUAUGUACAUUAUUAUAACAAAACAUAUUAUUGUAUAUAGUGAAACUAAAUAUUGUAUUAUUAGAAAUUAUAUUUCGAAUAUUAUCCGAAAUAUACGUGUUAACGUGAAUUUGGGUUAAGAGGAAAGUGAGUUAUGUACAAAUAAUUUUCAUUUUCUCAUUUUCCGGGCAUUUUUUGGAUUUUCGUAGAAUUUAUUACCUAUGUCCACAGAUUGUUGCACUAAAAAAGCCAAAAUAAUAGCAAGAGGACACCUGGAGCGAUCUCAGCCCGUCACUGAUGACUACUUGCACAAGUGUACGUCAGUCAACAUGGCCACACCCUCCCAUUUUACCCUAAAUUAUUAUUUUAUUACUUUUCCUUACAAAAAUCAGAACUAAUUACACACAAAAUAAAAAAAUUAUCCGAAAAUUGCUACGAACUCAUUGACACUCCAUCUCCGUUGCUGAAUUCUCCGAUUCAUUGUUACGUAUUUGUAAAAUUAAUUCCCAACAUUAACGGGAGAUGCUUGUUGAAGUAGGUUAUUCAAGUUGAAGUUAACAAACAUCAAUACUUAGGGUUAAGAGGAAAGUGAGUUAUGUAACACAAUUUGGAUUAUUUCAUUGCGAGACGAAUGAUUUAUAGGUUCUCCUAGUUUUAUGACGUCACAAGUAGGCCGGAGUAAUUUUUGGGGCAUUUUUACGAUUUUCCUACUAUUUUUUACCUAGUUUCAAAGAUUUUUGAACAAAAGAAUCCAAAAUGUAAAAGAAGAUGACACCUGGCGCGAUCUCAGCCCGUCACUUUUCACUACUUGCACAAGUGUACGUCAGUCAACAUGGCCACAUCCUCUCAUUUUACCCUAAAUUAUUAUUUUAUUACGUUUUGUCUUGGAAAAUUCAUAACUAAAUACACAAAAAUUCAAAAUUAUUUCUGAAAAUUGCUACGAACUCAUUGACACUCCAUCUCCGUUGCUGAAUUCUCCGAUUCAUUGUUACGCAUUUUUAAAAUUAAUUCCCAACAUUAACGGGAGAUGCUUGUUGAAGUAGGUUAUUCAAGUUGAAGUUAACAAACAUCAAUACUUAGGGUUAAGAGGAAAGUGAGUUAUGUAACACAAUUUGGAUUAUUUCAUUGUGAGACGAAUGAUUUAUAGGUUCUCCUAGUUUUAUGACGUCACAAGUAGGCCGGAGUAAUUUUUGGGCCAUUUUUACGAUUUUCCUACUAUUUAUUACCUAGUUUCAAAGAUUUUUGAACAAAAGAAUCCAAAAUUAACAAGAAUAUGACACCUGGCGCGAUCUCAGCCAGUCACUUUUGACUACUUGCACAAGUGUACGUUACCGAACAUGGCCACAUCCUCCCAUUUUACCCUAAAUUAUUAUUUUAUUACCUUUUUUCUUGGAAAAUUCAUAACUAAAUACACAAAAAUUAGAAAAACGAUCCGAAAAUUUCUACGAACUUAUUGCGAUUUCAUCUUCCUACUGCAUUCCCUGUUUAAUGGUUAUGCUACAUUAGUAUUUUAUUAUUAUUUAUCCACAAUUAUUAUAAUUAUUAUGAUAUUACUUUUUAGGCUGUCCAUUUGUUAAUUAUACCACAUCCAACUUGUUGAAAACAAUUUUAUUUUCCGUGCGAAUAGGCCAUUUGUAGUGCUUAUCGGUUUCUCUGUUCUUCAAUUUGUUAAUUUUUUUAUUUUUUAGGUUGAAGGGAUGUUUUGAAACAUAAUAUGGAAAUAUACAAGUCAUCCAUUGUACUCCUUCCACACAAAAAAAUAGUCUACGUCAUUCACUGUUCAACACCCUAGGUUAAGACACGUGUAACCAAAUCCGUUCGGAUAUGCUAAGUGGGAAAAUGUCAUUCCCAAGCACUGGUGAAAAGACACUUAUUUACUCCAUGCAUGACUUUUGGUUUACCAAAUAUGAAGAUUGGGGUCGGUGAGCAAAAUAUCUGUGUCAGUAAAAUGUCAUUCCUAGCCAUCUAUGAUGUAAGUAAUAAUUCCGCUAUAUAAUAAAUAUUAUACAUUUAUAUAUAAAACGGUUUAUGACAAAAUACCAACAUUUGAACAACAUUUAAACUGAGAUAGGUAUAACGUAGCCAGCCAACCUAGAAGUGAAGAGAAGCAAGUCCACAAUGCAUCAAAACUGUAAAUUCGUACUAAAACUAAUGCAAAAAUACGUGAUUCCCUCGCACAACUUACUCACGCAGGAUUUUGCACCAAAAAAUACUCUCACGGUGCCAUUUGCAUCGGUUGCAGCAAGUCCAAAACGCAGGAUUUAUCUUGUCUUCACUAGGCCACCCUGGAAUAACAAAAUACCAUUCAUUGUUGUUACAAGCGCUGCACCGAUUGAACUUAAUCUUCCCAUAGUCAAACAUAUCUACGAUAUGUCUUGCAACAAAUGCUCCGCGACAUCUUCCUGUUAAAGCAUCCCUGGUUCCUUUCAUAUCAAUGUUGUUACGUUGAUUCAAAGAACACAAGAAUUGUAAUGCAUCCUCUUUUGACUGACCAAUUCCGGACAUACCAAGUAGUCCAACUACAUAUGCCGCUUCCAUAUGGCCUGCCGUGGCUGCAAUGCGCAUCCCAUACAACGCUUCCACCUUACCGUCUGUGAAAAAACCUUCGAAUGCUUCUCUAAAUAUGGACUCAGGGUUAUCGCAAGCCCUGCAUUGUUGCAAGAAAUGCUGGACUGCAGGUUUGGCACGGUAGCAGAUAGGAUGGUGUGGGUACUUUGCCAUUGAAAUGGUGUUCCACACUUGUGGACUGUUUGCCAAAAUGUUGAACAAUCGGCACACACAUGCCAUACGGAAGAGAUCUUCCGAUGAUUCGGUUGCCACGUAUAACAUCACUUGAAACCAAGCGGACUCCGGGAUAAAGGCUUCGGGCAUAUCGAAAUGGAGAUGCUUCCUUCUCUUUCCUCCGACUGUAGUGAAGUGUUUCGAAUUCAUUGAAAAGUUUUUGGAAUGGAACGAUUUGAGGAGUGGCAGAGGGGAUAAAUGAUAAUAUUUGGGGUACACGUUCUACUUCCGAGCCUCUGUUUAUAGUGUUUUGAAAAGGUGUUUCCAGUUGGGGUUUUUCCAAGUUGACCCUUUUGAAAGAAACUGAAUCCAAGUGAAUUAAAACUUAAGACAAAAGAAGGGAAAACGUCAUAACGGUGCAUACAGAGUCAGACAGUUAAAAAGUUAAUUAAAUGGCUAUUUGCAUAGCCAUUUUUGGGUUUAUCCCACUAUCAAAUUCAUUGAUACAAAUGUGAUGGAUUACUGACUAGUGACAGAAGGUCCCAUCAUAUACUUUUUCAUUUUCGCACACCCAACUAUCCCUAGUAAUGUUAUUAAAAUGGAACCAAUAAUGACGGAUUCUUAUCCAACUAGUUGCCUUAAUGAAAUAUAAAUAAAUUAAUAAAAUUGAAGCAGUGUCCCGUCAUUAGUCAGAAAAUAUAUUUGGUAGUGAAGUAGUUUCUAUUGCUUUUCGGGCUAAAAGAUGUCACAAUGCUGACGGUACAGGUGUCGACAUCGUGACCAACCCACCAAAUGAUCCCAAAAAAAAGUAAUAUAACUCGAUUUGGGCAGAGAUGAGAGAGAGCUGAGUGACAAGUUUAGGGUUAUGAGUGAAGGGGUAUGAAUGACAACUAUGAGUGAGAAGGUAUGAGUCCGAAGAGGUUUCAGUGAGAAGAUUUGAGUGAGAAGAGGUACAACUGAGAAGAUUCAACAUGUCUUCGUCUUCAUCUCCUGCUCAAACAAAGAGGUGUCAGUAUUGUGGAGCUACAAUGGUGCUUCGGGUUUCAAAAUCUGAAAAAAAAUCGAGGGAAGCCAUUCUGGAAGUGUCUAACCUCCUAUGUAAGUUUUAAUUUAAAGAAUAUGUAUGUGGGUGAAAAAAAACCUAUGUCUAACUCUGACAGAAUUAUAUUCCAUAUAUGAUGCCUGCAAUUAGGGAGCCACCAGUUGCAAUGGAUUCGAAUGGGUUGAUGUAACCUCCGCUGAAGCAGAACAUCAAGAUGACACGUAUGAUGUUAGAGUGCUGAACAUGCUGAAGUCCAUUAAGGACUUGGUAUUAGUUUUAUUAGUUGUAUUAAUUGUCAUUUUAUUUGUUCUUUUAAUGAUCAUUUAACUGCACGGUUUAAAAGAUUGUGAAAGUUCUCUCGCACAAGACAUAUUGCACGCACCACCAAUGAGACCCUAAACCCAUUUUGUAAUAUUUGGUAACUGCAUGUAUUUCGCAUGUUAUUGAAUGUUUAUUGAAGGUUUAUUGAUAGUUUGCUGCAUGUAUAUGGAAUAUCAUUGCCCCAAAAUUGGAUGUUUAUUGGGGCCACAAGUAUCACUCAAGUAAGAAUGAAGGGGAGAAACGGACCUUAUUCUUUCUUAUAGUAGGAAGAACAACUGUUAAGUUUAAUAUCCUAUUCAAUACGACUUCCCUAUGGUUGGUGUACUUGGGGACUGAAGUAUAUUGCAUCAUUAUUGUGGGCAAGGGCAUGUCUAUUGUGUGUGUUAAGGGAGUAUUGUGUGGGCAAGGGCAUGUCUACUGUGUGUAUAUUGCAUGUCUACUGUGUGUAUAUUGCAUAUCUAUUCUCUGUAUAUGGCAGGCCAAGUUUGUGUAUAUUGUUUGUCUGUUGUGUGUGUAUUGCUUGUCGGUGCGUUUGUGAAUUGUGGUUCAUUUUGUGUAUAUUGUCUUUGUUUCUACUUUUAUGCUACUGAGCUGCGGAAAACCUCGCAUGUUUAGACACCUAUUAUGAUGCAACACAUUGCGAUUAAUGGUGGCUUGCAUCAACAAUGACAUAUCACUUUGCAAUGAUGUAAUACACUUAAAAAGCCGUCUUCAAAUCCCAAUUCACAUAUGCAGUCUUAAAAUUCUAAUUCAAUGCAGUUUGGUUAACAAACAUGUAAAUGUCAUGAAGGAGUUAGCGGUAGAAUUCGAUAAGGACCCGUACGUCUCUAUUGUGUAUUUACAUUAGUUUGAGAAUGGACAUUCCCAAAACCUUCUCAUGUACCAUUUGUCAUCUUCAACCAAUAUCAUGGGAAGUAAGCAUCUCCCCUUGUUAUCUCCGCAGCCAAUUUCAACCGAAAAAAAGGCAUGUUGUGCGAGGUGCAAGUAGCUAACGGAAGCUUAGCGCUGAAAAGCUCAAUGUACUUUAACACAAACAUGCCACAAUCGCCUCUGAAGCAAAACAAGAACUCGAUCAAUUCAACUAAUGACAUUCUAAUGUAAUUGACAAUUGAAAGUAAUAAAAUUAAAUUGCAAGUUGUGCUUACUCAUUAGACUGUUGUGGAACAUCCACACGCUCUAUUGGCCACGGACACCACCAAUCUCGGCUGCAAUUGUUUGCAUAAACACCUUCUUCAUAAAAGUCGAUGGUGUUGAGAAGAUUUGGAAGCGUAAUUGAUAGCGGGCCGAGUUCUUCCUUUACGAUGUCAUCUGGAAUUAGUGAAACCUUUGAAUCGUACACUUUGAUUCACACAAUACCAGAUCAAACANNNNNNNNNNNNNNNNNNNNNNNNNNNNNNNNNNNNNNNNNNNNNNNNNNNNNNNNNNNNNNNNNNNNNNNNNNNNNNNNNNNNNNNNNNNNNNNNNNNNNNNNNNNNNNNNNNNNNNNNNNNNNNNNNNNNNNNNNNNNNNNNNNNNNNNNNNNNNNNNNNNNNNNNNNNNNNNNNNNNNNNNNNNNNNNNNNNNNNNNNNNNNNNNNNNNNNNNNNNNNNNNNNNNNNNNNNNNNNNNNNNNNNNNNNNNNNNNNNNNNNNNNNNNNNNNNNNNNNNNNNNNNNNNNNNNNNNNNNNNNNNNNNNNNNNNNNNNNNNNNNNNNNNNNNNNNNNNNNNNNNNNNNNNNNNNNNNNNNNNNNNNNNNNNNNNNNNNNNNNNNNNNNNNNNNNNNNNNNNNNNNNNNNNNNNNNNNNNNNNNNNNNNNNNNNNNNNNNNNNNNNNNNNNNNNNNNNNNNNNNNNNNNNNNNNNNNNNNNNNNNNNNNNNNNNNNNNNNNNNNNNNNNNNNNNNNNNNNNNNNNNNNNNNNNNNNNNNNNNNNNNNNNNNNNNNNNNNNNNNNNNNNNNNNNNNNNNNNNNNNNNNNNNNNNNNNNNNNNNNNNNNNNNNNNNNNNNNNNNNNNNNNNNNNNNNNNNNNNNNNNNNNNNNNNNNNNNNNNNNNNNNNNNNNNNNNNNNNNNNNNNNNNNNNNNNNNNNNNNNNNNNNNNNNNNNNNNNNNNNNNNNNNNNNNNNNNNNNNNNNNNNNNNNNNNNNNNNNNNNNNNNNNNNNNNNNNNNNNNNNNNNNNNNNNNNNNNNNNNNNNNNNNNNNNNNNNNNNNNNNNNNNNNNNNNNNNNNNNNNNNNNNNNNNNNNNNNNNNNNNNNNNNNNNNNNNNNNNNNNNNNNNNNNNNNNNNNNNNNNNNNNNNNNNNNNNNNNNNNNNNNNNNNNNNNNNNNNNNNNNNNNNNNNNNNNNNNNNNNNNNNNNNNNNNNNNNNNNNNNNNNNNNNNNNNNNNNNNNNNNNNNNNNNNNNNNNNNNNNNNNNNNNNNNNNNNNNNNNNNNNNNNNNNNNNNNNNNNNNNNNNNNNNNNNNNNNNNNNNNNNNNNNNNNNNNNNNNNNNNNNNNNNNNNNNNNNNNNNNNNNNNNNNNNNNNNNNNNNNNNNNNNNNNNNNNNNNNNNNNNNNNNNNNNNNNNNNNNNNNNNNNNNNNNNNNNNNNNUUUUCCUCUCCCUCAUCUCUAUUAUUUGGCCCUUCACCCCCUUCAAUCCCUUCAUCUUCUUUUUCCUCUCCCUCAUUUCUGUUACUUGGCCCUUCAUCCCAUUGAAUGUCAUCCAUUUCCCCAUAUCCCUUAAAUAGAUGUGAGACGACACAACGAUUCGUCCUCUGUUUCAGUAAAGCUAGGUCCCUCCUUACUUCCUGCUCAAACUGAGGACCUAAACAUUGGUCCAAUAGUUUUUCCAUCCGUAUGACCUUUAAGUGAAGGACGUCUUUUUCCCGCUUUUCUUGAAACAACUCGGACCUCAACAAGCUUACCACCUUGUUCAACUCAUCAAGAUCACCACAUGAAGAAGGAAUUGACUCUGCCGAGACAACAGCAGGGCGAUCCUGUGGCCAACUCCAAUAUGGCUGUCUCAUUUCCUCUUCACUUAGACAUAGCGCCCGCAACUGAACUGACUGUUUCAGAAUACAGACAAGAGUCAUAUUAAAUCAUUCUACUUCAUAAUUUCAUUCAAUCUUAUCAAUAGUUCUAAGGGCUGCAAACCAAACCUCUUUGCUCUGGAAAAAAUAAUUGUUCAACUUUCUCAUCUCUGGAACAGACGUAGUAGUUCUCCAUCGCAAAAUACGCGGGACAGCGGUCGGAUCAACAACCUUGCAGUAAUUCAGGUCCGCCAUUCUAGGAAUUAAUUCAUAUACCCAAAUCUACACAAUUCACAGGACAAAAGUCAUUAUUUAUGUUUUAAAGAAAAACAAAACAUAACUGACAUGAACAUUAUUACCAUGUACCUGGAAAGCAUACGUGAAACCUUUAAAACUCCAGCCACUCCUUUGCGCUUCACUAUGCUUAUCCUUCUUGCCCUUCUCAUUUCUCCGGCUUGUUCCCGUUACCUUACUUUUCCCCUUCCCUCUUCCCUCUUCAUUUUCCAAGCUUUUCACAUACUUUGUUGGUGCAGAAAAUAGACUGUCUUGGGUUUUGUCAAAGGACACCGAACCCCACGGAUACCUGUUGAACGCAUCCAAGUCCUCUACAAGGGUCAGGUAAUUUAGAUUGAUGUUCAAAUGUUUGUCCCUUCCCAAAACCACUAACUCAGCAAAGUAAACAAGAGGUAGCUUGAAGAUGUCAUCUUCCUCUGUGCACCUCACAAAUGCUUCUUCUAAAGCAUUGCAUGUAAUUCCUUCGUCUAUAAAAUAUCUUUUCUGAAGUCUGAUUUCAUUACUCUCUCCACUGGAAACUUCAGGCACUUCCCCAAAACGAAGCCCUGUGAUCAAACAGAAAUCCUGACGAGUGAACUGAGCAACGUCACACCCUAAUAAGAAACUCAGUCCAUCCAAGUCUUUCACACCCUGCCCCGCUACUCUACGCAACACAACCCCAUGCACAAUCUGUCCGCUAAACUGAAUCUUAUCUAUAUUCAGAAGAUGGCCAAAGCAUGAUGUCUUGAAUUGUUCUAAUUGUUCCGCACUCAACUUCGCUCGAAUUGCAGCUAGAGAUGAAUUUGCAUGUGAGCAGUUGUUCACCCGUGAUGAAUAUACCUCUGCCUCUGGCCAUACCAGCUCCACGUUGGAUCCCAUUUCCUCAAAUACAAUGUGAAAUAACGUGAACAUAUAUACUACCACGUAUUUGCACAAUCACAACUAGUCAACCAGGCACAUUACAACUUUUACAAAGUACAUGAGCAUAUGGAUUACUCAUCACAGGCUUUAACAUCAUCAAAGCAAUAUGACAAUUUUUGUGCAAAUACCUGUUAAUGCAAUGAUUAUGUGAAUUACAAACAAUUUCACGUGUUUUAUUUAUGGAUCCAUACUCGUGUGAGUGCAAUGUAGGCAAGUUCUGCACUUCACACACAUGACAAUUAUUGUCAUCUCAUACACAACCCAAAAUAAAUAAAUAAGAAAUAUAGUGGAAGGAAGCAAAGCAAAGCAUGUACUCUGCUAUCUGCUUGCUAAGCAAUUGCCACAUCCUUCUUUCUUUCUACCUUUUUCUUCAGUCACCCACAAUCGUCAUAGAUCAACCUUCAUUUCAAAUGCUUUGCACUUUUAUUCAUGAGUUUAUUAUUAUCUGUUCUCAUUUCUCAUAGGCAAAUUUAGUAACAAAUGAAAUAAUAUUUAUUUCACAAAAUAUAUAAAUUCUAGUGCCAGAGAGGUACUCUUCACUCUGCACUGCUUCAAAUGUGGAAGGUUUUGAGAUGUUAUUGACAUGUGAUUGACUUUAUUUUCAUUCGUUUUUUAACAUAUACCCAAGCAAAAAUUAACAUGCAAUUGAAGCACAAAUAAGAGAUGCCAAAUCCAACAACAUUGAUGGUACAAAUUGGGGAAAACCAUUACUCUAACCCUAAACUCAAAUUCCUUACAUUACUCAUCAAAUGCUUUGCAGUUCUAUUCAUGAGUUUAUUAUUAUCUGUUCAAAUGUUUCUCAGGCAAAUUUAGUAACAAAGGAAAUCAUAUUUACUUCAUAAAAUAUAUAUAUAUAUAUAUAUAUUCUAGCGCCUCUUCUUAAUCUGCACUAUGCACUGCUUCAAAUGUGGAAGGUUUUGAGGGCCUCCUCCAAUUCAACACCAUUAUCUUAUUCAUAUCAUUAUUGACAUGUUAUUCACUUGUUAUUGACUUCAUUUUCAUUCUUUUUUUAACAUAUACCUAAGCAAAAAUUAACAUGCAACUGAAGCACAACGAAGAGAUGCCAAAUCCAACAAAAUUUAUGGUACAAAUUGGGGAAAACCAUUACUCUAACCCUAAACUCAAAUUCCAUAAAUUACUCACCAAAUGCUGGUUAUUGCAAGGUGUCUGUGUGGGGUCUUUCUGUUUCUUUGCUCCACAAAUGGAACCUACCACUUCCAACGAAUACAGCUUUUCCCCUUCCCCUUCCACUGCUUCGCCUCUUCACUGAUUUGGAAUCCACACCUUUGCCCCUUCUACUCCAAAUAAAUACUUUCUCGGGGUCUGGAGAACGGAGUGGCGAAUCGUUGCCUUCAACUGUCGUUAGCCGUUGCCUUCAUUGGGUAUCUCAGACCUCUGUGUUUUAGAGAGAUGAGUUCUUUCUGUUCAAACUUCGAACUUGCCUCUUCUUCUUCUUUUUCGGACGUGUUUCCCUCUUCUUCUUCUUUUUGGACGUGCUGGAUAUUCAAUUCGGGUUUGGGUUCCUUACCUACCCAAUUGUGAAACUUUAACUCAAUUCUCCCCAGCCCUUGGAUUAAUCUGAUGGCUAUAAAGUGAACCCCUUAUAACUUACCCCUUAUAACUUUCCACUCAUUAUAGUCUUGGCCAGGUAUGGCGGCCAUGCUAGUAAGUGUUGGGUCUUUGACCCAACUUAAGCUAAAUGGGUCAUAAGAUGACCGAUCAUCUUAUCUCAUAAGGAUAUAUAAGUCAUGUUAUGAUUUAGGAUUUUAUAGGGUUUCCUUUGUAAGAGGUAAGAGAGAAACAAGCUCUCUCUCUCUCUACACAAGGAGGUCAGCCAUAGCAAGGGAAAGGCUCCUAGCACUCUCCUCUCUCUUAUUAUAUCAUCCUUCCAAGGACAGCUUUGGUAUGGUAAAGUUGGAGGUUGCACACUUUGUGCACUUUGGUAAGAACUCAUCCAAGGGAGCCAAGAUUAAAUUGGUUAGCUGUUGGAUUAAAUUGGUUAGCACGAUUCAACGGUUAAUAGAUAAAACUUCACAUAAAAGUCAUAUAUAAGGCCCUCACUAUAGAAUGACUCGUUAGUUUAGUCUCUUGUUACAUAUCAAAUGUUAGAGAUAUUUUUUAAUAAGGAUCUGCCAUACCACAUAGUUGGAUAAGACAUUAUACACGGCUUUUGUAAGAGCAUCUCCAGCGCUCCAAACUAGCCCAAGCAGCAGGGGGGCCUAAGUCUAGGAAGCAGCUCCAGCUCGCAAGAUUCAACCCAGGCAAGGUGUGGAACCCACGAGGAGAUCUAGCCCGUCACCUUGCCUUUGGGUUUCAGUCAAGCUGAUGUCAACGAAAGAAUUUCAAAUUUUUUUUACCGUUACAAUGUACGCGCCAACGAUAAAUUUUCUUUGGAUUUCUUGCAUUGAUCCACAGCUACCAAAAACCAACAGCUACAAGCCACGUGGCUUCUCCAGGAGCCUCCGAUCCAAAAAUCAUGUCAAAUCUAACGGCAGUCCAUUUUUUGGCUAAAAAUAUCAAAAAAUUAUGGAAACAUGUUCUAUAAAUUCCUACAAAUAUUAUUCACUUCCCACACCAAAUCUUCAUACAAAUUCAUAUCCUUUCAAUAUUUUUCACUUUCCAUACAAGAUUUUCUACUACUAAGUUUCGUUUGUGUAAAAAUACAAAUGACCUCUUCUAUCGAAGCCGGAGGCGCGUGUACAACCGUGGAAGAUAUUUUGUUGCGUGAGUGUUGGGUCAAAGUUGGUCAUUCCCUGAUCACGGGCAAUGAGAUGAAGUCCUCUCGUAGGAGUUUCUGACAUCGCAACGAAAGUAAGAUGUGAUAUGAAAAUGUAAGGAAUUUGAUGAGAGGAAUGGGAUUUGAGGAGUUUGAUGUAGGAAUUGAUGUAGGAAUUGAAUUUGGGAGGUAUGUAUAUAAGAUUUGAGGGUAUGUGUUUAGGGAUUUUGAUAAGAGGAUUUGAGGAAUUUAGAUUUGAAGGAUUUGGAUUUGGGGAAUUUAAAUAUGAGGAAUUUGAUUAGGGUUUGGGUUUGAAUAUGUGAAAUUUGAUAUGAGAGUUUAGAGACAACAGAUGAUCGAUUGCUCUGAUACCAUGCUAAAAUAUGAUAUGGUUUGAAUACUUUAGGUUGAGUUUUAUUCUUUUCCAUAAAAAGGUAUAUAUAGGAGUUUACAUGAGUGCUUUACAAAGAAAUAGAUACAAUAAUCAAUUAGGAUAAUAUCUCCUAAUUAUACAAUAAUUUGUCAACUAUAUAGAAUAGGAAAGUAAAUUCCUUAAUUAAUCAAGAAAAUAAAUCUCAUUGAUUAAUUAGGAGACUAACGUCAACAUUUAUAAGCCAUAAAAGAGCAGAAAAAGAGGUACUUAGGAGAUUUUAUACGUCGGACUAAGGUAAGCUUAAAGGACUAUAUCAAAAAAAUAAGGGACCAAGAAGCAAGACAGAGAAGUUGUUAUGCAAACCCAUUAAGUUUAGCAGUGAUGAAUUUGUAAAAAUCAUUCUAGUGGAUUCUGCCUUCACUAUUGAGUUCUUAUUGAGGUUCUAUCUGAAAGGAUCUGGACAUGAAGGAGACCGCUUAUUAAACAAACCGUGGAUGUUUACAGCCUGACAUGUGGUUGCUUGAAAAUCAGCUCCCAUUCUUUAUUCUUGAGGAUCUUUAUCACACAUACAUAAUAACCGACUCUUUUAGGAAUUAUUACAGUACUCAUGAUCAUGAGAGGCUUUCAAUAAUUAAUAUUUCUAAGAAUUUCUUCACAGCCGGAAUAUUGAAUUUGGAGGGGAAGGGAGACAAAUGGAACAGAAUAUCAUCUUCUUCUAGUGUUGGAAAUUUUAUAUUAUUUAAUAAUAUUUAAUUUCUAUUGUGAAUGAAAAAUAAGUUUCUUUAAGAAACGUGUGUCUUAGGCCAGUUUUUCUAACUGGUCGGCUUCCUUAGAUUUGUGCCUAUUGCUUUUCAAAGUAUAAUGAUGCAAUGGUUGUAUCUCGUUCAGGCAAAUGGAAGGUAUAUAGCAAUUUAUAGAACAAUACAGUAAUCCAGAAGAAAUAUUAUGAAAUGAAAAGAAUAAAAAGUAAAAAAAGAGAAAGAAAGGAAUUCCCACCUGCAAUGUAUAUGUAUGAAAGGAAGGACCAAGUUUGUUUUAAAAUGGUAAGAACAAGUUGAUUUUAAAUUGGGUUCAGAUCAACUCAUAGAUUUCUUGCCUUUUCUGUUCUCCUUCCUUGGACAUGAACUGUUUAAUCUUGGACUCUUCCCCAUCAUGUUGGGCCUGUCUUCUUCUUGAGGAUUGUAUAGGCCUAGGAAAUGCUUCGGGGUAGUUUUUGUGUUUUGGGCAUUGGGACCCAACUUCACAAAAAGAAAACAAAUUUGACCAAAACACAAAUUUGAAGGACAUUGAAAUUGUACCCGUAGGAUAGAUUAAAACACUAUAAGGGAGGUAAAUAGUACGUUUACAGAGUUUAAGUGUAAUAAAGGAAUAAAAACAUGCCCAGAGAAUUGAUAAGUGAUAUCAAUUCUUGAAUAUACGUGAAAAUUAUUUUAUGUGGUUAAACCCCACCUCUGGGGAAAAUCCACGGAACUUCUUAGUCCAACUUCUAUCACUUAUCCUAGACACAUUCUAGAUAAUGUUUGCCAACCUCUUCGUAACUCAACUUCUGUCACGAGAUGAUCUUUCAACACUUUAUGUCGAACGCAAUACUGGUCACGAUUUCUUCAAGCUCGCCGGAGUUCUUCCAAUUCUCCUUAUAUUGAAUCUGAUACUAGUCACGAUCGAUUCAAGCUCAUCGGAGAAAAAUCGCCACAACAAUCUUGGUGCCCUCAACCGUAUGAGUCACUGAACAUGCAAAUGAAUACAAUAUGAAUGAUAAAAGUGUUUGAUAAAUCACCAAGUUAUGGAACACUUGAUGAUUUAUCUCAAAUAAAAAUUCAGCUUUCCAAAGUUUAUGAAUUGAAAAUAUGACCGUUAAAGCUCUCUAAACAAAGAAGACGAAGGUCUUAUUUUAUAGACUUUUACUUUACAAGAAAGAAAACACGUUGAAAACCAAAUCUCCAAUUUCCAAGGCUUGACAGAAAAUCACAAAAUUAUCUUUCCUAUUCUAGAGAUUGGUCACAUGAAGUCCAACCAAUAGGAAAUGAGAUAUUUAAGAAAGGAAGAUUUUGAUCAAUAUCAAUAUCAAAUGAAUUCUUAUACGCCUAGUCAAUUGUUAUGGGUAUCUUGACUCCUUGAUAUUGUGAUAUGAUUGAAACAUGAUUUCCACGUUAGAAAAUUAAGGGGAUGUUAAAACAUGAAGGUAAUAGGAGAAUCAAAUUGAUUUGGGCCAAAAUUGCCUAAAAAGAAAACACUCCUUAAUAAACUUCAAUUUACUUUUAAAAAUAGUAAAACGUGAUUGAAUCGUUCUUUAAAACAAUUCCCUAAUAUACAUGCAUGAUAGUGAUAUCACUUACCUUUGAAUCAGAUGGCUUUCACGGGUCAAGCCACAAGUUUUUGUCUUGGGGAUUGCUGAGCUUCAUCAAUCCUGCCAAUGUCAAUUUUGCCCCUAAGCUCUCUCAAAGCACGUUUACAACCUAUGCUAACAUAUAUUAGAGUUUAUGUUAGUAUCAAGAAAAUGCCAACACUAAUUUCGUAACACGUAGAAAUUGUUAGAGAUUGAAGUUUUUAUCAUUUUUUCUUCCAGACUCUCCACCACUCACUAAUAUAGUUUACUCAUGUGAUGAGUUUACAAAACCUAUUUCUCUACUCUCACAAAGACUAUACUUAGGGGGGUGUAUUCAAUUAGGAUUCUAAAGCGUUUAAAAAGAUUUUGUUUAAGUGCCAGCUUUCAUAGAACUUGAUGGAACUUUAUAAUUCGUAUAGAACUUGAUAGACUUUCAGAAGACUUCUGUAUAAUUUUUUAAUAAAACUUUCUUAAGCUUUCAUAGAACUUGAUAGGCUUUCAUUCCAAACUUAUGUAGAUGGUAUAUUUCAUUUUAUCCCCAUCCUUGACAUUUAAAGAAAGAAACUUGAAUUUUUUCAAUCAAAUUUGUUUUUGUUACCAAAGCAGCAAAAACAAAAAGUACUUGUUUGCGAUGGAAGAACAUAUGCACAGUUCAAAAUGAAAAGAAUAAGAAGCAAAGUACCUAUUUGACCAAUGAAUGCUGUGUCAACUAGAGAAGCAAUUGGAUCGGCUGUCAAAGCCAAUGCUGCAGGCAAUGCAUCGAUGGUCCAAAUUGCAAUAAAAAAAUAUUUUGAAUAAUGGCUCUUGCAGACAAAGACCACAUAAAUUCUGAACUGGUCUAGCUUGAAUAAUAAGGUUAGAUUAGCCAAUUGAUGAGAUUAAAAGCAAAGCAAGUUGAUGAAUUUAUCAUCAACUAUUUAAUAACCACAGUCCUGAUCUCUUGGACCCCUGUAGUCCAAGAGAUUUAUGGUCACCCACCGUUGGAUGUAAAUUCAACGGUUGACUUGAAUCGGGUAAUAAUCAUUUAUGUCAUAUUGCAUUUAUAUAUAUCAUUUUGAACCAUUGGAUUAAUAUCCAACGGUGGGUGACCACAAUCUCUUGGACUCCUGUGGUCCAAGAGAUCGGGACUGUUAAUAACCAAUAGAGUAUUUAAACAUAAACAACAAUGUUUGAUCAACAAAACAAAUAGUCCAAAUAUCAUCCAAAAAACAAUAACAAAAAAUCAAUCAUUCCAAACAAACUAGUCAUUCUCAAAAACUCUCAAAAAACCCACUCAUUCCAAAUUGUAGGAUAUCCAAUUUGAGCACUCCUCAGGAGACAUUUUCAAAAAUGCAUCCUUUUUUGUGUUACUAUGCAACAAAGAGAGUGCUUUAUAACGAGCAUGUUCAUCCAAAUUUGGGGUCUCCUUAAUGGCAUCCCAUAUAUAACUCCGCUGCUCUCUCUCUUUUUCCCUUUUUGCCAAUAGGUUAUGGACCUCCCGGAAGUCGAUGACAAUUGAAUCAAUGCUAAGGCUAAUUCUUCCCAUAGCUUGCUGGGUGGUCACAUUUGAGAUAGCAUUCCCUUCCAAAUAUGUUCUAGUUCGUUUCCUCUAGUAACAAGCAUAAAUCCUAGUAACAAGCAUAAACCCUAACCCCAACCUAUAACCUAAUAACAAGAAGAAAACCCAACGAGGUAUUGAUCAAAGAAAAAUUAGGGAGCAUACCUUCACAGAUGGAGGAAGGAAGCUGUUCGUCUUCGCAGAGAGAAAAUCUAGGGAAAGAGAAAAACGUCUUAUGAAAUACUUGGGGGGGAGGUUGGAUUUAUUUUGGUCUUUUUUAUUUAUAACUCUCCCCUUAAAACCUACGUAAAUUUAUCACUUAAUGAAAUCCUUCCAAAUAUAUGACCUUUCGAAUACACCUAGAUUUGAUUCAACUUUUUUAUAAUCAUAAUUGAAUACACCCAUAUUUGAAUGGACUUUUUAAAAGUUCAUAUAGGUCCGAAAUGAAUAUACUCAAACUUGUAAAACCUCUUUUAAAGUUUGUAUAAAUCCAAAUUGAAUACACCUGGAUUUUUAAAAUCUUUUUAAACACUUUAUAAUCCUAAUUGAAUACACCCCCCUUAUUCUCAAAAGACUAUAUUACUUUACCUCUAUCUCUGUGAAAUGUAAAAAGUUGAAACUUUAAUGUCAAACCUCAACAAAAGAUGAACUUUCAUCAGUUACGUUGAAUUUGGAUUUGUUGAACUUAAGUGGUUUUAUUUUCUUUGUCAGUGUUUGAUGACUUAAUUUGGUAUUUAUUUCUUCUUUUUUUUCCUUGGAAAUGUGUUCCACCAACGUGAGGAAGAAAAAUAUGCACAAAUUAAUAUAUUUAAUAGAAGCCCAAGAUUUCGGAUGCAUAUAAUUUCUACAAAAAUCUACAAAGUUUUUUACUUUACAAACUUCUUAUGUCUACCAAUUUCUACUAAAAUUAAUUUCUCUGUGGUGCUCAAAUUCAUCAUAUGUGUGUCGUUAAUUUUAUUGAAAAUUGGAAGUUCCCAUCAUUUUUGUUUUUUGGGAAUUUUCUGAACCAAGGAAAAUCAAGUAAAAUUAAUAAAGCCUAAAUUGGAAAGGGAAAAUAUCUAGAGGAUGCAUUGUAGGAUUGCUCAUGCCAAUAAUUGUACCCUCUAAAUAUAUAGAGACAUAUUUUUUUUGUUUUCAUGACAUGUGGUCCUAAAAUUAUUGUGUAAAUCUUCAAUCCUGAACGAUGCACCUAAAACUCAUCCACCCAUUCUCAGGCCAAUUAUUGCACCUAGUGGGCUCUCGACCCCCUCUCAAAUUUAACCACAUAUUUUAUGGACCAUCCAGCUGUGAGGUACAUUCCCCCCACAUGCCACAAUUGUAUAUUCACAAUUACGUCUGAUACAUCACAUCAUGCCACUUGCCUCAAAUGAAUUUAAGUGAGUGAGGCAGUUGGAAGUAAUUAAGCUCUAUAUUGGUGGGUGGAGUGUUACUUCUCGGUUCCCCUCAUCAUUCGUCUAUAAAAUGGUGAAGGCAGUUGCUAUUGUUACCAUAAGAGCCAGCUCCGACUUCCUUUAAUUUCUUGCUUCAUAUCCACUAGCUACAUCUGUUACCAAGUUAAUUUCAGUUCUAAUGGGGUUUCAUCUCCCACUCAUCUUUGCUCUUCUCAGUGUAAGCUCUGCAAUUUGAUUAACUUUUCCAUUCUCUCUCAUUGUACUCUAUAUAAACGAAAGUUUUGUGUUCCUAUUGUUCUCUCCGAUUUUAUUUAGUACGUACUUAAGUGUCGUCCACUAAUUAAUUAUACUUUGUGAUUUGAUUUUAAUUUGAGUUUGAAUUAAUGUUGCAGCUAGCAGCAGUGGCACUGGCAAACCAUGCUGCUCAACCAGCACCUCAACUUUACUGGAGCUCCGUCCUGCCAAACACACAGAUGCCAAGAUCUAUCAGUGAACUUCUGCAUCCUGGUUUGUGUUGAGCUCUUUAGAAUCUUAGAUAUCUCUUCUACCUGCCAUUUUACUAAAAUAUGUUCCACCACAUAUUUAUCAGUUAACCAUUGUCAUUACAUGAGUGACACAUAUUCACAAAUCGGCUGAUCACUUAUUUUCCAUUAUGACUUGAUAUAUAAUUUGCAGACUCCACAAAUGAAGAAAAGAGCACAAAUGACGUUGGCAAACCUGAAACUUUCCCAUUGGGCAAUCAACAUUACUCCAGUCAAAAACAUUAUGGAGGCAUACCUGAAACUUCCCCAUUGGGCAAUAAACAUUACUCCAGUCAAAAACAUUAUGGAAGAGGCAAACCUGAAACUUUCCCAUUGGGCAAUCAGCAUUACUCCAGUCAAAGACAUUAUGGAAGAGGCAAACCUGAAACUUUCCCAUUGGGCAAUAAACAUUACUCCAGUCAAAAACAUUAUGGAAGAGGCAAACCUGAAACUUUCCCAUUGGGCAAUCAGCAUUACUCCAGUCAAAAAAAGUAUGGAAGAGGUGCUUCUCCAUCCGACAAUCAACAACUCCAUUAUAAAGACUUAGCUAUUUUCUUCUUGGAGAAGGACAUGCGCCCUGGCACAACAAUGAAGUUCCAAUUCCCUAUAAAUUCAAACACGGCUACUUUCUUGCCACGAGAAAGCGCUCAAUCGAUCCCCUUCUCCUCUAACAAACUGCCAGAAAUUUUCAACCAUUUUUCAGUGAAGCCAACAUCUGAGGAAGCCAAAACAAUUAAGCAAACAAUCGAAGAGUGUGAAGCUCCAGACCUUAAGGGAGAGGAAAUAUAUUGCGCCACAUCUUUAGAAUCAAUGGUUGAUUUUAGCACUUCGAAGCUUGGAACAAGAAACGUUGAAGCAAUCUCGACGGAGGUAUUGGAAAAAGGAGCCACCAUGUCCAUCCAAAACUAUACAACAAUGCCGGGACUGAAGAAGUUGGCAGGUGACAAAGUCGUUGUGUGUCAUAAGCAGAACUAUCCCUAUGCUGUGUUUUUCUGCCAUGCAAUAAAACAUACAGCAGCUUAUGCUCUCUCCCUGAAAGGCGAUGAUGGGGAGAAGGUUAAAGCAGUAACCAUCUGCCAUCUAGACACAUCAGAAUGGGACCCAGAGCAUAUGUCCUUCCAAAUCGUCAACGUUAAGCCCGGAACCAUUCCCAUCUGCCAUUUCAUUUCCACUGAUGCUAUUGCCUGGGUUCCGAACCACAAAUCUGCAUGAUCAUCACUUAGCACUAGUACUGUGCGUAUAAUAUGCCUGUAUAAUUAUCUCCCUACUUAUUUCUGCCUCUUCAUCAUGUGGUGUAAGAUAUAUGUUGAGAUGAAGUUUUUGGGAUUUGUGGUCGAAAUUAACCCGAUCAUGUUUUCUCUUGCAACCAUAUAGACUUCAACUUGUACUCAUAAUAAAGCAUGCUAUAUUUAUGAAGAGAUAUUAAUCUUCAGGCAAAUAGAUAUUAUGAAAACAUAUAUAGCAAUUUAUCCAGAAGAAACAUUAUGAAAUGAAAAGAAUAAAAAGUAGAAAAACAGAAGGAAAGGAAUUCGCACGUGCUAUGCUAUGUAUGAAAGGACCAAGAUUGUUUUCCCUUUGGUUAAUGACUAGAAAAGCUCACUUGCAGAGUGCUUUCUCCGACCAUAGAUGGAAGAGAAAUUUUCUCUUAAUAAUAGCACAAUGAUCGGGUAAUUGUAAGAACAAGUUGAUUUAAAAUUCCUUGACCCAAAAAAAAAAAAAAAGUUCUUUUCAAAUUCAGGUCAACCCAUAGAUUUCUUGCCUUCGUCUUCUUCAUCACGUUGGGCUUGUCUUCUUUUUGCGUUUUGGGCCUUGGAAGUUGGGACCCAACCCAACUUCACAAAAAGAAAACAGAUUUGCCAAAAAUCAAAUUUCAAGUCUCUCCUCCGAUCACUAAUACAGAUCAAAUUUUGGAUUUGAUGAACUAAAGUGGUUUUACUUUCUCUGUCAGUGUUUGAUGACUUAAUUUGUUAUUUACUUUUUUUUUUUUACUUGAUCUUUGUAGGGGCUUUUUUUUUUCCGGCAGCUUAAACGGGCUGGGCUGCCGUAAAGGGUAGAUUGAUGAAAUUGUCCCCUUUGUCUGAAUUCGAAAAUCAAGCCCCAAAAGCGCUUCGAAAGGGCAGUAGAGCCUUAGGAAGCGUUCUGGUUACCUUCACUAAUUAAAACAACAGCAACUUACAGAUGAUUUCUUGAGGCUUACAGAUAAAUUUUCUAGCUUGGCAUGACAUGGAAGCAAAAUCAGCAUGAGUUUAGCACCAAAGAGGAAAAUAUGGCUUCCUAGGGAGAAAUGAGAGUGUUUAAGGUGAGGAAGAAGAGGUUUGCAGGCUGAUUUGGCUGAGAAAAGAGAAAGAAAGAACAAUGUUCUUCCGGCAGCUUGACAAAGCUUCUGACAGAUGUGAAAGUCGUCCGCCAGAAGAGGAAAAUGGAGAAGAAGGAUGAAUAGUGCACGAAAUUGGUGGGUUCUUGCAGGUAAGAGAGAAAGCUUGCUCUCUGAAUCUGAGUUGGUUUUGGUUGGGUAGAAGAAGCCCCCUUUUAUAGCUGCGGGAAACCAUCUUUUUCCAAGAAACCCUAAUGGUUUCUAUCCUUUUUGGCCAAGCUUUUCCCUUCCUUUCUCUUCUCCUCCCUUGACUUUUCCUAUCUUGGUGAAAUUUCCUCUGCCUAUUUGCACAAAAUUAGAGAUUUUGAGGAGCUCAAGGCCCCUUUCCCGCAGCUGCCUUAGUGGAGAAUCCCCAUUUUCAGUCAUCUUUCUUCCUUCUUUUCUCCCAUCUUCCAAGGCUAGGUUUGAUGAGAGAAAGAAAUGGAUAUGCACACUGGUUUGAAGGGUGUUUUUCCUUGAAACUUGUUCUCUCCCAUGUGCUGGAGCUUCCCAGCAGCUUACACACAUAGAUAUUUUGGCUUUCAUCGUGGCUUUUGUUUUCAGCUAGGUGCUGGAGAUUUUGCAUAUAUUUUCUUGAGUUGCUUGGGCCUUCUAGGACAAUACGUUGGUUUAUCAAGUGAAUGGGCUAACUUCAUCAAUUGUUGGGCAAUUUUGGUUGAGUUAAUGGACUAUUUUGGUUCAAGUAAUGGACUAUUUUGGUUGAAAUAAUAGGCUAUUUUUCUCUCUUUGUGCUCACCCACAUAUUUGGGCCUAAAAAAUGGGCUUGAGUUUCGGGGCUCCCAAGCAACCCCGGGACUUCCAUUUCUCGGCCCAUCAAUGAGCCUCAUGUCAACUUAUUACCAUCCAUACCACAACCCACUCAAGCAAGCCUCAGGCAUCUUGCGUGGCUUGGGCCCACGUAAGCUCGUAGUGGCAAUGUUGCUUAUUUGCUUGACGUGGCAUGUGUGCAAGUGCAUAUGACGAACUUUCGCGUGCCCAAAUUGAGUUUCUUCUCGGUAGGGUAUCGCAUUGGGCCGAGAAUUUAAUUGGGUAGAACCGUGGAUUUUUUGGGCCUCAACAAUCUUAUAUAUAUUAGUUUUCUUUUUUUCCUUAAUAUUCACCACCUUUCUGUUGCAUAAGUAUUCCAGUCUUAGCGGGUUUCCAUCUACCACUCAUCUUUGCUCUUUUAAGUGCAAGCUUUUUUAUUUUUAUUUUUUUAUGCACAAGAUUAGAGGGGAGGGAGAUUUCUCAAUGUAAGCUUUGCAGUUUCAUAAUUAAUAUUUCCAAUAUCUCACUGUUAGUAAAAUAUGGAACGGGAAAAGUACGAAUAAAAUACACACAUGUUUUAUUUAGCAAAAUUUUGACAAGAUACAACUGAAAAGUUUGGCCACUAUAUAAUAUUUUGAUUUAAUUUUUUUUAUUUUUUUAAUAUAUAUUAUUUUUAUUCAAUAAUAUGUGAAAAAUAGGUGUACAAUAUAUGAAAUUUGUAUGUAUUAUUGAAAAAUUCGUAAAAAAAAAACAUGUUAUUAAAUGUGAAAAAUAUGUACGUAUAUGUAUAAAACAUGUAUUGUACAUUACUUUUUAACAAACUUGUAUUUUACCUAGUCUUUAAACCGUAUAUGGAAAACGGAAGUAUUAUUGAAAAAUACAUAUGUACGUAUAUGUAUAAAACAUGUAUUGUACAUUACUUUUUAACAAACUUGUAUUUUACCUAGUCUUUAAACCGUAUAUGGAAAACGGAAGUAUUAUUAAAAAAUACAUAUGUACGUGUAUAAUAUGAGUAUUAAACAAAAAAAUGUGCUAAGUACUUAUCUUUUAAUUUAAUAAUUCAUUUCAUUUUGUGAUCUCAUACGUAGUAAUGAGAGUUCAAAUUAAUGUUGCAGCUGACAAUGGUGGCUCUGGCAAGCCAUGCUUGAUGCAGGAGUAUAGGGGUGGAUCAAGAUAGAUAUUUACCAUGUAAUUAGUUAUUUCAUGAUAUAUUGUUAUUUUCUUAUUUAGGUAGUUUUAUGAUAUCUUUUAUUAUUUAUGUGGGAUUUUAUAAUUAAUUAGUUUACUUUUGGACCAAGUAGCCUUGGUGCUCAAGUCUUGUAAAGCUUAUAAAUAAGGCUAAUGUAAUAGUUGUAGGAAAAGAGAUGUCGAUGAUUAAUAAAAUCGUUUAUUUGUGGCAUGGAUUUGCUACGAUAUAUGUGAGUUUGCACUAGCCCUAGAUUUCGGUGCUCGUGUAUGUGGUUGGUGACCUGUGUCCGGAUCCCGAUCCCCAUCAAUGCUGUUCUCCCAGUACCUCAACUUUACUGGAACUCUUUCCUGCCAAACACAAAUGCCAAGAGCUAUCAGUCAACUUCUGCAUCCUGGUUUCUAUUAAGGGACUUUUCGUGAGCUUAUCAUCUACCCAAAUUUUACUCAUCCGACGUAAUUUUAAAAGUGAUUUGAUCCUUUGGCAAAGUAAUCUUGAACUACAAAAAAGGAGGGCACUCGAAUAGGCAUGCCAUUUGGUAUUACCCACCUCUAAUUUCUUUUAAAAUUUUAGUAAUUGAUUUUUAAGAUUAGAAAAUGGGAAAGUUCAAAACCGAAAAAGUUGUUUCAGUUUUGGCAAGUAUCGGAAAAGACUAAAAUUUUCCGACUUUAUUAUUACUAGAAACAAAGUCGAAGUAUUCACCAAUCAUGUGGCCUUCCAAGUGCUCAAGGUUAAGCCAGGAACCGUUCCUAUCAGCCAUUUCCUUCCCAAGUAUGAUCAUGUUGUCUGGGUUCCAACCCACAAAUCUACAUCAGUACCUGAACUAAUCAGUUCUACAUGAAUAUUCAUUCAUGGCAACCUUGGGCUAAGUAUUUGAAUUUAUGCUCAUAAAGCUUUAAUGCUUUUGAGGGCCAAUCGUUGUCUACAUAUGGUAUUGUAGCAUCUUUAGAUGGAAGAGGUCAGGGGUUCAAUUCUUGUUUUCCACUUCUUUAUUUGUUGGUUUAUCGAGUGUAGAGUGGAGUUGCACCUAUAUGUUCGUCUCUCACCCCAUCAUUUACCAUUGAUAUAUAUUUAAUAGAAGCCUAAGAUUUCGGAAGCACAUAAUUUCUACUUUACAAACUUCCUGUGUCUACCAAUUUCUACUAAAAUUAAUUUAUCUGCGGUGCUGAGAUUCAUCAUAAUUUUAAUAGAAAUUGGAAGUUUUCAUCAUUUUUGCUUUAAGUCUCUACUCCACUCACUAAUAAAGAUUACUCAUGUGAGUUUACAAAACAUUUUUUUUUUCUACUCUCUCCUGAAGACUACACUUCUUCUCAAAAAAUUAGAUCACUUCACAUCUUGUGUAUGUGAAAACUAAUGUAAAAAGUUGAAACUUUAUCGUAAAACCUCGACAAAAAUGAGCUCUACUACAAAAUGUUAAAUUUGGAUUCGUUGAUUUAAAUGGCAAUUUGACACUUGAUAGAAAUUUUUACAUACAUGUGUUAGUGUUUGAUCACUUCACAUGUCACUUACUAUAUUUAUUCCACUCAAGUUAGGUAAAUAUUAUUAUCAAACAUUUCAAUUAAUUUGUGAUUUUUUUAUUAUUUAAUCAAUUAUGAAUUAAUGGAUUCUUCUUGUUGUUUUGAAGACCAACAAAAAAAAAAAAAAGGGUAGUGAUGGCUUAUAAUUCUGGUAAAACAACAGUGACGUGGACAACAGAUGUUACGCUGUACUAAAGAUUUUUGAAGAUUCUUUAUUUGAGUUUCUUUCAAGAUAAAAACCAUAUUAUCCACAACCACAAGCACAUCCGGCAGACAAUCUUUGGCUAUUCAUCACAAUUGGGAGACAAUGAAGAAGACAGAAAAUGGAGUAAUUCAGAUGUUACCAGCCAUCCACGACAAACUGAAGUCUGCAAAGCAUUCGUAAUCUAAAAAGGAUGGGGAGGCUGCGCAAUACUUAGCCACGUGUAGGCCAGGAGGCUUUCCAAUUUUAAUAUAUAUAUAGAUUGAAAAAAUAAAAUAAAAAUCAAUCUAUUAUCAUAUAUAUUAUAAAAUAAAGAUUAUUGCUCCCAUGGGCGGUGCUAUGCACAGGACAGUGCCUGCCUAGUCCAAAUUUUUUUUAAAUAAAAAUAAAAAUCUACAUAUGUUAUAAGCUCAUCCAAAAAAAAAAAAAAAAAUAAAAGUGUUGUAAAUUAUAAGGUGGAGCCCACAUGUUGGAAGGCUUUGCCUACAAAAGGGUUCACACCCUCCCUUUGUAAUUAGACAUUGAGAAUACUAAGGAAGACAGAAAUGAAUAGAGAGAAAACAUUCCCUUCUCUCCAUCUCAAUUCCCUCUCCAAUUCCUCUAGAUUUAUAACACGUUAUCAGCAGCACGAAUCGCUUUCAAACAAUACCAGCUGAAUUUUAUGAUGAAACCCAGAUCUCUCAUCCAUCUCUGCUGCUCCACUACUUCAAAAUAAAUCCCACAGAAAAAGAAAAAGCCUCAAUGCUCUCUCUCUCUCUCUGUCUCGCUUGGGAGACUUGGACAAUUCCUCAUCCCCGUUACUGACAAUUUCAACAGCUUCAGGGGAAGCUAGUUUAUCUUCCUCUGCUCACGAAACCAUGACUCUUUCAGAGCCAAACAACAACACAAUAGACAACGCAUGGAGACCAGACUGGAGCUCGUCGGCUAAGGCACCGACGAUCCGACCCUACCCGUAUGGACCUUCCGGAUGUGGUUCCUGGGUCUUGUCUCAUGUGCCCUCCUCUCAUUUCUCAACCAAUUCUACAAGCAGCAGAGCUUCAAAUCAAACAGAUCAUGGCAUCGCUUUCACACCUCCCCAUCUUCCUCUUCCUCCUGUUCACCGCUUUCUAUUCUACAGCUUCGCAGUCCUUCAUCGGCGCAUCCAAAGGCGACAUACCGGCGCUCGCCUCAGAUCCGAACGCGGCGGCUCAGUGGGUGAACUCGAAUGUCCUCGCCUUCUACUCGGCCAGCAACAUCGACCUCAUCAACGUCGGCAACGAGGUCCUUUUUCUCCAACGACCAGGGCCUCAUCUCGCAGCUCCUCCCCGCCAUGCGAAAUGUCCAAUCUGCCCUCUCCGCCGCGUCCCUCGGCGGCAAGGUCCGUGUCUCCACGGUCCACUGCCUCGCCGGAUCGGGAUCCUUCCUUCAAGUGUUUCUCUGUCUUCGACUUGAAAAAGAAGGUCAUGGCAGGCCUAUGUAAAAAUUGCGAAAAGGAAGGCAAUCUUCAACCUUUUCUCCUGUCUCUCUCUUGAUCAAUUCAUGGAAGGCACAUUUGGGUCUUCCGGGGGCUCAUCAAAUGAGUCAGCAAUGUCAAAGGUGGAGGUGGUGGAGCAAGACUACGUGGGGAUGUCAUAUGAGGCAACCUCAUACCCAGCUGAGGCAGAGCUUGUGCUGGGCCUGGGCCUUGGCCUGAGCCUUCGUGGUGGUGGUGCAGGGAAGCAGCCAAAGCCAUGUGCAUGGGGUGAGCGUGGUAGAAUCUUGACUGCUAAAGUUAGGUGCUGAGUUACACUGUGUUCUCUGCUACUGACCCUAAGAGGAGUGCUAGAAACUUCCAUGUUCCGCCAUCAUUUCGCUUUCACUGUUACAAGGCACUGGAGUAUGUUUAAUUGAAAAGUGAGAUACACAGCAAGUUGAUCAGCCUAGUGGAAAGCAAAGGAUUAUUGCCAGGGAUAUGAACACCCACCGAAAUAAAGGGAUAAGUACUCUUUUUCCCUUCGACCAGUUUUUUUUUGUCCCACUGGGUUUUUACUGGCAAGGUUUUUCACGAAACAUAUUCCGUAUCAUUUGUGGUCUCUAAGAGGGAGUGUUGUAAAUUAUAAGGUGGAGCCCACAUGUUGGAAGGCUUUGCCUACAAAAGGGUUCACACCCUCCCUUUGUAAUUAGACAUUGAGAAUACUAAGGAAGACAGAAAUGAAUAGAGAGAAAACAUUCCCUUCUCUCCAUCUCAAUUCCCUCUCCAAUUCCUCUAGAUUUAUAACAAAAAGUAAAUUCUACACAUAUGUUGCCCAUCCAGGUGGUCCCAUAUCUUCUCUUUCCUUUUCUUUUGGCUAUUAGACUUCUUGUUUCUCUCUCUCUCUUUGCUACCCCACAUCAGCAAGUUUCUCCCUCUCUUUUUUUGGGAUCAAAUUCUUCUUCUAUUGACAAAAUCUUCUAUUAUAUUGGGUGGGCAACUUGGCAACAACAUCUUCUCCUCUCCUUUUGUCAACAGCAAGUAUUAUUCUCAUUCUCUCAUUUGCUAUAUAUCUUUAAUUAUAGUUUUAAUUUAAAAUUGAGUAUUCUAGGGUUUAAUUAGGGAUGAAUUAUAAUUUUGGGAUUUUGUUGAAAUUAAUUAGGGCUUCGAUUAGGGGUGAAUUAUUCUACUGCUUUGAUUUGGAAUUUUGUUAAAAUUGAGUAUUAUAGGUUUAAUUAUGGAUGAAUUACAAUUUUUGGUUUUGGUAUUGUUGAGAUGUUAUUAUGAGAAUUUGUUUGAUUUUUUGUUGGUAUAUUUGAUUAAAAUUCUUUCUACAUAUUAUUCAUAGGCUAUCUUUUAUUAUGUCGGAUCACAAUCGGAAUCCCAAGAAAACAAAAAAUUUGAAUAGUGUUGUUUUGUAUUGCAUUGCAUUUACUUUUGGUUUUAGUUUUGCUUUUAGUGUAAAUUACUCAAAUGGUCCUCAAAUUUGUACCCAAUUUACAUUUUGGUCCAUAAACUAAAUUAUUCAUUCAAAUGGUCCACCAACUCUUUAUUAAUCGGUGCUUUGGUCCUAUCGUUAUGUUUUCUAUUAAAUUUAGUCAUGUGAGCAGCACAUGCUACAUUUGUAUGGGUAAAUAAGACUUUUGACCAGUGGCGGAUCCACGUUGGGACAAGAGGGGUCGGACGACCCCUUGGAAGGCUGGAAAUUUGGCAAGGGAGUCCAUGAAAGCCCCCUUGGACAGCUGCUGGAAGCCCCCUUGUAUGCACACAAUGUGCUCGACGAAAUGCCCCAACGAAAUGUCCUGCGCAGCUGUGCUGCGCCUUGCGCGUAAUUUUUUUUUAAAACCAGCCUUGCCAAACGACGUCGUUUGGUCAAGGCUCAGUCAAAUUUUUUUUUAAUUAACCUGGCCUCAAAACGACGUCGUUUUGGGCCAGGUUUAAAAAAAAAAAAACAGAACAGUACACACGCACAGCAGCUCUGCACAGAUUCAUUUUCUCCAAACCUUUCAUUCCCAAUUCCACAGCCCCUCUUCCCAUCCUCUCAAACCCUAACCUCCCAACCUCCCAACCUUGGACAACCUCCAUCAACUCUUCACCGGUGGCCCAAUGCCGAUCACCACCACCUUCUACCGCCGUCCGCCGCCCAUUUUUUAAACUACAAGUAAGUAAGCAUGGAAAAUCUGAUAUUAAUAAUUAUAGUGAUAAUAUAUAUUGUUGAUAUUGAUAUUUUUUUUUUAUGUAAUGAAAUUUAUGGAUAUGAAUCAUAUUGAUUGAUUGAGUUUAUGCUUGAAAUUUAUGGAUAUGAAUCAUAUUGAUAUUUUUUUUUAUGUAAUUAAAUUUAUGGAUAUGAAUCAUAGUGAUAAUCAUAUUAAUGUAGAUUGAUUGAGUUUAUGCUUGAUUGAUAAUAUGAAUUGAUUGGGUAUAUUAAAUAUUGAUUGCUAUUUGAUAUGAUAAUUUGGUAUAUUGAAUAUUGAUUGAUAUGGGUUUAGGGAGUAUAUUGAAUAUUGAGAGUGGGUUAUUGAAAUUUUCAUAUUCAUAUGAUAAUUAGGAUAAAAAUUAAUGAUUGAUUGAAUUAAUUGAUUUGUAGAUUUAUGGAACGAUUCUUUAAAAGAAAAUUAUCUACGGAUAGUUCUUCUCUGUCUAAUCCGGGUAGUUCAAAUGCAAGACCAAUUGAAGUAGAUGAGAUCUUAGCUAAUCUUCAAGCAGACCCUGGACUAAGAACUCGAAUGGCGGAUUAUAGUCCUAAUAUUAGGGAUGAGAUCCGAAGAGCAUAUCUACAAAAGGGACCUUGUCAACCUAGAAGUUAUAAAUUCCCACAAACUAAUCAAUCAGGAAUUAAUAGACGCUUCAUUGCUCAUUGGUUUGAUGAUCAUGAUUGGUUGGAAUAUAGUAUUGCUAAAGAUGCUACGUUUUGUCUUCAUUGUUAUCUCUUCAAAUCUAAUUUUGAUCAAGUGGGUGGUGAUGCAUUCACUGGGGUAGGCUUCAAUAAUUGGAAGAAGGCGAAAGAAAGAUUUAACCUUCAUAUUGGACCGGUUGGUAGUGUUCACAACCAAGCUAGAGAAGUUGCUUACAAUUUGAUGCAUCAAACUACACACAUUGAAACAAUUGUGCUCAAGCAAACAAGCCAAGCUCGCACGGCUUAUCGCACUUGCUUGAAUGCAUCACUUAAGUGCACUAGGUAUUUGUUGCGGCAAGGGCUUUCUUUUCGUGGUCAUGAUGAAAGUGCACAAUCAAGUAAUAAAGGGAAUUAUUUAGAGCUCUUGCAAUUUCUUGCGGAUCAUGAUGAAAAAGUUAAGGCCGUUGUAUUGGAAAAUGCUCCGGGAAAUUUAAAGUUAAUAGCUCCUUCAAUUCAAAAAGAUCUUGUCAAUUCUUGUGCCAAAGAAACCAUUGAUCUUAUCUUGAGUGAUGUAAAAGAUAGAUAUUUUUCAAUAAUGGUGGAUGAAGCACGUGAUGUUUCAAUAAAGGAGCAAAUGGCAAUGGUGUUGCGUUAUGUGAAUGACAAAGGACAAAUAAUUGAAAGGUUUGUGGGGGUUCAACAUGUAACCGACACUACUUCAAGUGCACUAAAGGAAACAAUUGAUGAAUUCUUUUCUUCCGCGAAUUUGAGCUUUUCCAAGCUACGAGGACAAGGUUAUGAUGGAGCUAGCAAUAUGAGAGGUGAGUUCAAUGGCCUUAAGAGAAAGAUUUUGAGAGAACAACCUUGUGCAUUUUAUGUUCAUUGCUUUGCUCAUCAACUUCAACUAGCUCUUGUUGCGGUAGCAAAGAAAAACAUUGAUGUCAACUCUUUUUUCACAACGGCUAAUAGUUUGGUUAAUGUGGUUGGAGCAUCUUGUAAGCGUCGCGAUGCACUUAGAGCACAAUACCAAGAAGAGCUUGUGAGAGCUUUUGAAGAUGAUUGUCUUAUAACGGGGCGGGGCUUAAAUCAAGAAAGGACUCUCAAACGUGCCGGCAAUACACGAUGGAACUCACAUUAUGGUACGUUGAUUAGUAUCAUUUCUAUGUUCCCAUCUGUGGUGAAUGUGCUUCAAAUGAUUGUUGAUGAUAAUCUUAAUGAUAGUUCGGGUGAAGCCUAUAAGUUAAGGAGAGAAAUACAAUCUUUUGAGUUUGUGUUUCACUUAUUUGUAAUGAAAGCUAUAUUGGGAAUAACAAACACUUUGUCUCUAGCAUUGCAAAAGAAAGAUCAAGACAUUGUGAGUACAAUGAAUUUAGUGAAAACAUGCAAGGAAAACCUGCAGUUGAUGAGGGAUAAUGAGUUUGAAGAAUUGGUUGGGCAAGCAUCCUCGUUUUGUUACAAAUAUGAUAUUAUAGUUCCUACCAUGGAUGAGGAAUAUGUAAUUCCAGGGAGAUCAUGGCGUAAUGCUCCAAUGAAGACAAAUUAUCAUCGUUAUCGUGUGGAGAUCUUUAUUCAUGUAAUUGAUGGGCAACUUGCGGAAUUAAAUGAUCGCUUCAACGAGGUAAGUACUGAGUUACUUACUUGUUUGGCAUGCUUGAGUCCAAAAAAUAACUUUGUGACUUUUGACAAACGAAAGCUAGUUCGUCUUGCUCAAUUUUAUCCUUAUGAUUUUUCGGAUAGAGACUUAUUGAUGCUUGAAGAUCAACUUGGUGUUUAUGUUCAUCAUAUGCGUUCGAGUAGUGAUUUUUCUCAAUUGGAAGGGAUUAGUAGUCUUGCGGAAAAAAUGGUGGAGAAAGGAAUGCAUGAAAUAUUUCCUUUUGUAUUUGCUUCUUACAUUGGCUUUGGUUUUACCGGUUGCAACUGCAUCAGUGGAGAGGGCAUUUUCCGCUAUGAAUAUUAUUAAAAAUCCACUUCGCAACAGAAUGGGAGAUCAAUGGUUGAAUGAUAGCUUGCUUGUUUACAUUGAGAGAGAUGUUUUUGCUUGUAUUGAUAACGAAAUUAUAAUGCAAUGUUUUCAGAAUAUGAAAACUCGUCGUGGACAAUUGUAACUUGUAUUAUUGGUUUUGUUAUGAAUUAUGAAUGAAAGUACUAUCUUUCUAUCUUUUUAGCAUUAUUUUCUUUGUAGAAAAAUUUCAGAACUUUUACACUAAGCCCCCUUGGCUACAUAAUCCUGGAUCCGCCACUGCUUUUGACCACUUUAUCACCUAUGUAUCACCACUUUAUAACCUAUUUGGGGAACAUAGGUCAGUUAUGGACGGUUUUACCCUUACAUUUGACGGCAACAUUAACAUAAUGUAACAGUGGGAUCAAUGGAGUGAUUAAUAUAAAGUUGAUGGACCAUUUGAAUGAAUAAUUUAAUUGAGAGACCAAAAUGUAAAUCAAGUAUAAGUUUGAGGACCAUUUGAGUAAUUUACCCUUCGCUUUUAUAUUUGUUGAACUUUUAUUUAUGAUAGAUAUGCAUUUAAGGGUAAGACCCAUUAUGUUCCCCUGGCUAGGUGUAUCUUUUUAUGUUUAUUAAUGAAAUUCACUCGAACUGUUGAGUUUAGUAUGUAAGUUUUGCCUAACUGGCUUUUGAAUCCUAGAACCGCCACUGUUGCUCCAUCCUCCAUGCACUUGCAUGUGCUCUUACAAAGUGUGAAGUAGAUUUUGUGUGCUCCAAGUCAUUGACUAGAGCUGAAACAUGGUUAGCUAGAUUUAUAAGGACCCAUCUCUUUAUUUCCUAGACAUAUACCCAUCUCUCUAUAAAUCUAUAUGUAAAACCUAAUUUCAAACUUAAAUGACCAGUAGGAUAUAAAAGGUCAUAGUAUUCCUAUGUUUUUAUAUCGUUGCCACCAGACUUCUUAUUUUAUUUAUAAUUUAUUUCAAGCAUUUCAUUAACUGCCAUAAUUGUAAUUAAUACUCCAUAUUAAUAGCAUAUCAAUCACCCCAUUUCUUUUGGUUGCCAUUCCCUCUAACAUAUCGCCCCUUAAAUUUGAAAACCAAAAAAAAAAAAUGUAAAUUACAUAUCCAAUAAUGUACCUAUGAAAAAUAUAAAUAUAAAUAUAUACAUAUAAAAAUAUAGGUAUAUUAUUUACCAAAUAGAAAAUAUAAAAACCUAGGUCAGUUGCUUUGUAAUUGAAAUUUCUGUACAUUUUCCACAAAUUAAAAAUAGGUACAUAAUAAUUUAUAGAAAAUAUAUGUACAUUAUUUAUCCAUAGGUAAAAAUACCGAUAAAUGCACAUAGGUGAAUUAUUUACCAAUAUAUUAUUUUUUUGCUAAGGAUUUACCUUAGUUUUUAGUAGAUUAAUUUACCUACCUAGAGGCAUAGGUAGCUUAAAAAAAAUGUACCACCUUAGUUGGUUGCAUACUAAUUUACCUACCUAGAGGCAUAGGUUGCUAAGAAAAAAUGUAGGUAAAUUCAUGUACCUAAACACAUAGGGGUCAAAUAGAGAAUAACAUGUUAUUUCCCUUUGAACAAAUUAAUUUCAAACCAUAACAAUUAUUGAAUUUGGAAAUUGGUAUAAAUAAAAGGAAAUAAAUAAACUAUCAAUUUGAAAAUUAAAAUAAGAAAUGAUCAAGUAGUCAUAUUUGAAAAAAAAGGAAAGAAUAUAUUCUUGGUUUUUAUAGGAACAACGAGUAUAUUCAAACCAAACGGCGAUAACUACACCAAGCUUUAAUUACUUUUUUUUAAGGCCAAAAGUCACUUUUGGUCCCUGUAGUUCGGCAUUUCUACCACUUUUGAUGUUGUAGUUUCAAUUCCGUCAAUUUUGCCAUUGUAGUUUCGUAUUUGUAGCAAUUCAAGGACCUGUUAAUAUUAAUGUCAAUUUGUUUAAUGAUGCAAGAGGUAAUUUCGUCAUCCCAAAAUCCUUGAGCAUAAAAGAUUGUCUGAAAUUCUCCCCAUUUCAUAUUAGGGCUCGAAAUUCAACCACUAAUCCUAAUUUUUGAAGAACCCUAGACCCAAAUGACCAAUUUCAAGCCCUAAUAUGAAAUUACGGAAGUUUUAGAUGAGCUUUUAUGCUCAAGGAUUUUGAGUUGAAGAAACUGCCCCUUGCACUGUCAAAUAAAUUGACAGGAAUACUGACUUGUCCUUGAAUUGCUACAAAUACAAAACUACAGUGUCAAAAUUAACAGAAUUUAAACUAUAGGGUCAAAAGUAGUUGAAGUGUCAAACUAUAAGGACCAAAAGUGACUUUUAGCCUUUUUGUUUCAAUAAGGAAAAAACUGACCUAUUAAAUCCUUGGAAUCUAUACAAAAUUGAAACACAAUUAAUCAACAUUGAAUUGCAGCUAAUUUCUUAAACAAGGGUAUUAUAGGAAUUUAAAAAGUAUAACAUUUAAUCCAUUGAAUUUGAUUAGGAAACUUGAUGAAUUGAAUCCUAGUUAUAUAGUUUUUCUUAUAAAAAUCAGGUUUUAUUUAUAGACAAAUAAAACAAUGGGUUGUAGGUAAGAAAAUAUUAAUUUGAAGGGAAAGAGUCAAAUUUACUAAAUUAAUAAAGCAUAAAUUGGAAAGGGAAAAGAUCUAGAGGAUGCAUUGUAGGAUUGCUCAUGCCAAUAAUUGCACCCUCUCGAUAUUGAAAAACCUAUUGUUUAUUAUUAUCUUCAAUCCUGAAUGAUGCACCUAAAACCCAAGUGUCUCAGGCCAACCAUUGCGCUCAUACCACUUGUUGCAGUACACAUUCACCUGUUUUUAAAGAAAGAAAUUCUACCAAUCGAUAUUUUCUCAAAUUUAAUCACAUAGAUCUAUUAUGGUUAACCAUAUGUACUUUUAUCUGCCAUCCAGAGGUACCUUUUUCCAACGUGCAACAAUUGUAUUUGAUUCACAAUUAUGUCUGAUAUACAUCACAUCAUGCCACUUGCCUCAAAUGAAUUUAAUUGAGUGAGGCAAUGGGAAGUAAUUAAGCUCUAUAUUGGUGGGUGGAGUGUUACUUCUGGAACCCUCAUCAUUCGUCCAUACAGGGGAACAAUUCCCUUCCUUCUAUAAAAUGGGAGCAAUUCUCUCACUGUACUCUAUAUAAAGGAAUAAGUGUCGUCCACUAAUUAAUUACACUUUGUGAGAUUUGAUUUUAAUUAGAGUUCGAAUUAAUGUUGCAGCUAGCAGCGGUGGCACUGGCAAACCAUGCUGCUCAACCAGCACCUCCACUUUACUGGAAUUCCAUCCUGCCAAACACACAAAUGCCAAGAGCUAUCAGUGAACUUCUGCAUCCUGAUUUGUGUUGAAUAGAUAUAGUAUGUUACUGGAGUACGUAUGGCAACAUAUUCACAAAUGUGUCACGUAUUUUCCAUUAUGACGUUGAUAUAUAAUUGCAGACUCCACAAACGAAGAAAAGAGCACAAAUGUCAUGAAUGCUGUUGGGAAUGGAAAGCCAAUUGACCACAAGGGCAAACCUGAAAAUACUGUACUACCACAGCUUGCACGACGCCCAUUUUCUUACAAGAGUGAUGAUCGUCCCACUGACAAUCAACUCCAUUAUAAAAACGUAGCUAUUUUCUUCUUGGAGAAGGACAUGCGCCCUGGCACAACAAUGAGCUUCCAAUUCCCUAGAAAUUCAAACACGGCUACUUUCCUGCCACGAGAAAGAGCUCAAUCGAUCCCCUUCUCCUCUAACAAACUACCAGAAAUUUUCAACCAUUUUUCAGUGAAGCCAACAUCUGUGGAAGCCAAAACAAUUAAGCAAACAAUCGAAGAGUGUGAGGCUCCAGGCAUUAAGGGAGAGGAAAUAUAUUGCGCCACAUCUUUAGAAUCAAUGGUUGAUUUUAGCACUUCGAAGCUUCGAACAAGAAACGUUCAAGCAAUCUCGACGGAGGUAUUGGAAAAAGGUGCCACCAUGUCCAUGCACAAGCACACAACAAUGCCGGGACUGAAGAAGUUGGCAGGUGUCAAAGUCGUUUUGUGUCAUAAGCAGAACUAUCCCUAUGCUGUGUUUUACUGCCAUGUAAUAAAACCAACAGCAGCUUAUGUUCUCUCCCUGAAAGGCGAUGAUGGGGUGAAAGUUAAAGCAGUAGCCAUCUGCCAUCUAGACACAUCAGAAUGGAACCCAAAGCAUUUGGCCUUCCAAAUCCUCAAAGUUAAGCCCGGAACAAUUCCCAUCUGCCAUUUCCUUCCCACUGAUCAUAUUGUCUGGGUUCCGAACCACAAAUCUGCAUGAUCAUCACUUAGCACUGUACGUAUAAUAACCUUUACCCCUGUAUAAUUAUCUCCCUACUCUACUUAUUUCUGCCUCUUCAUGUGGUGUAAGAUAUAUGAUGAGAUGAAGUUUUUGGGAUUAGUGGUCGGGUUGCCUUAAAAACACAGAUUACAGAAACUGCUUGAACUUAACCCGAUCAUGUUUUCUCUUGUACUCGUAAAGCAUGCUGUUGUGGUUCUACUUAAUUUCGUCCUCCCCAAUGUUUGAGUGUUUAAUUGUUACGUUGGAAUAGGCUGCUAAUGCAUGUAGUUAGAGAAGCUUUCAUUUAUAUCAAAGUCCUCAAACUAUCAAGAAUUAAUGCAUCCAGAAACAUAUAUACCAAGACGCAAAACAACAUAUUUUCCAUGCUGUGUCGGUAACACCAAAGCAAACUUCCUUUAUCACAAAAGGACCAAAUUCCAAUACUAAUCUAAUCCAUCAUGUAAAGCAUACAAUCUACAACUGCCUCCCUAAAUUUGUCCAUUGGAUAUAUAUGUCACUUUUUGGUAAUUUGGUAUAGCAGCACCACGUAGUAUGCAUUUAACAGAAAAGUAAACAAAAUUGACAGUAGAACUAUUUGUCCUAACGAAACUGAAGUUGAAAGACCAUGAGAACGAUUUUGAAAAUUAAGGGACUCAAAUGAAAAUUGGGUCUAAGUUCAGGGACCAAUAAAACGAUUAACCCAUAGAUUUUGGAUCCAGUACCACAUCCCAAAGAGAAAACCACAAGUUUGCAAGCAAGUUUGUCCAUACUAACACUACGUACAGUAUGGGCAAUGUGCUAGACUCAUCUCACUUUCUCAACCUAUCCUAUACUUGUCUAAAAGAGUUUCUAAUUUAAUGUACUGAGAUUUACGAAAGAAAUAUCAGAGAAACAAUUUUCAGGCAAUAAAAAAAUGUCUUGGCAAGAAAAUGCACAAUUUGUUACAUAACUUAUUAAAUAUGAACAGUUGAAAGAAAAAAGAAUUUGGAUGAGGGAUUUGCAAAUUCCUAUGGCCCAAUUACCUUUUUUUCUUUGUUUUUUUUUGGUUCUUUUGAUCCAGUAGCAUAUUCCAAAGAAUGAAAACCACAGGCAUGCAAUGCAAGCUCUUUUCCCAUGUUUUCCUCUGUUUUUCUCCUAUCAUGGAAGUGAUUAAAACACACCUCUAAGCUUGUUUUGCGUUUGGUAGCCGAGUGUAAAAGCUCAAUGCAAGAUAGUUUGAGGUAGAAUUUUCUCCUGUUUUAUUAGGACAAUGAUGAGCUAUAUGUGACAACAAAUUGCUUUAAUAAUGAAAAUUAAAAAAGUGUGAUUCAUUGAAUAUUUGCGGGGUUUUGUUCAGAGCUGACAAAGUUCUAAGUCAACACAUCAAAUUCCUUUUUCCAACAAUCGUAUUUGAUUCACAAUUUUGUCUGAUAUACAUCACAUCAUGACACUUGCAUCAAAUGAAUUUAAUUGAGUGAGGCAAUGGGAAGUAAUUAAGCUCUAUAUUGGUGGGUGGAGUGUUACUUCUGGAAUCCUAAUCAUUCGUCCCUACAGGACUCUAGAACUCUCACACUUCUUACAAGGACUACUUAACUCUAUAGCUUAUUGCAUAUAGCAUAUAUAUGCAAACCCAAUUAGAAAUUCUACAACAGAAGCAAGAUCAAUCUCACUAUGCCUUCUAAACAAACAAACAAAUAAAACAAGCAUAUUAAUUGCUUUAAUCACUCUACUAACAUCAACACAGCACACUUAGUUUACUAACAGAUGAUAUAGAAAGGAAAAAAAAGGACCAAUAGGGAGAAAAUGGUGAACUAAGGAGAGACUAAUACUUCUGGUCCUUAGAAGGCAUAACAGAAAUAAUAGAGCACACUGCUUGAAUGCAAGUCAGUAUUAGGAGCAAAACAGCUGCAAUGAAAGAAAUAGUUGCCCAAGGUGUAUUGAAAUAAUGUUGCCUCAAAUUUGCCUUCCAUUUGUUCCAAGGCUUUCUGCAGUAGCUAUUAAGGCGCUCAGAAAGAGUAGCAAAGUAGAAGCUUUCACGAUACACUGCAAUUCCUUUUCCGAGGUUGUUAAUCAGAGUGCACACCUCAUUGUAGUCACCAAGCAUAUUUUUGACAAUCCCAUACUUCAGAAGGAACUCCACAUCCUUUUCGGUGUUCACAAACUCAUCCAUGAGUGAAACAUAAUCACUUAUGUAAUUCUUACGGCAAUGGCACUAUUCAAAGGCAAUGAGGUUAUGGAGUGUGAGCUCUGUGUAAUCGUUUAUUUUUAGUUUUGGAAUUUCUAGAAUCCCAUCGUUGAAUCGUGUUAACGCAGCUUUCCUUUCCUAGCCUACGCGGAAGUCAACUUCACAAUCUCCUCCUAGCAAUUAGCCUUUCCUACUGUAAAUCGGAUUGUAUUCAUGUCUAUAUUAUUUCCUACCUUAAAUAGAUAUCCUGUACUAGUAUACAUAGGGACUUUGUGUAAUCUGUUAAAUACAAGGAAAUAUAUACUCUACAUGGUAUCAACCUAACCUAGGGUUCUCUCUCUCCCCCUUAUUCGAUCCUCUUCUCCUUUAGGUCCACCUCAUGGCUUCGUUUGAAUCCACCAUCUCCCUCCCAAGCCCUAACUCUUCUCAUUUUAUCAAGCUUACUAACUCCAACUAUCUUCUUUGGCUCCGCCAACUCAAACCCUUUUAGUUGGCCAUGACCUCUGGAAAUUUAUCGAUGGCAUUCAUAAACAACCUUCUGCCCACACCUCCACCUCUACCACCACAACACCCACAACCACCACCACUCUUACCGAAAUCAAUCCUACCUAUGCUCAGUGGUACCAACAAGACCAACUCAUUGUUAGCUACAUCACCAGUACACUCUCUGAGUCCAUUUUCUCUCUCACUGUCGGUUGCAUCUCUGCCCGGGAUCUCUGGGAGUGUCUCCAAUGCCACUUCUCUUAAUCCAAUAUGGCCAGUGAAUCUGCUCUUCGUUUUCAACUCAUGGAUUUGCAAAAAGGCUCUCAACCCAUUGAUGCUUACCUUCGUCAUGCUAAGUCUCUUGCCGAUUCACUAGCUGCCAUCAAUUAACCUGUCUCCCCAAAAGAACUUGUCACUGCUGUGCUUCGGGGUUUAGGACCCGAUCACAAAAUGCUCAUCACAGCAAUUCUCAAUUUCUCUCCGCUUCCAGACUUUGCUGAUCUUCGUGCUCGUUUGUUAGCUUUUGAUGCACAGACUCCUCGAAUCUUUCCUGAUCAAAACACAACGCUAAUGGCCACCCAAUCUUCUCCUUACACCACCGGUCAUACUUCCUUCCCUUCUCACCGUGGUUGUGGCUCUUCCAGCAAUAGGCGCGGUGGCUGGUGCAGUAUUGGCCGUGGUGGCUGGCACAACUUCUCAUCUUCCUAGAGCAACCCGUGGAAUGGCUUCCAGCAGCCCUAAUGACCUAAUCAACUGUGGCCUCCUUUUGCUCUAAGUUUUGGAUCUCAAAGCAACUGGCCUUCCUUUCAACCUCUUUGGGCCCAAUCUGCCGCUUCUAGCAAACACUCUGCCCGACCCAACUCAGCUCCUGGUGUCUUGGGACCCGCUUGGUGCACCACAUGCAAUACCAAUCGACAUACUACUACAACAUGUCCUUAUUGCUACAAUGGCCCAGAAUUCUUCCUUUGCUGGGGCUCAAUUCAUGCAGCCACCUAACUCUACAUGGUACCCUGACACAAGUGCCACUCAUCAUAUGACUGGUAGUUCUUCUAAUCUCCAAAGGAAAUUAAAUGAAGGAGUCCUACGAAGGCUCAAGGCUCGAAAGCACACGAUCCGGCUCUGCUGCGGAGCUCACUCAACUACUGGCUGAGGGGGCGCAAAACAGAAAAUUGUGAGUGGACAAAAAUAAAAAUUCAGUUCAGUGUAAACCAACGUAAUAUAACCCCACCGUUUAGAAAACCAUGCAAGAAAUCCAAAUGCAUCUCAAAACCAUCAUAAUCAUCAAAUCAAAAUCAAAUACUGGAUGCCAAGUCCGAAAUCCAUAAAGAAAGCUUUACAAACCCACCAUCCAAAUCUUACAAUCCCACAACUAAACUCUCGAAAGCGUACCCAUUGGCAGUACCAGCAAGGAAGUAUCCUCACCGAGAAACAAGAACAAAAGAAUAGCUAUAUAUAUAAUUAUAUAAUAUAACCACACCUAGUUGUACCGGGAAAACAAUCCAACCGGGGGAUUGUUUGACUAGUCACCAUGGCAGAGUCAAAGUAAACAAAUUCCUCAAUUCACCAUGUGACUAGGGAACGAGCUGUCCAACUGGGGGACCAACUCUCAGCCAGCAUGUACCGUCGAUAGCCUCAAAACCCGUACGUCUGUGACCAGUCCUACGCGUGCAGACUACCCAAUCAAGGGUUUACAGCAACAUCCCAUCAAGGAUGCCCUAGGUUCCCACAAUUCCAAGUAUCUCAAGUUUGCGUAUCCAAGUUCCAAAUCCGGGGAGGUACAUAGGGUAGUGCUUAUAGCACUCCAAAUUGACAUUCUAUACUCAUCACUUUCCACAAUCUCAUCUCAACAACCUAAGUACCCCACACAUAGCCAAACAUAUAUAGAAAUUCUCAAAAUCCAUAUAUACAUACUCAAGAUACUCAAAUAUGUCAAAAUCCAAAAUAUAUUUCCAAUGCAUCAUAAAAAUAUCACUUUUAACAAUUGAAUAAAUAAUAUAUAUCCAAUAUACCAAUUAAAACAUCAUGCAUAAUAUUUCCCAUCAUAAAAUCAUGCAUAAGAUUUGAAAACAAAGUCCACUCACAAGUAGUCCCACACUGCUUGACCUUGAGAGGGUCCCGCCUACUGCGUAUGCGUGGUUGGAGUACCUAUUUCAGAAUACGUAUACGAGAUUAAUAAGAAGCGUUUCGAACGAGAACUUUGAAUUAAAUAUCCUAAUUUCCCAGGUUUCUAGUAAGUGUACUAGGAACGAGACGUUCUAAGGUUCCACUACCCAAUUCGAACCAUGGAAGAGCUUCGGGAGACACUCGGUCAACCGGCGGUCAAAUUCCCAAAUCGGGUCAACUGGCCCACGGGACCCACGACCUCCGUUUUUAAAAUCCGUAAGUUCCUAAAGGUUUCACAAUGUCUAAGAUACUACUAUCACAAGUUUGGUCCGAAACGGACUGUUAGAUCGCUUACGAUCGCACGAUCAGACGGUUAUUGUAAAACGUAAACUUUAAGUUAUUGAAUCAGAACAUCCGGGGCUCCGAUUCACGAUCCGCGAAUUCCUACACGAUCCUAGGAAGGUCUAGAGUAACAUAUAUUGGAAUGGAGUCGAUCCAAAGGUCCGAACAUAUCGAACCUAGACCGGAUAACUCCUAAUAUGUGAGAUUCGUUCGGGGUUCGAACAUCAACCAAAUUGGAAUCCUAAGGUACCUACGUGCUCGUGACAUUAAGGGGAUCAAUUGGGACAAAAAUGCCCCUCUGCUACAGUGCCCACGUGCCACCACACGCGGCGGUAGAGAGUGGGUGUCCAAAGCGAUUUCUCUUCGCCGGAAAAUCUCCAAAUUACAAGCCACUCUCCUGGCUACAGGUUCUACUCAACGAGUGGAACACUUUAUUCAACUACAGCCAAGUCCAAUUCGGACGGCAAGUGGCCGGAAACUCACGGUUUAACCCGGAACUUCAUGGCUUGGAUUGGGCGACCAUCGUCACCAUUGUCGUGGCACAACCUAGGAAAUAGCUAAAAGGAGAGGAGGGCUACCUAUUCCAAGCGAUGGCGCAGCUCGCGGUAGCCGAAAAUGUAGCCGAUGACGUUGGCAGUUUUGGCCGGUUUUUCACGUCGUUGCCAUCGCCGUUUGUCGAGUUUUCGAUUGGAGAAAAGGGGUGGGGUGAGUAGAGGAGGAAGAGAGGAAGCUUUUGCAAGAAAUGACACUUGUCAGGGAGGGGGGGGUUGGGGGAAGAGAGAGAGAGAGAGAGAGAGAGAGAGAGAAAAAAAAAAAAUUUCAGAUUUUCAUCCAAACCCUUUUCGAAAUAUUUACAAGUUUGCCACUAAACUACUUUUGGUUGCCAAAUCUUCGUUAUAACUCCGAUUCAAGCCUACCACGUGUCUACGGAUUCGUCUCAAUACAACCUACCCAAAAAUACCAGUCACUGCCCCAAACUCUUUUUGGGUAAGAAAAUGACCAAAAUACCCCUACCCCAAGGGUAAAUUCAUAAUUUCACUUCAAUAAUUUAAUAAAGAAUUAAAUUUGGAGUCGGGGUGUUACAUUAACUACCUGUUUAGUAGGUGUGGGGUUUUAUACAAAAAGCAUCGAUGUUAUUGGGAGUGGAACCACUUAUUAUAAGUUGUGAUUUAUUUAGUCAAGUUUCCUAUGUGGGAUUUUCUAUUCUUCAACAAGCCCCCUCAUGUGGGACCACCACAUAGUGGGCCACAUGUAAAGCUAAGUCCACAUCGGAGUCAAUCAUUCAAGCCCAAUACCUAAACACCACGUAUUGUGUGAGGGGUAGGGGUAAACAUUCAAGCCCAACAUGUGAACCACCAAAUAUUAAGUAAGGGUAAAGGCUCAAUUCAGGCCCAAUCAAUGAACCCAUUAUGAUAUCAUGUUAAAUUUCAGAUAGACGGGACUGUGGCCCACCACUAGCAACAUUGAUAUUGUCCCCAACUUAACUACAUGUUUAGUAGGUGUGGAGUUCUAUACAUAAGGUCUCGAUGUUUUUAGGAGUGGAACCACUUAUUAUAAGUUAUAAUUUAUUUAGUCAAGUUUCCAGUCAACCUGACUUUGAUACCAUGUUAAGAUUUUAAAGGGACGAACUCUUGGCACUAUUAGUAACAUCGACAUUGUCCCCAACUUAACCACCUGUUUAGCAAGUGUGGGGUUUUAUCCUAAAGGCCUCGAUCUUAUUAAGAGUUGAGUCAUUUAUUAUAUGGAACUUUCUAUUUUGUUAACUCUGUGUAUUCUUCAUCAAUGUGAACACCCCUAAACCAAUCAUACCUGAUACGAAUUGAAACACAAGUUUGUUUUUUGCCUUUGGUAGAUGAGUAGCUAGAAAAGCUCAAUGCACUUGCUCUUCUGCUACAUUUCAAUAUAAGAACAAGGUUUGGAAGUCAGGUCAACUCCUCAUAGCUUCCUUGCCUUUGCUUUGACAUGUCUAUGCACUUCUUGGGGAAGUUUGAAUAAUCCAUUGCAGGCCCCAUGACAACUAAGGAACCAACAUUUUGUAGAAGGUUUUGUCUAUACCUUUUGACUAUAAGUAAAAUCUUUUGUAUCUGCUCUUAUGUUUCGGUGAAGUUUCUAUGUGUCCUUUGUGCCGAGUUUCUAUGCGUCCUUUGUUGAACCAAAAAAUGAGGUUGUUUCUUACUAGAUUCAAAUACUUAAAAGAAAAAAAGAAAUUGUUGUUUCUUAAUGGAUUUUAUGAUGAACAAUAUCAAACUCUCCUCUUAUACGUCUGUUGGUAAAUUUUAACAACAAUAUUAAAACCUUGCAAGUGCACAAAUCAAAUGAUAGUAUAGUAAGCAAGCAAGGGUCGAUCCCACGGAGAUUGUGAUCUAAAGAGAUGUUUAUCAAUGUCACGCAAUGAAAAUCAAAACAAAGGACUUCCAAACACACGCCAACACCAAGGGGGGUUUUGAUUUGUUUUUGUGAAUCAAACAAAAUAAGGAAAAGGAAACAAAAGAGAAUUUAAAUUAGAGUUUAAGAGAAAUUGGUUUAAAAUCAAUCAAGAUCAAUAGCUAGGACUUACUAUCCACCUCCAAACAAUCAAUCAAUCCAUAAACAACAAUAGAUAAUCAAUUUCUAGUAAGCACACUACUACAAAAAAGCAAAAAGACGACGGUAAAUCACCGUCGUGUAUUCGGUUUUUCAAUGGUCGUGGAAUCCACCGUCAUCUUUUCCCUCAUAAACCACGACGCUAAAUCACCGUCGUUGUUACAAUAUACAACGUCAUCAACAAAUACAAAACGACGUCUUUGUACUGCAAAAAGAUCUAAAAAAGCAAUCGAUGAUGAGAAAAGACGACCAACUCUCUAAACAAACCGUCGUUAAAAAGAAAAAAUAUGACACAUAUUAACAGAACAUGGCCGCAAGAUAGACAUACAACGACGAAAAUUAAAAUAAGACGCCGUUAAAUAUCAUUUUCACGACAAUAAAAAAUAUGUCGUCUUUAAAUACAUUAGAAGACGACGUUAUUGAUACCUACUACGUCGCCUAUAUAAAAAUAACCGUCGUAAAAUAAAUUUUCCACUUCGAUUUUUCUAUAAAAGAUGACGUGGAAAUAGUUGUCAGUGUCAUUAUUUACGACGUAUGUAUUUAUAGAGUAGACGUUGAACAACGAAACAACGUCGGUUACAAAUAUAUGAGAGUCGUAUUACAAAAUUUAUACGUCCUAUUUUCAGAAACAAACAACGACGAUAAAUAUUAGACGUUGUUAAAUAAAACAACGUCGAAAACAAAUAAAAACAGACGUGUUUAGUCUGCUAAAGUUCUAAAAAAUAGUCGAGGAUGAGAAUAGACGACCAACUCAAACAAAUCACCGUCGUUAAAAAGGAAAAAUAUGACACAUAUUAAAAGAACAAGGCCGCAAGAUAGACAUACAACGACGACAACUAAAACACUACGCCGUCAAAUAUAAUUUUCACGACAAGAAAAAAUAUGACGUCUUUAAAUACAUGAGAAGACGACGUUAUUGAAAUAUACUACGUUUCUUAUUUACAAACAACCGUCGUGAAAUAAAUUUUCCACUUCGAUUUUUCUAAAAAAGAUGAUGUGGAAAUAGUUGUCAGUGUCAUUAUUUACGACGUAUGUAUUUAUAUAGUUGACGUUGAAAUGCGAAACAACGUCGGUGGCAUUUAUAUAGUCGACGUUGUAUUUAUAUGUAUUCAUUACUCACGACGCACUUAUUAAUAUAGACGACGUUGAACUUCUAAACAACGUCGGUUCCAAAUAAAUGAGAGCCGUAUUACAGAAAAUAUAGAUGGCGUUGAUUAUGAUGAGAGCCGUAUUACAAAUAACGUCGUUUAAUUGAUAUUAGACGGCGGUUAUAAUGAAUUACCGUCGGAAUUCAUUUCGUUCCUCUUCGUUUAUAAAAGAACUUGCGACGUGGAAAAUGUAUGAUGACGUCGUAUUUUUUAACGUUCAGAUUAUAUAUCUCGUUUUUUAGACGUCGGUAUUAUGGGAUUGGAGUCGUGUUAUUUUGAAUUACAUGGCGGUUCUUAAUCCUUCCCCGACGUGAUAUCCUGAAUAAUUGCUUCAUAAUAGCGUCGUGGUUCUUCAUUGUUACGUUGCUUUAAGACGUCGGUAAAUAUGCUGAAUAACUGGUUCACAAUAACGUCGUGUUUUAUUUGAACGUAGAAAGUGAAGAAAUCACAUUACAAUAUAUUACAAAAUUAAUGUCAUACACUGCCAAUUACAUAAGCAUCAUUCAAUCCAUAUAUCUUCACACCCAUCUCGAAUAUUUUGACCGCCUAACUCACCCACCAGUUCAUCAAAUGUGUCAACAUUUGGCAUCCCUCUAGUAAAUGGCUCACACUCAAUUAUCACAUCACCUAAGACUUCAUCACCAAUAACAUUAUUAUAUUCUCUAUUAGGCAUUGAUAACACUACCGACCAACCACGAUGCAUCGGGUCGUCAACAAAAAAUAUUUGUUUGACUUGAGAAGCCAAAACAAAUUGGUCAUUCCUAUGUCCAAUUUUACUCAAAUCUACAAGGGUAAAUCCAAGUUCGUCGACUACAAGACCAGAACUAUCUAUCCAAUCACACCUAAAGACUGGGAUUGUAAACUUUUGGUAGUCAAGGUCCCAAAUUUCUUGAAUGACACCAUAGAAACCCAUAUUUGAGAGAAUUGAGUUUUUAUCCUUGGCACUAGCAACUUGCAUGGUAUGUGCAAGUAAAUAAACUCCACUAUUUUGAGUUGUCCGCACAUCAUCUUGUGCCUUGAUAUUGAAUUUAAUACCUUUAAUAAGAUAGCUCCUAUAUAAUGGCACAGCCAUGUUUGGACCAGCUGCUAGCCACCUUAAAUUUUCUGAUACGCCAUGAUUGUCUUCCUCAAGUUCACUUUGAACCUGCAAAUUAAUCAUAUAUCUUAAUGCAAUCUAACAUAGAAAUAAGAAGAAAAUUAAAAGAGAAAUAUGUUAUUCAACAACAUAUACCUUGAAGCGUAGCCAUUGAAUGAAAGUGUUAUUGUGCUUAUCCUGCAGCCACUUUGUGAUUUAAGGUAUGACAAUCAUGUGAUUUAAGGCCAAGAAGUCUUGAAUCUUGUAAAGAUACAAGAUUUUUAAUAUUUGAAGAAUAACCUUCAGGGACCUUCAUACCAUAGAAAGAAUUGCAAACCUCUCUCUUCUCUGCUCUUGACAAAUUCCAAGGCCCAGGAGGCAAACGAGUACGUCUUUCUCCAUACUCGGGUUGCAAAUCAGUUUUGACCCCCAUGUUCAAUAAAUCUAAUCGAGCAGCAAUCCCAUCUUUAUUUUUUCCAGGGAUCUCCAGCAAUGUACCAAUGAUACUAUCGCAAACAUUCUUCUCAAUGUGCAUAACAUCUAGGGCAUGCCUCACAGGAAGGUAUUUCCAAUACUCGAGAUCAAAGAAUAUUGAUUUCUUCUUCCAACAAACUCUGUCACCAUUUUCAACCAUGUGCAGCACUUCUUCUCCGGUUAAUGGCUCGGGAGGUAUGCCAUAUUCAGGUUUCCCAUUAAAAGCUGCACGUUGCCUCCUAUAUGGAUGAUUGAUUGGUAACCAUUUUCUAUGCCCAAUGUAACAAAUUUUGUGGCCAUUUUCAACCUGUGACUAGGUGUAUCAUCGCCGCAUAUUGGACAAGCUUUAUAUCCUUUAACAACACAACCAGAUAAGUUUCCAUAGGCGGGGAAAUCAUUAAUUGUCCACAUUAAUGCAGCUCUGAGUGUAAAGUAUUCUCCAUUAUGUGCAUCAUACACUCCUCUAAUCCCAUCCCACAAAGAUUUUAAAUCAUCAAUCAAAGGCUCCAAGUAGACGUCUAUAUCAUUUUCGGGUUGUUUAGGACCGGAAAUCAAUAAGGUUAACAUCAUGAACUUUCGUUUCAUGCACAGCCAUGGAGGGAGAUUAUAUGUAACUAAGAUAACCGGCCAACAACUAUAUCUGCUACUUAGAGAACUGUGGGGAUUGAAUCCAUCAGAUGAAAGAGCCAAUCUCAAGUUUCUCGGCUCAUUACCAAACUCAGGCCAUUUAUCAUCAAGAAGUUUCCAAGACGGGGAAUCCGCCGGAUGAGACAUCUGACCGUCAAUUGAUUUUCUAGCAGCAUGCCAAGUCAAACUCUUAGCUGUCUCAUGUGAUUGAAACAUCCUUUUAAACCUUGGAAUUGGAGGAAAAUACCACACCACCUUCGCUGGCACAUCCUCUUUCAAGAUUGAAUCUUUGCCUUCCUUCCACCUUGAGAUACCACAAGUAGGACAAUUAGUUGAAUCCUCAUACUCCUUCCUAUACAAGAUGCAAUCAUUGGGGCAUGCGUGCAUUUUCUCAUAACUCAGCCCCAAUGCACACAAAGUCUUUUUUGCCUCAUACAUAGAGGUUGGUAUUGUAUUUCCUUCUGGAAGCAAAUCGCCUUGAAGUAUCAAUAAUUCUGUAAAACAGACAUCACUCAUCCCAUGUUUUGCCUUCAAAUUAUACAACUUCACUAAUGCCGAUAACUUCGUGUACUUUCUACAACCAGGGUACACUGGUUGAUCUCCAUCCCCAAUCACAUUGGCAAACUCAUACGGAUCGGAACCAAAAUCACCAAAAUCAUUAUCAUCCAUAUCAAUUUCUUCAGACACAAAACUGUACCUACUAUGGCCAUCAUCUUCUUCAACAUUUCUACUAGCAUUAGUAGUUGCUUCCCAAGGUUCUCCGUGAAAUGUCCAAUUCUUAUAGCUUUGGUCAAUUCCAUUAAAGUAUAAGUGAUCCCUUAUAAUUCCAACCCCAAACAACUUCAAAUUAACACAUUUAACACAUGGACAACGGAUAUGUGUUGUAGUUAGAAGAUUUUCUACAGCAAAGUUCAAAAAUGCUUCCACCCCAAACUCAUAUGCCUUCGAUCUUCUAUCCGAGUGCAUCCAUGACUUAUUCAUCUCCGACACUAUAACCUAUUAUCUAUAAUAAAGUGAAAAUACAGGCAAUGACCAUCACUAUAGCAGAUUAUACAAAGAUCUAAUAGCAAGUAAUACAUAACAGAGACGACGGGUUUUAAACAAAAACAGACGUAUUUGGCAUAUAUAGACGACGGAUUUUCAACAGACGUCGUCUAAUAUAAGUAAUACAAACGACGGUUUAUGAAAAAACCGUCGUGUAUAAGUAAUACAACGACGGUUUUUUCAUAAACCGUCGUGUAAUCGUCGUCGUAUGCCUAAAAAGGCGUCGUGUCUCAGUUUAUUUUCAAGAACCCAAAACCCAUUAAGAACACAACAUAUAUAUGAAACCAAGCAAGAAACCAACAUAUACAUGAAGCCAAGCAUGAAAACAAUAAAUCCAUUCCCAAUUCAACAUAACAUAGGGUGAUUAAAAGAUCCGACAAAAUUAAAACCAUUCCCAAUUCAACAUAACAGAUAAUGUAAUCCAUGAACCCAUUAAACAGAAAAUCCAUGAACCUAUACCUAUAAGCACAUUAUUAACAGAUCGCAAAGCAUAUACCUAAAACCCUUUAACAAAACAACCUAAUAUCAUUCAAUGAAUUUACAAAGGGAAGAUAGGGUUUGUACUUACAGGUUGGACGAGCUCACAGAUUCGACGAAGCCUGGAGAGUGCAACUUUUAAUUAGAGCAGAAGUGAGAGAGCGAAUGUUAUGUUGCGCGAAAUCUGAAAAUUUUAGGGUUCAGGGUUAGAAGUAUAAGAAUAAGAGCCAAAUAUAAAAAAAUUUAGGGCGCGCGAAAAUUUUUAGAGCGCGCGCUCUUUAAAACGUCGAAAGAAAAACCAUGGCGAAAGUUCUACAAGAACCGACGUAAAUGUAAUAUUCCACGACGAAAACACUUAACGUAACGCCGUUUAUUUUGACGUUCAUUUUUCGGAUUAAUUUUAAAUUUAUUUUGAAUAUUUUGAUAUAAAGACGACUGAAAAACCACGUCGAAGUUAAGAAAUUGAAAACGUUGUAAAUUAUAAUAGACGACUUACAUAUUAAAAUGACGUCGUUUAAAGUGGAAACCAUGUCGGAUAUUUUACUGCACGACGUAACAUAUGUAUUCCACGACUCAACCACCGUCGUUAACAAUUAAUACCCUAAACCCUUAAAACUAAAUUAUAUAAUUUUAAAAAUUAAGUUUAUAAAAGGGUUUAUGGUUUUACAGCCUAAUAUAUACCCUAUACUACCCAAAAAUUAUACUUUAAAAAUAAACCCCAAUAAAUAACAACCCUAAUCUCUAAACCCUAGACUCUAAACCCUAAACCAUAAAACUAGAAGUGAUUUUAUGACUCAUCAAAACAAUUUUGUUUUGGAUGGUCAUUUUAAAUUUUUUUUAUUCAAAAUGAAUUUUUUCAAGGUUUAGGGGGAAGAAAAUAUAUCAAUGACUUCAUAGGAGUUGACUUUUCAUUUUUCUGAUUUAUUUUAAAUUUAUUUUGAAUAUUUUGAUAUAAAAAUAAUAAAAUAUUCUUAUCACAAUAACAAACCACGUCGGUGUUAAUAAAUUUUAGACGUUGUAAAUUGUAAUAGACGACUAAGUUGUUAAAAUGACGUCGUUUAAAUGAGAAACCAUGGCGGAUAUUUAACUAUCCGACAUAAAAUAUAUAUUCCACGACUUAACCGCUGUCGUUACAAAGUACUACCCUGAACCCUUAAGAAAUUGAAGACGUUGUAAACCAUAAACGACUCAAUUGUUCAAAGAACGUCGUCUAAAUAUCCUUUUACGUCGGAUUUGGUUAAAACGAAACAACAAAAAACGACGGCUUUUGACUUUAUUACGUCGUUGGAAAAGUAUUACACGUCGGUUACGCAAUUUGUAUGUUUGUUUUUUUUUUUAAUUUAAGAAAACCUCAACAAAUUUUUACAUUAUAUAUUAUAGACAAAAUUUGUACAUUAUACAUAAAUAUCAAGUGUUCAAUAAUUCCCCUAUUCCAGGUGAAGGCAAACAAACUCUGACCAUUCAUUCCGGACUUCAUCAAUUGCUUCUUGGGGGUAUGGCGCUUCCUGUUUUCCCUUGGCAUACUGCAUAAACAAUGACUAUUAGGGUUUAUAAAUAAAAAGAAAUUCAAUCACAGACGACGAUAUUUUUCAUAACCGACGUACUAUAUCUAUUCAACGACGGUAAUUUUACAUGACCGUCGUUGAUAAUACAAAAAACGACGUAAAAUGUAUGAAGGUAAUUUCUUCUUACCUUCUUCUCAAACCCCAAGGAAGGAUCCAUGAUGAUGUCCCUCAUGAAGCGCAUCACAUAAUACCCGCAUUCGACAUUGCUGGGUUGCUUUGGUGUCCCUGACAGAGUUUUCCAAAUGGCUGCCUUACGGCCUGGUCUGGCUAUGUGAGAAUUAUAAAUUUUUAUAGCACUGUUCACAAUGUUUUUGGCCUCUUCAUCGACCACACGAUUUCCUGGCAGAGGAUCCAGAAAAUAGACGGUUUCUCUCUUUGCUCUUACAAUCAGCAAGAUCCAAUGACGGCUGCACAAAAUUAAUAUAAAAACGACGGUUAUUUACAAUAACGACGUAUUAUAAUGUUUCACACGACGAAAUAAAGUAGCAAUCGACGACAUUUUACAUUUAUCACGACGAUAAAUAACUACCGACGUGGUUAGUAGUUUCAAACGACUCAAUAAAAUAAAACACCGACGUGGUUAGUUUAUACGCUGUAAUUUAUUGAAAAUCAUAAAAACAAAAUCCUGUUAAGGAGACUAACCCUGGAUUGUAAGGCAUCAGGAAAAUCUGUUCACCGUCAGUCUUUUGAAGUCGAGCUGCUAGUAAGCGUGAUCUGUCAGCUAUUGUGCCAGAGUUGGCACUAACUGUAGCAAGGUCGAUAAAGCCAACCAUAUUGCACAUAUUUGCUCGUUUCAAAACAUCGUGCAAGUGCCUAAAUAUAUAAAAUAAUAUAAACAAGUCAGCACAAAAAAACACACGACGGUUAUGUAUAACAAAACGACGUAUUAUAAAAUUUCACACGACGUACUGAAAUAGACAACGACGUUAUAAUAUAUUUAUCACGACGGUAAAUACUAACGACGUGGUUAGUUAGUUAAGACGACGUAAUAAAUAAACCAACGACGUAUUAUUUUAGAAUGACAAACCUCAUAUAUACAAAAAAACACGACGGUUAUGUAUAACAAAACGACGUAUUAUAAAAUUUCACACGACAUACUGAAAUAGACAACGACGUUAUGAUAUACUAACGACGUGGUUAGUUGGUUAAGACGACGCAAUAAAUACACCAACGACGUAUUAUUUUAGAAUGACAAACCUCAUAUAUACAGCAAUGACAGUGGCUCCUAUUUCUUCCAUGCCUGCAAAUUGUGUAAUAUCUUCAGGCAGGAGGAAGGUAUCGCGCUCUAGACCAAACACCUCCUUAUCAAUUGUAAAGUGCAGGGUCUUAUCCUGAGGCACGAGUGUCGUUUCCACAUAACGACAAAGGGAGUUUAAAGAAGAUGGCGCCUCCAUAUUUGAAUAAUCAACAACUUUAAUAACCUGUUUAAAGAAAUAUAAAAAAUGACGUGGUAAUUCAAUAAAAACGACGGUUUAAGGAAUAAAACGUCGUCUGAAAAGAAUUUAAACGUCGUCUGAAGAAACCGUCGUGGUGAAUAAUUUAUUACGUCUUAAAAAAAAUUCCGCCGUCUAAGUUGUAAACAAACGACGGUUUAAAGAAAAAUAUCGACGUCUGGAAUUUUGAAAAACAAAUAAAAAAGGCAAAGUUAUGUGAACAUACCUGGUCGUCAUCUUCUUUCUCCUUUUCAUCAUGUUUUUCUUCUGUCUUCCCUUCAUCUAUUACGUCGAGAAUGACUAACUCCGUCGUCUAAAAACCACAAAGUUUUAAAAUAACGACGUUUAAUGGCGUGUAAAACAAGUAAACUAAAUACGACGUGGUAUUGAAAUACAAACGACGGUUUAUGUUUAAAAUCGUGGUGGUAUGUAUUUCAAACGACGGUUUUAUUAAUAAUAACGACAUCUAAUGGUUUUUAAAAAAACAGAGAAUUCAAAGUUCAGAUAUGUUACCUUUUCUUCCUGAUGUUUCCCAUUUUUGGCAGUAUCAUCCUCAAAAUGCUGGGAUCUCACAUCACCUCCAGAGCAGCUUGCUUUGUCAGACAUUGGAUUUUUGGGACUUUGGCUAAUUCUGGGUUUAAGCAUGCUUGGAUCAAAAUUGGGAAUUAAUUGGGAAAGCUGACUCAGGAAAUGCUCCCUCUCAGCCUCUACCAAUUGUUUCGUUCUAGCCUCCAUCCUUAAAGCCUCUUCCCUUGCCUUAGCUUCCAUCUUUUUAGUCUCUUCUUGAAGGAGAACUCUUAAACUGUCCUUCAAACGGUCGUCAAAGCUCACUCUCUGUGGUUUGGGUAAAUUGAAAUAUUGCCUUGGUGAGAUCCCAGCACCUACUCCUCUCACUCUGCCUGGAUGCUCGGGGCCCAAAGCCAUGGUCAGCACAUCAUUGCUGCCAGAAACAGUGACUUUGCCUUCCGAGACUUGUUUUUGCAAUUCAUCCUAAAACAAAGAUAUAUAAAAAAGUAAGAACAAAAACACACGACGGUUAUUUAUAUACAAACGACGUAUUAUAUAAUUUCACACGACGCAAUAACAUAUAAAUCGACGUUAUUAUAAUUUAUCACGACGGUAGUUUUUAAACCGACGUGGUUAGUUUUUAAAACGACGAAAUGAAUAAACCACCGACGUCUUAUGCUUUAUUUACAGAUAACAGAGGGAUGAUUCAAUAUUCACACCUUUAACGACCUUGUUUAAAAUAUUUCGACGUAGUAAUUCAAUACAAACGACGCGAAAAUGAACCACCGACAUCUUAUGCUAUAAUUACAGAAAACAGAGUAGUGAUUCCUGAUUUAGACCUUUAACGAUGUGGUAAUAUCAUUCACACGACGCAAAAUAUAACAUAAGACGUAAUAAGAAUUAUUCACAGUUUAAUAAAAAUUUAAAACAGAGUGAGUAGGCUUACAAUUAAUUUUGCUUUCUCUGCCACCUUUGGAUCCGGGAUGUUACCAUGUUUGUCCUGUCUAGCUCUCUUCCAUAAGGUAGAUCGAUCAAUUUCUACCCCAGGCAUGGUUUCCUCCAAUUGAUCCUCCAAACCAGCAUAUCCUUUUCGAGACAAUCGAUGAUUGUACUCAAGUUUCUCCCUAAUCUGUGCAUGUUGAGAAUGCACAGACUCAAAAUCUUUGGAUAACCUUGAAGCUACAAAGGCAUCCCAUUGUGCUUUCUCUAUGAAUUUAUAUAUUUCAGGGGGUUGGCUUAAUCUCUCCCUGUCAUUAGUGUAUGGAAGGAUAUAUUGCCUCGUUAGUGUAGACUUGAAAUCCUUCCAUUUCUUGGCAGCAGAAGCUAACACAGAGCUCUUGCCCCCUUGACCUACCACAAAAGCAAUGUCAACUGCUUCCCAAAUCUGCUCCUUUAUAUCCUUGGAGAUUUGAGCCUAUUUCAUGUCCACAAGUGGAACUCUGGAGCGUGCCAACACACCAAUGUAGGACUGCAUCUCACUAUGUGCUUGGCCAAUUCCUUUCCCCCUUUUAUUGUACUCAACAAUUGGCCUCAGUUUCUGAAGUUUUCUCUUCACAACAUGAGGCAUUGUGCUCAUACCUCGACCAGACUUUGAAUCAUCAGAGAUUGUUGUCGUGCUGGUUCGUUCUGUCUCAGCAGAUGAUGAAGCAAACUUCAUCUUCUUCGAAGGCUUCACUUGAGGAGGUACCAUUCCAAGGUCCUUACCUCCAUUUUUCUUGGAGCCAGAAUCCUUACUUUGGUCUUAGUGAGAAACCAUUUUUACAGACAAAACUGCAAGUGAAAAUAUUUCAGGAAAAGAUUAAGAACACAAACGACAGUUAUUAAUAAAAUACGACGUAUGAUAUGAUUUUAAACGACGCAAUGAAAUAAUCUCAGACGUAAUAAAUGUUUAAAACCAAGGUAAUUAAACAACGACGAAAUAAUUAACUAUAAACGACGUGAUAAUUAACUAUAAACGACGAAAUAUUUAUAUAACGUCGUGGUAUUGAUGUUCACACGACGUCAGUCGUAAUAUACCGUCGUCUAUAUAAGGAUCCAAAACCCUUCUUUCUUUCUCUGUGAAUGUUUGAUUGCAGAUUUGAUUUUUCUGAACCAUGGUUUUUGUUUUCUAAUUUGAUAAAAUACAAGGCCAAGAAAGAAAGUUUUGGAAUCUUAUAUAGACGACGGUAUUUUAAUAUGACGUCGUGGUAUUAACAUUCACACGACGUAAAACAAUAAGAUACUGUCGUCUAUAUUAGAUACCAACCCUACUUUCUUUUUCUUUAUAUUUUAUCAAAUUAGGGAAAAACAAAAACCAUUGUUCAGAGAAAUCAAACCUGCAAUUAAACAAGCAAAUAAAAAAAAGACUAUAAUUUUAAAAACAACUUUGUCAAUUUUCAGACGACGCUAGAACGACUGACGAACCGUCGUGGUCUACAUAUUUAACCACGUACAUAAGAAGCUACCGUCGUCUUAUUUAGUUGAGGUAGUUGUCUUCAAAGUUGGAAACUUUCCCUCUUUGUCUGUAUAUUUUAUUGAACUUGGAAAGAAGUAAAAUGAUUUUGGCCAGAAAAAAGGUAAAAAGAUUUUUCAAACAAAAAACGUAUGAGCAUGCAAAACAACAACCAAAAUAGUGAAAAUGAAAGCUUACCUUUUGCGUGCAAUGAAAGCAAGAGGAAGAUUAUGUUUAAGUUCAGAGACGACGAAGAAGAAGAGAGGAAGACGAUGAGAUACUCUGACAGUGCUCUGACAAGGAAAAAAGUCUAAAAGUUUUCUCUGGGAGAUUGAACUUUUUAAUCGGGUUUGAAAACGGCGCAUGUGUAUGUCAGGUAGACGAAAAGUUGCUUACAUAUAAAACCAUUUCAAAAAAAUAAUACGGCGGUUACAUAUAACUACGACGUAUAAAUUACAAAAUACGACGGUACAUUUAACUUCGGACGUGGUAAAUAAAUACGACAGUAGUGUUGUAGGUACCGUCGUAGUAAACUCAAAAAUUAAAGUACAUAAGUAAUAACUCGCGUCAUGGUAGAUUAUUUAACACGUCGUUUUUAUUAAUUUACCGACGUGGAUUUCUGUAAUAUACGUCGAUAAUACCGACGUUGAUUUUACAAUUUAAACGGCGGUUUUUUUGUAAGGACCGCCGUUGGUUUUAAAAAUUUAUUCUAUAAAUUUGUCGCUUUCAUUCAUUUUCGGUUUACAUUUAAGGUUCCAAGUUCUUCCUCUCUCAGUCUCUCACGUCUCAAAGACAAUAAUUUGGAUGUCUUUCUCAAAGAGAAAUUGAGCUUACUCGCAUCAAAUAUAUGUCCACAAGAAGAAGCUUGUCAACUAGCCUUCUCACUUCCUUGAUCAAGCCUGAUAGGACACUUAGUGCUUCUGAAUACUCCUUGCUUUCCAUCAAAAGAGAUGCAAGCCUGGCCUCCACUCGCUGUCGAAGGAAAGUUCGCUUCUCAGGGAAAUCUUCUUGAUUUUCUUGGCUAAGAAGAUCCGUCAGAUUUGUGAUAGCCUCUUCCUUUAUCCGUAGAGCUUCAGAAGAAGAAGAUGGGUUUCAAGAAUGCGAUAAAGAAUAGAAAUGGCUUCAGAUGGCCUCUAAAGCAUGAGCAAUCGAAUCAGUAGUUGUUGGGAGAUAUGAUGAAGACAUUGUCAAUGCUUUGAACUAUACAAGUCCUGCAGAAAGAUAAAGGACCAAACUGUUAAAGAAACUGAAACAAUGGCGGUUUUCUGUUCUACCGUCGUCUUUUCUCGUCGUCUAUAUUAAGGUAAGAUGGCGGUAGAUUUAUAAUUACCGACGUAGAUUAUUUUGUUAAACGUCGUUAAGUGUACUACAACCGACGUGGAUUUUAUUUUUAAAUUAUAAAUAGAGUUUUUUUUCCCCUAUUCUUUCAGUUUUAGUUUUCAAUUACAAAGCGUGAUAAAUAGAUUUUUCUUUCCCGAGGAAAUUUAAAAUGAGGGAAAUUAAUGUUCUAGAAUUUGUAAACUAACACGACGCAAUAUUUGCAAAUCUGUGUCAUCUGUUAAGAUUAUGAUGUGGAACAGAGUUCCAUCUGGUAAGAUUUCGUAACCCUUGGGAUCUCAGACAAAUCUGAUUAUGUCGGCGGUUUUCUAUAUAAAUCGUCGUGGUUAUUUCAAUUCUUGUCAUUAAGUAGAUCUACCGACGUAGGAUAAGAAAAUCAAAGAAAAAAAUUGUUAACAAAAAUUCUUAUUAAGACGACGGUUAAAAUUAAAGGUACGACGUAUAAAAUGAAUAAAUACGACGUUAAAUUUUAUUGUACGAUUUAAAGAUAACGUCGUAGAACUAUAAGAGAAUGACGUCGAUAUAUUUAUAUUUUCCGUCGUUGUACAUUAAUUUAAUACGGCGAUAUUUUGUAUUUUAAAGCCGUGGAUUUGUUUGUAAUUAUACGGCGUCUUAUACGAAAACCUCGUCGUGUUAUUUUAUGAGUAAAAACGGCAGUUUUUAUUGAAAUCGUCGUCUUUACUUUCUACGUCGGUCGAUUCAUAACUUCUGCCGUUCUUUGUUGGCAUUGAUUUUACACUGCGAAAAUCUGUUUCAAAUAGACGUCGGUUGUUUAAUUAUGUACGUUGUUGUUUUUGAACAGCCAUUUGAAUCUCCAUUUUUUAGUUGUCUAAGGUUGUAUUACACGACGGUGUUUUUAGAACCGUCGUCUUUUUAAAAACCACGACGGUUUUCACUUAGACCGUCGUUGUUUUCUGGUCGUCUUUUUCACUUUUUGUAGUAGUGGCAUAUGAUGACGACACUCACAACAAGAUCAUGGCAUUUGACUCGAGUUGUAUGAUUCUCUCUUAAGUGUAUGUAAAGUGUAUGACAUUUACAUCAAUACGUGUAUUCUUAAUUGAAAUCUACUAUGGCAUUUACUCAAAUUAACAAUCAAGAAUCCAUUAAGAUCAAAGAGAAUAUGAGUGUCACAAAAACCCUAAAACAUGGCAUUUGUUAUUAGGAAUUCAAGAAUCGAUUUCUCAUAACUAGUUCUUAACCCAAUUAUUCGUUGCAAAUAAGAACACAUUCAAUAUGGCAAUUGACCUAUGUUCUACAACAAUUUAAUUCCAAUACAUGCUUCUAAGUUAGCUACUCAAAGAAACAAAAUAUCAGAAUUCACAUAACAUAUAGAAACCGAAAACAUCACGCUUGUAGAAACUAAAAAUCCAUUAACCUUGUUUAUAAAAUUGAAAUCAUGUUUAGGGCUUCAAGAUUAAGCCCUAACUAACAAGAAAUUAGUUACUCAUGGUCUUGGAUGAACUCAAAAAUAAAUACAUAAGAACUGAAAAUUAAAGAAGGAAGGAAAAGAAAGAACUCGUUCGCAGCUUUCUCCUCUUGCGCUGUUGAUCUCUUUAGGACGUGAAUCCUUUUUAUCAGCCUUGCCUCGUCUUUUAUAUCACUUAUAUCAGAGUUCUAAACCCUAAAAUUGACUGAAAAGUCGUCCAAGAAGUCUUGGUAAACAAGGAAUCCAAAUAGGAAAGUAAAAAUCACAAUUCCUAACUCCACUGGGAAAUACAGCUCAGCCCAAUGUUCACACGAUUUUGGGAUCUUCGACCUUGUAGAAAAAUCAUUAAAAAUAUAUUUUAGAAAGAUAAAUGUCUUAUCUUUCCAACCAUAUAUAGCACGUAACUUGAAAAAUUCGGAAAGGCUUCCGUUUCUUCACAUUCACGUAGCAUGUACGAAACUGUCCUGUCUGCACGUGGGCUAACUUUACUUGUAAUACUGUACCAAUUGGCUCGGUAGAAAAUUCUAGAAAAAUCAUAGAUUGAACUUCAAGAUGUUAGCUUUCAUCUCCAAUCAGGGGCGGCCUUGGGGAGGUGCAAGUGGCGCCACCGCACAGGGCCCCCGAAAAAAAAAAUAUUUAUAUUAUAUAUAUAUAUUAAUAUUAUAUGAAUCGUAUAUAUAAUAUAGCGUCUGGAUAUUUGCACAACAGCGUGUUCAGGGGAGUUGGAUGGAGCACAUCUCUCUUUGGCAAAAGGGCCCGAGUUCGAUGCUCCUUGAUGUCGUUCUACUGGCUAGCCUUUUGUGAUAUUAUUUUUGCAUUCAAACUUUACAUAAUUAUUGAACCAUUGGAUUAAUAUGCAACGAUGGGUGACCACAAUCUCUUGGACUCCUGUGGUCCAUGAGAUCGGGACUGAUAUUACAUGACUUAUUUUAUUAAAUUAUUAUCAUGUUGAUGAUUGGUUGUAUGAGAAUAUAGUUUGUAGAAAUAUUUAUCUAUUUCUUGUUGGGGUUUUCUUCCAGGUUAUAGGGUUUUGGAAUUUUUCUUUGUAAUCUAAACAUGCCACCUACUAGAAAAUACGUUUAUGGAUAUACAAAACGGCUUAGAAAAAGAAAAUUCGAGGAAUUGACUCAAUCUCAAAGAGGAGCUCUUGAUAGAUUCAUUGUUAGAGAAUCACAUGCUACAAUUGAUGAAAAUAUUUAAAUUUUUAUGAAUUUAAUUUCUGAUUUUCAUUGCAUAUUUAUUGAUGGUGAAUUUUAGUUAUAAAAAAAAAUUGUUUAUGACAUUAAGUUAUGGCAAAUUUUUAUAGUAUUUUCGUAUUAGAUUAUGCAAGGCCCCAAUUUAAGUUUCGCACAGGGCCCUCAAAAUCUCAGGGACGGCCCUGUCUCCAAUUGGUCUUGUGCUAAAAUUCCUCCGAAAAGUUGAUUUUCCCUUAAAAACCUUCUAAGAGUGCAGAAAAGCUGAAAAUCAGAAAAAUAAAGUAAUAAGCCAUUUUUAAAUCUAAUUCUCUUACAAAACCAAAGUAAAAAGAGUACAUAAAUGAGUAUAUUUAUGGACUUAUCAACGUCUUCUUCGUUGGACUUGGGGUUGUUUUCCUUAUAUGUCCCCUAUAUAUAUAUAUGGCCUUUAGUUGAGCCCACAAAUACCUUCAGUUAGUUUUUGGGUUUAGGGGCCUACAGAACCUGCACUAAACAAUAAAAGAAAAUACCUAAUUAGUUUAGUACGAAUUUAUAAUGAAGGCUUUAUUAGGUGAAGUUUUAUUUCUUAAUCGUUAGAUCAAAUUGGUUAGCAUCUGAAGUCGCCCAAAGAUUUGAGAGGGAUUCCACAAACAUAUAAUAUAAAGAAAGAAAGCAAUAGUAGGAGAUGAACCAGUACAAAAAACAAUAUAUAAAUAGUACAUAAUAAUUCCAUAACCUUGUCACAAACGCACUCACAAAUGCUUUCCAUAAACCUUGCCCUAACAUAUAACAAAUAAAGGCAACAUUGCAUAUGAUGCAACCAUGUCCAAAUCUGAUACGUGAUAAAAAAAAAAGGACAUGGCAGCAACAUAUGACUGAAGUAGAUGGGCUCUUUGCAUCUCGUGUUAUCGUAAUUAAAGACAUCAAAAUAUUAAGGUUGAAAUCUUCUAUAGUAGCAAGCAUUAAAAUAGGUUUGAAGCAGAGUUUAAAGAAAAUUCCAAUUCCACUGAUUUGCCUCUGCUCAAAGACGAGAACCAAAAUGGUUACUUCCCUUGCUGAGUAUAUUUGUUAACGUCGGAAACGGUAAUAGAUGACCAAUCAAACCCAAGUACGACGAGUUUUGCAUAGGAUCAGAAGUAGUUGAAUCCAGCUUGCAUCACACGCUUCUUUGACUCCAUUGCAUUAGAUGAGUUUUUGUAUUUUUGAACAGCUACACUCCGAAGUCGUUUGUGUCUACGCUUCAUGCGCUGCAACUUCGCCCUAUCCAGAUUGGCCUGCCUUUUGUCAUCUUCAAUUUGGCCUUCAACAAAUUCCAAACGUGCCCUUGCCCUUUGGAUUUCAUCACCAAGUUGAAGAUGCCUCUCCUUCCAAAAAGCAAGAACUCUUUCAGACUCAAAACUUCCAACAAAAUGGUCAUUCUAUCUAGGAAUGUGACAUUGCUUGUCUGGUGACUCACCUGCGUUUCAAAGGCGGUCUUUGUUUGGAGGGGUGUUUAUUAUGCUCACAUCAAACUUGGUUAGUAAAUCCAUUCUAUGGGGGGAGUGAGUUUCUGUGGAGGAGAGAGUUUCAGUAGAUGGAGACAGAUUCGGUGGAGGAGUGAGAUUUUUGUGGAGGGAGAAUUUCUAUGAAAUGGGUGAUAGUAAUACCAAUAAAAGGGUUCCCGCCAAAAAGUAUUUGGUUGACAAUGUAUAAAUUAAUUUUUGGUCUGAUACAAUCUAAGUUUAAUCCUAACUAGUUUGGUUAGUUUGGUUGAAUUCACUAACUAGAUGUCACUUCCAUUGAGUUUCUUUCAACCACUAUCAGUGGUGUAAGGAGAGUGUGAGGUUGACAUGCUUGAAAAGCAAAACCUAACACCUCUUUUU